This 95620-nucleotide long non-coding RNA is filed under the name Daucus carota (carrot). RNAcentral's name for it is "long non-coding RNA (DCAR_LNC001511)". Lineage: Eukaryota; Viridiplantae; Streptophyta; Magnoliopsida; Apiales; Apiaceae. The record is from RNAcentral.
UAGAAAAAAAGAAAAAGAAAAAAAAAGAGAUAGAAAAAAGAAAAGGAAUAACUACUUCAAUACCCAUUGUUCUUUAUAGAUAAAAUCUUUAGAUAAAUGGGCAAAAGUAGAUUGGCUAGUCUCGUUUUGUGGCCUUUGUUACUCGAGCAAUUAAGUCCGUAGGGGGAUUUCAAAACCUAGUGCCCUAAGACCGUUUGGUUUGGGAGUCACUGACCCAAAGCUCGCUACAUGGGUAACACUGUUUGCCUAAGAAAACGGACAAAAUAAAGUCAAUGCAAAAAAAAAAAGGAAAAAAGAGAAAAAAAAGAAAGUUUAUGAAGUUUGGCUAGNNNNNNNNNNNNNNNNNNNNNNNNNNNNNNNNNNNNNNNNNNNNNNNNNNNNNNNNNNNNNNNNNNNNNNNNNNNNNNNNNNNNNNNNNNNNNNNNNNNNNNNNNNNNNNNNNNNNNNNNNNNNNNNNNNNNNNNNNNNNNNNNNNNNNNNNNNNNNNNNNNNNNNNNNNNNNNNNNNNNNNNNNNNNNNNNNNNNNNNNNNNNNNNNNNNNNNNNNNNNNNNNNNNNNNNNNNNNNNNNNNNNNNNNNNNNNNNNNNNNNNNNNNNNNNNNNNNNNNNNNNNNNNNNNNNNNNNNNNNNNNNNNNNNNNNNNNNNNNNNNNNNNNNNNNNNNNNNNNNNNNNNNNNNNNNNNNNNNNNNNNNNNNNNNNNNNNNNNNNNNNNNNNNNNNNNNNNNNNNNNNNNNNNNNNNNNNNNNNNNNNNNNNNNNNNNNNNNNNNNNNNNNNNNNNNNNNNNNNNNNNNNNNNNNNNNNNNNNNNNNNNNNNNNNNNNNNNNNNNNNNNNNNNNNNNNNNNNNNNNNNNNNNNNNNNNNNNNNNNNNNNNNNNNNNNNNNNNNNNNNNNNNNNNNNNNNNNNNNNNNNNNNNNNNNNNNNNNNNNNNNNNNNNNNNNNNNNNNNNNNNNNNNNNNNNNNNNNNNNNNNNNNNNNNNNNNNNNNNNNNNNNNNNNNNNNNNNNNNNNNNNNNNNNNNNNNNNNNNNNNNNNNNNNNNNNNNNNNNNNNNNNNNNNNNNNNNNNNNNNNNUGGUCAACGCCUUAAACCAUUUUUAGAAUUGCCUGUUGAUUCGGAGGAAGAGGUCAUCCACCUCAUCGACCCUUGAUCAUGUAAGUUGCUUCAGUAGUUAAUAAAAAUCCCUUCAUCUCCUAUUCAGGUAUUUUUCCUCUUUACUCUCUCAUUUCAAUUCUCUCUUUUGCAUACAUUGAGGACAAUGCAUGAUUUAGGUAUGGGGAGGGCUUUAGUGUAAUUCUUAAAAAAAUCCCUAAAAAAUGAAAAAAAGUAGAAAAAUCCAAAAAUAGAGAUACUUUUUAGCUAAGUUGUCUUUCCCUCACUCGAACUUUAGGAGUAGUUGGUGUUUAGCAUAUUUUCGAAAAGUAUAUAUAUGUAGUGUCUUUUAGAUAAUUUGAACGUAGUUGAGUAAGGUUGUCUUUUUGAAGCUUGUAUCGACCGAUUUGUACUCUAAAUUCCAAGAUGGCACACACUUUGCACGAGACCUUUGAUGGAGAGAUUGUCUAGUGAUAUUAUUCGAUACCUGAGAGAGAACCCACAUGUUGAAACAAUGUCGAAUCGAACCUUUGCGAAUAAAAAAAAAAAAAAAAAAAAAUAGAGAAAAAAAGAUAGAAAAAGAAAAGGAAUAACUACUUCAAUACCCAUUGUUCUUUAUAGAUAAAAUCUUUAGAUAAAUGGGCAAAAGUAGAUUGGCUAGUCUCGUUUUGUGGCCUUUGUUACUCGAGCAAUUAAGUCCGUAGGGGGAUUUCAAAACCUAGUGCCCUAAGACCGUUUGGUUUGGGAGUCACUGACCCAAAGCUCGCUACAUGGGUAACAUUGUUUGCCUAAGAAAACGGACAAAAUAAAGUCAAUGCAAAAAAAAAAAAAAAAAAAAAAAAAGAAUAAGAGUUUGUGAAGUUUGGCUAGAUAUUUGUUUCGAUAGAGAUUGGGUCAGUUCAAAAUUGGUUGAAAAAGAGAAAGUGUUAUUAGACGAUUAGGAUCCAUCAAAGGCCUUAGAAUUCAUUACACUCCUUGGAUUUCUAGUAAAAUUUUGAGUCUAUUCAAGUAGAUUAGAGGCAAUUGUAUCUUGAUUAUUAGUAGAUGAGUCUUUAAGUCGUAUUUUCCUUAAAAACGCUUUUUGUUAACACCAACGAAAUUAGAGUAGAGUCGAGUAGACACUUGCUAGAAUGUCUCGAAGAUUUUAUGGGUAUAUCUUCUGUAAACCCUUAGGAGACAAAACUCCUCUUGUAGAGAUCGUCUACGAGUUUAACGGGUUGGUGAACCUAAAAUCACCCGUCACGCCUACGAAAAGGAGCCUAGGAAUCGCAUCUAGUUUUCUUAGUUUAUUUUCUUUUCUUUUGAUUUUUACUCGAGGACGAGCAAAAGAUAGGUAUGGGGAAGUUUGAUUAGUCCAUAUUUUUGCAUAUUUAAGUGCCUAUUUUUUGUUUAUUUUCGUAGUAUUAAUCGCUUAUUUAUUUUAUUUCAGGAAAUUGUAGAUAAAUAAAGAAAGAAGAGAAAAUGCAAGAAAAAGGGAGAAAAAGAAAAGAAAAGAAGAAAAUCAAAGAGAGUUGGCAAGCAAGGGGGCACAUGGAUGGCUAUGAUUUACCCAACACACAUCACACAUGGAUGGAUUAGAUUUAGCCACCCUACCCCUAAACCCUACAUUUCUAGCUAUAAAUACCCCCACCCCCUUUACUUGUAAUCAUCUUCUUUUUAACCUAGCUACCCACCUUUUCUACCUAGUCAUUUCUAUAGUUAGUAUCUUAGAUAGAUUUACAUUUUGCUAGCCCCAAUUUCCUUUCCAAGCUUGUAUACACUUUUUAAUUUCUAUGCAAAUCUCUUUUAGCUUAAUCUUGUAUUGUCUUUUUAAUUUAUUUUCUCCAAGUAGUAUGAUUCUUCUAAGUACCACCACAUGCUUUUAAGCUUUUGGGAAAUGAAGAAUCGUUGAGCUUGUGAUUAGUAUAGAUUUGUGAUCUCUUGAAUUAGUAAAUUAAAUCCUAGCACAAAAUUAAUUUGUGUUAGGGUUUAAAUUUAAAACCCCAAAAGAAGUAGUAGUUAAUAAAAAAAUUAUAUAAAAUUAGUUUUAAAACCCUCGGUUAGCAUCCCAUUUAUUUACUCUGUUUUCUGUAUUAAAUUGGUAUGCUCUGUUUUAACUACUAAACCCUCAUCCCCUGUUUUCAUUUUAUUAACGAACAACCACUGCUUUCCUUUUCUUUCUCAUUUUAUUAAAUUGCUGAGUUUUGAAUUGCUGCAAGUUGCUUUAAUUUUCGCUUCGUAAUCCCUGAGUCGCGAGUCAGUUGUGCUGGGUUCCUACUGUGUGUUAAUUUCUGCUGCGAUUUGUUUGCUUCUUGCUGGGUUCUUUCUUGUAUAAACAACCGAGUCUGUGUCCCAUGGUUUCUGAAUCUUUCACCGAGUCAGUUGGGCUUAUUCUUGUUUGCGUGUUUGUAGUUUUGUCCGAGUCAGCCUGUUAAUCGAGUUUUGCGUCUAUUAUCGAGUCGAUUUAUGUGCUCUGUUUCGAGUCCUGGGCUUGAUUCACUGAGUCGAGGCCCUGUUUUCAUCGAGUCAUAGCUGUUGCUGCGUUCUUACGAGUUUCUUUCCUGCUGUUCUGAACCCAGAAUCGCUUGUUUAGUGUGUUUUGCUGCUUUCUUUUCAUCUUUUUAAGUCGUUUUCUGAGUUGCUUCUUGUCCGAGUUUGCGAGUCUGUGGUGUAAUUAAUGUUCUGGGUUUGUUAAGUUUCCGAGUCAUUUGUUCACCGAUUUGCUUCGUUCGUGUUGUUGGUUUGAGUCAGUAGCUUGUUUAGUUGAGUCGUUUUCUUUGUAGCGAGUCACCGCCGAGUUCUGAGUCUGCGUCCUGUGUAUAUGGUUCGAGUGUGCGUGGUAGUCGCAGGUCUGUGUUGCUGAGUAGUUAGUUUGUGUUUGCUGUGCUUUUGAUCGAGUCACUGAGUCAUUUUCUAAAACUUUCGAGUGUUCUGAUUCAUUGAGUCUGUGCUUGAGUAUGGGUCGAGUUUGUUUUUCUGAGUCUUAGUUAGUCUGAAUCUGUGUUGCUGGGUUCGUUUGCUGUUUGGCUGAGUUUCUUUUCAUUUCUGCUGCGUUUUUCUUUUUGUUUGAGUUAGUUUUGAUUCGGUUUUGAGUGGCAGAUUAGUUGGAUUUUAAACGAUUUUUCUCUCAGCAUUUUGGUCGAGAAUUGGUCCCUGUAUUCAGUUUGGAUGUUAAGUUGGUAAUAGAUUAUUACUAUGGACCCAUUUUGUGUUAGUUGCGUUUUGUUUUUAGAUUUAAAUUCAAUCGAUUUCUUAGCUGCUGAGUAAUUUAGUCGGAUAUUAAGUUUAACUUUUGUUUUUCUUUUUAUAAUAAAAAAAAAAUAGUUUUUAAAACAAACUCUCUUCAAAUAUAUUGUUCUAACCCGCCUAGAUUAAAUAAUAAUAGGUUGCGAAAUAUAAUUUUAAUCUCUGUGGACUAAUCAUAAAAUUCUAUAACGAGGUUGUGCGCUUGCGAUUAUUUUUAAAAUCUCUUUUUGAGCACAUCAAUUGGCUAGAUUGAAGUUGGAAACAACUUGUAGCUUCAUUCCAGACUCGUUUGAAGUUGAAAACAACGUGUAGCUUCAUUUUCGGUUGUUUAAAAUUAGAAUCAACUUGUAGUUUCAUUCUUGACUCGUUGGAGCCCGGAAACAACUUGUUGCUUCAUUAUUGGCUGGAUUGAAGUUGGAAACAACAUGUAGCUUCAUUCCAGACUCGUUUGAAGUUGAAAACAACGUGUAGCUUCAUUUUCGGUUGUUUAAAAUUAGAAUCAACUUGUAGUUUCAUUCUUGACUCGUUGGAGCCCGGAAACAACUUGUUGCUUCAUUAUUGGCUGGAUUGAAGUUGGAAACAACAUGUAGCUUCAUUCCAGACUCGUUUGAAGUUGAAAACAACUUGUAGAUUCAUUUUCGGUUAGAAUCAACUUGUAGUUUCAUUCUUGACUCGUUUGAGCCCAGAAACAACUUGUUGCUUCAUUAUUGGCUAGUUUGAAGUUGGAAACAACUUGUAGCUUCAUUCUUGACUCGUUUAAGCAUGUAAACAACUUGUUGCUUCAUUAUUGGCUAGAUUGAAGUUGAAAACAACUUGUAACUUCAUUCCAGACUCGUUUGAAGUUGAAAACAACGUGUAGCUUCAUUUUCGGAUGUUUAAAAUUAGAACCAACUUAUAGUUUCAUUCUUGAUUCGUUUAAGCCUGUAAACAACUUGUAAGCAUGUAAACAACUUUUUGCUUCAUCAUUAGCUAGAUUGAAGUUGGAAACAACUUGUAGCUUCAUUCCAGACUUGGUUGAAGUUGAAAACAACUUGUAGCUUCAUUCCAGACUCGUUUGAAGUUGAAAACAACUUGUAGAUUUUUUUCCGGUUGUUUAAAAUUAGAAUGAACUUGUAGUUUAAUUCUUGACUCGUUUGAGCCCGGAAACAACUUGUUGCUUCAUCAUUGGCUAGUUUGAAGUUGGAAACAACUUCAUAUAAACAACUUGUUGCUUCAUUAUUUGCUAGAUUGAAGUUGGAAGCAACUUGUAGCUUCAUUCCAGACUCGUUUGAAGUUGAAAUCAACUUGUAGCUUCAUUUUCGGUUGUUAAAAUUAAAUUCAACUUGUAGUUUCAUUCUUGACUCGUUGGAGCCCGGAAACAACUUGUUGCUUCAUUAUUGGCUAGAUUGAAGUUGGAAACAACUUGUAGCUUCAUUCCAGCCUCGUUUGAAGUUGAAAACAACUUGUAGCUUCAUUUUCGGUUGUUUAAAAUUAGAAUCAACUUUUAGUUUCAUUCUUGACUCGUUUGAAGUUGAAAACAACUUGUAGCUUCAUUUUCGGUUGUUAAAAUUAAAUUCAACUUGUAGUUUCAUUCUUGACUCGUUGGAGCCCGGAAACAACUUGUAGCUUCAUUAUUGACUAGAUUGAAGUUGGAAACAACUUGUAGCUUCAUUCCAGACUCGUUUGAAGUUGAAAACAACUUGUAGCUUCAUUUUCGGUUGUUUAAAAUNNNNNNNNNNNNNNNNNNNNNNNNNNNNNNNNNNNNNNNNNNNNNNNNNNNNNNNNNNUUAGUUUCAUUCUUGACUCGUNNNNNNNNNNNNNNNNNNNNNNNNNNNNNNNNNNNNNNNNNNNNNNNNNNNNNNNNNNNNNNNNNNNNNNNNNNNNNNNNNNNNNNNNNNNNNNNNNNNNNNNNNNNNNNNNNNNNNNNNNNNNNNNNNNNNNNNNNNNNNNNNNNNNNNNNNNNNNNNNNNNNNNNNNNNNNNNNNNNNNNNNNNNNNNNNNNNNNNNNNNNNNNNNNNNNNNNNNNNNNNNNNNNNNNNNNNNNNNNNNNNNNNNNNNNNNNNNNNNNNNNNNNNNNNNNNNNNNNNNNNNNNNNNNNNNNNNNNNNNNNNNNNNNNNNNNNNNNNNNNNNNNNNNNNNNNNNNNNNNNNNNNNNNNNNNNNNNNNNNNNNNNNNNNNNNNNNNNNNNNNNNNNNNNNNNNNNNNNNNNNNNNNNNNNNNNNNNNNNNNNNNNNNNNNNNNNNNNNNNNNNNNNNNNNNNNNNNNNNNNNNNNNNNNNNNNNNNNNNNNNNNNNNNNNNNNNNNNNNNNNNNNNNNNNNNNNNNNNNNNNNNNNNNNNNNNNNNNNNNNNNNNNNNNNNNNNNNNNNNNNNNNNNNNNNNNNNNNNNNNNNNNNNNNNNNNNNNNNNNNNNNNNNNNNNNNNNNNNNNNNNNNNNNNNNNNNNNNNNNNNNNNNNNNNNNNNNNNNNNNNNNNNNNNNNNNNNNNNNNNNNNNNNNNNNNNNNNNNNNNNNNNNNNNNNNNNNNNNNNNNNNNNNNNNNNNNNNNNNNNNNNNNNNNNNNNNNNNNNNNNNNNNNNNNNNNNNNNNNNNNNNNNNNNNNNNNNNNNNNNNNNNNNNNNNNNNNNNNNNNNNNNNNNNNNNNNNNNNNNNNNNNNNNNNNNNNNNNNNNNNNNNNNNNNNNNNNNNNNNNNNNNNNNNNNNNNNNNNNNNNNNNNNNNNNNNNNNNNNNNNNNNNNNNNNNNNNNNNNNNNNNNNNNNNNNNNNNNNNNNNNNNNNNNNNNNNNNNNNNNNNNNNNNNNNNNNNNNNNNGCCAUAACACCUAUUCACCCCCCCCUCUAGGUGUAUAAUUUCAAUUGGUAUCAGAGCUGUGUUAUACUAAUACUUCUGUAACAGGAAUAGUAUCGAUCGAUAUGGCUGAUAACUUUCAGGGAAAGUCCGAUUUUAGAGCUCCUCUCCUCACGGGUUCUGACAACUACAAUUGGUGGAAAGGCCAAAUGGAGGCUCAUCUAUCCAGAGAUCCCCUAAUGCAAAGAGUUGUGCAAAGAGGUCCUUAUGAAUAUCGUGAUGGCGAUGGCAAAGUCAAAGACGUUGAUGUACUCACAACGGACGAGCUAUCAAAGGUUGCUGCCAAUGGAAAAGCAAGGAGUACAUUGAUCAAUGGGCUGAAUCAAGCUGAAUAUGACAAGGUCUCUUCUCUCAAAACAGCAAAGGAAAUUUGGGAUGCAUUGGAAACAUAUCAUGAAGGCUCACAAGGUCUAAAGAAGGUCAAGCUCGGAAAGCUCAUGAAAGAAUUUGGAAGCUUCGCUAUCAAGAAGGGAGAAUCCAUUCGUGAAAGCCAAGCUAGAUUCCAAGUUACUCUUAACAGCCUUGAAAGACUUGGGAAAAAGAUUCCUCAAUCGGAAAUCAACAUGAAUAUCCUGAAUGCAGCUCCGUUCGAAUAUGGUGCCAAGGUCACAGCAUUGGAGUCAGCUCUCAACAUUGAUACUAUGGAUCACCUGGCUAUAUUUGCUGAGUUGGAACAAUUUGAAUCUAAGAUUGAAGCUAACAGCUCUCAACAUUGAUACUAUGGAUCACCUGGCUAUAUUUGCUGAGUUGGAACAAUUUGAAUCUAAAAUUGAAGCUAACAGCUCAGAAAGCAGCAAGCUGCCAACAGAGAAGAUGAAGAAUCUUGCACUCCACUCUACUGCCAGCAGGCUGGAAUCAGAUGAGGAAACAGAAUCAGAUGAGGAUCUAGCUCUUAUGUCUAGAAAAAUCAAGAGGAUGAUCGAAAAGAAGAAUAAGAUGAAAAGAGAAAAGGGCAAAGCUUUUGGUGCAAAGAAAGAUCCAAAAGAUGAUGCAUGUUUCGAAUGUGGCAAGAAAGGACAUUUCAAAAGGGAUUGCUACAAGCUGAAAAACAAGUCUAAGCCGCCUAAACAGCAAGCUGAUUACAAGAACAAAAAGAAAUCAAAGGCACUUCUCACAUGGAGUGAUGAUGAAGAUGAGUCAGCUUCUGAUGUUUCAAGUGAUGAGAUGGUUAACUUGGCUCUUGUUGGUCUCGAUGGUUCAAUAGAGACAACUGAUUCAGAUUCAGAGACUAAUAGUGAGGUACAUUCUAUUAAUUCUGAAUUACAUUCUAUUGAUACAACAUCUUGUGAACUAACCAUGCAGGAUAAGAGUUGUCUAUCAAUUAUGGAACUCAUUGAUCUAAAGAAUGAGAACUAUGAGCUCGAGAAAGAAAAUGUUCAUUUGAAGAAAGUCAUAGGUGAUUUCUUGAAUGAAAAGAGUGCCAAGGCAAGCAGUGGAAUCAUUGCUACUCUCAAGGAACAAAUCUCACAACUUGAAGGGAACAACAUGCAAAUCCAAAGAAGGAAUGAUACACUCAUGAAGGAACUCAGCUCGCUGAGAGCAGAUCUUAAAGCUAAGGAUGCAAGCUUGGAGGCAUUCGAGUUAAGCAAAUCCCAAAGCUUAGCCGAAAUCUCUAUUCAAGCUGAAAAGAUCAAGUCAUUGGAGCAAGAAGUCAAAGAUCUUCAGAAAGCCAUGGGAAAGUUUGUUCAAGGAGAAGAAAGUCUCAAAUCUAUGAUGAAACAAGCUAAAGGUUCUCAUGACAAAGGAGGCAUUGGUGCAGCUUCUACAUCCACAUCUUCAAUGAGAUAUGAAGGGAAAAAUGGCAUUCCAUACAAUUAUGCCAUGCCUUGGGUGACUUGUCACAAGUGUGGAAAGAAGGGCCAUCUUGCUAAUAAUUGUCCAAUGAAGAAUACUCAAUCAGCAAGCUGGAAAAGGAAGUCAGCUCACAGACAGUAUGCUGACAACAGAAACAGACAGAAGACAGCUCCAAGACAGUAUGCUGAUAAGACCAGCAGAACAUGGAAGAAGAGUUCUAAAGUGGUCCAAAUGUGGAUCAAGAAAUCUGAUCUUAAUGUUCUAUAUGUUUUAUCAACUAACACUGCUGGACCCAACAAAAUUUGGGUACCAAAACGUUGAGUUGUUUGUGUUUGUUUUGUAGGUUUGUCUCGUGUCUAAAGUAAAGCCAAAUCAAUGGAUAUUGGAUAGUGGAUGCACUAGGCACAUGAGUGGAGACAAAUCUCAGUUUCUAAGCUUGAAGAUGAAGAAGGGUGGACGUGUCACAAUUGGUGAUAGCAAAACUCUUCCUAUUCUUGGCAAAGGAACUAUAGGUAAUAGUAUCAUUUCUAUUAACAAGGUACAAUAUGUUAAAGGUCUUACUUAUAACUUGCUUAGUAUAAGUCAGUUAUUUGAUGAUGGUCAUAUUGUUAACUUUGGUAAGGAUGAAUGUACUAUACUUGUUGGUGCUAACAAAACUCCUCUAGUUGCAAAACGAGAAGGAAAUAUAUAUGUUUUGAACUUUGAAGAACAGGAGGCAGGUGUUUGUUUAGCAGCUGUGGAUAAUAAUCCAGAAAUUUGGCAUAGAAGGCUUGGACAUGCUCAUAUGGAUCAUCUCAGCAAGCUGUCAGCAAAGAAGCUUGUUCGAGGACUACCAAAGCUUAAGUAUGUCAAGAUGGAGACAUGUUCUGCUUGUCAAUUGGGAAAGCAAACAAGGACUCCACAUAAGGCAAAGAAAAUGGUAUCUACUUCUAAACCUUUAGAGCUUCUUCACUUGGAUCUUUUUGGUCCCGAAGCUUAUAAGAGUAUUGGAGGUAAACAAUAUGCCUUUGUUAUUGUUGAUGAUUAUUCUAGAUUCACUUGGGUAUUAUUCUUGCGUACUAAAGAUUGUGCUUUUAGUGAAUUUGAGAAACUAAUCAAGUUGCUUGAGAACAAACUAGAUACAAGACUUGUAGGUAUUCGAAGUGAUCAUGGUGGGGAAUUCCAAAAAGACUUCAUUACUUAUUGUGAAGAAAGAGGAAUCUCACAUGAGUUCUCAGCACCUCGUACACCUCAGCAAAAUGGAGUUGUAGAGCGUAAGAACAGGUCCUUACAAGAAACAGCUAGGACAUUGCUGCAGGAGAGCAAGCUGCCAAGAAGCUUUUGGGCAGAAGCUGUCAACACAGCAAGCUAUGUUCUUAACAGAGUGCUUAUCAGGCCAAUUCUCAACAAGACUCCUUAUGAAUUGCUAAGGAAAAAGAAGCCUAACAUCAGCUACUUCAAGGUUUUUGGAUCUAAGUGCUUCGUACUCAAAACCAUUGAUAGGGAUGGUAAAUUCGACUCUAAAUCUUAUGAAGCUAUAUUUUUGGGUUAUUCUUUAACAAGUCGUGCUUAUAGAGUGUAUAAUCUUGCUAAACAUACUGUUGAAGAGUCUAUUGAUGUUUCAUUUCAAGAGUCUACUGAUGAUCUUGCAAGGGAUGAGGAAGAAUGUGCAGGUACAGGUACUAGCAGCAAGCUGACAGUGAAGGAAACUGGAAAUCAGCAAGCUGACAAGUCAACUGCCACAACUUCAGAAGGCAAUAAAGCUACUGAAUCCACUCCAUCUCUUGAAGAAACUUUGGAUAAGAUGUCAAAGCUCACAUUGGAUGAAUCCAGAGGUCAAACUUCAUCAGCAAGCCAAAAUGUUGUUGAUCAGACUCCUCCUAGGCAGACUACAAGGAAUGAAGAGGUCAUAGCUCAACAUAAUCUACCAAAAUCAACUAGAACAGUGAAGAAUCAUCCUCCUCAGUUGAUCAUUGGAGAUAAAUCAGCUGGAAUCAAGACAAGGAAAGCUCAAGCCAACAUUUGUGCUUAUGCUGCCUUCAUAGCUCAAGAGGAACCAAAGAAUGUUCAAGAAGCUUUACAAGAUGAAAAUUGGAUCAUGGCAAUGCAAGAAGAACUCAACCAAUUCGAAAGAUGUGAUGUUUGGGAACUUGUAGAUCCACCAGAGGAUGCUUCAAUUGUUGGAACCAAAUGGGUGUUCAAGAAUAAAGUUGAUGAAUUUGGUACUAUCACUCGGAACAAAGCUAGACUUGUUGCACAAGGAUACAAUCAGCAAGAAGGAAUUGAUUUUGAUCAAACAUAUGCUCCGGUUGCAAGAUUGGAAUCUAUUAGGAUGCUAUUAUCAUUUGCAUGCUACAAGAAGUUCAAGCUACAUCAAAUGGACGUCAAAAGUGCAUUCUUAAAUGGAUAUCUAAAGGAAGAAGUCUAUGUCAAGCAACCACCAGGAUUCGAGGAUGAAAAAUAUCCCAACCGUGUCUACAAGCUCAAGAAGGCACUAUAUGGAUUAAGGCAAGCACCUCGAUCAUGGUAUGAAAGGUUAAGUGAAUUUUUGAUCAAAAAUGGUUUCAUUAGAGGUAAAAUUGAUCCUACUUUGUUUACUAUCUUUAAAGGUCAAGAUAUAUUAGUUGUUCAAAUAUAUGUAGAUGAUAUUAUAUUUGGAUCUACUAAUGAUUCUUUGUGUAAGUGGUUUUCAAAGUGCAUGCAUAGUGAGUUUGACAUGAGCAUGAUGGGAGAGCUCAAUUAUUUCUUGGGGCUCCAAAUUAAGCAAACUCCAGAAGGAAUUUAUGUGCAUCAAUCCAAGUAUAUCAAGAAUCUACUCAAAAGAUUUGGAUAUGAGAAUAUCAAGGCGAAAUCAACACCAAUGAGCGUUGUCAGCAAGCUGACAGCAGAUGAAAAUGGUAAAGAUGUUGAUAUUCGAAUGUAUAGAGGUAUGAUUGGUAGUUUACUUUAUCUUACAGCCUCUAGACCUGAUAUUAUGUAUAGUGUUUGUGUUUGUGCUAGAUUUCAAGCAAAACCAAAGGAUUCUCACUUACAAGCUGUUAAAAGAAUAUUUAAAUAUUUAAGUGGAACCAUUACUUUGGGCUUAUUCUAUCCUAUCACAAAUGCUUUUGAUCUUGUUGGGUAUAGUGAUGCAGAUUAUGCAGGUAGUCAAACUGAUAGAAAAAGUACAAGUGGUGUUUGUGCAUUUUUGGGUCAAAGCUUAGUUUCUUGGUUAAGCAAGAAGCAAACUUCAGUUGCUCUAUCUACGGCUGAGGGGGAGUAUUUAGCAGCUGGUAGCUGUUGCUCUCAAAUGCUAUGGAUGAGACAACAAUUGAAGGACUUUGGAAUCAAAUGCAAGCAAACUCCUAUCUUUUGUGACAACACAAGUACAAUCAACAUUUCAGAAAAUCCAGUCAAUCAUUCAAGGACAAAGCAUAUUGAUGUUCGACAUCAUUUUCUGAGAGACAAUGUUGCAAAGGGUGCUGUCAAGUUAAUUUUUGUGGCUACAGCAGAUCAGCUAGCUGACAUCUUCACAAAACCUCUUCCUGAAGAACGAUAUGUCGUGCUGAGAAGGGAAUUGGGUAUGUGUGAUGUGCAGUCAGCAGGCUCUUAAGCAUGGUCCGGGUACUAUCAGCUUACUCCUAGCAUUUUACAUAAUUUUUAUUUAUUUUGCAUGCCGGUCAGUUUAAGUGUUUAUUUGAAAUCUGUGCUCUUAAAUGAUAUUGCCGUUGUAUGUUUAGAAAGUUGAAAUUUUGUGUUGAAUUUUGAUACGUGAUUAUGUGCUUAUCUGUGUAAUUUAUGAUAAGUUUAAAAUUCAAAUUUGUUACACUGAGUAUAUAUAUAGGUGUGAUAAGUGAUAAGUGGUUAUUAGAUGUUUUAAAGUGUUCGGGAGCUAAAAGAUUAACAUGAAUUAUUUUAGGAGUUUUACUUCGUUUAAUUUUAUUCCUAAAACUACUCCCCUGAUAAUUGUUAAAAGAGUUUUAAAAUCUCUACUCACUCCACACCUCUUCAACUACAUAUACAACCCUCCUCGAGACGCUAGGGUUUUAUCGCUACUUCUCCGAAAACUCUUCGUACUCACCAUAGCCUCAAUCGGUCUCCGUGUCGCAAUGAGGAAAAAGACGAGAGCUAACGUCAAAGCCCACACCCCACAGCCCUCUUCGAUUUCCCAAAAGAGAAAGCUAAUUGAUGAGGAUGAUGAUGAGUUGGUCACUGUGGAAAGCGGCGAUGAGUUGUCUGGUGUCAAUCGCGGUGAUACUGGAGUUGAAUCGGGUCAGAAGAAGGUCAAAUCGGAAGUUCUUGCUGUUCGCGGACUCGCCGGUCGGAAAGUUAUCUUGGGUAAGCCUAUUUCCGGCAAAACUUUCUUUACUUGUGGCAUUGUCAAGUUGUUUGAGGAUCUAGGGUUUCACUCUUUCUUGGUUGAUUUACCUAAGAUUUGCUAUCCUGAUUUGGUUCGAGAAUUUUAUGCAAAUCUUCAACUAGUUGGGUCGGAUCAGUUUGUUUCUUUUGUUUCGGAUGUUAAGAUAUGUUUGUCUUCAAUGUUUUUGGGUGCGAUUUUAAAAAUUCCACCAUCUACUGUGUCUAUCCAUACUAAGAGAGGUCCUAAAGAUGUCGAGGGUUUUUCUCACAACGACCAGUUGAAAUUGAUUACUGGGUCUGAGAAUGUUUCUGAUACUAUGUUUCCUUCCACUACACAACUACUUCCACUUGCUCAAGCACUUUUUAAACUAUCUAUUGAGAAUGUCAGUCCGAGACUUGGUACUAGGUCUAACUUGUCUUCACAAGAUAUUGUUGUUGUUUCGAUGAUAAUGGCUGGUAGAAAAUUUGAUUUGGCUGAAUUGAUUUUAAAGAAUAUGCUGGAGUCAGUUGAGGGUAAGUCAUCUGGUGGACUGCCAUAUGGGUUUUUGUUGACAAGAGUUUUUGAGUGGUUUGGGGUGUCCUUUGUUGGUGAGGAUUCUGUGUCUGCUAAAGAAUUUCUUGAUAUGAAAUUCUUAACUCAAUCAAACUUGAAGUUGGAUAAGGAUGGUCAGUUGGUUGUUGUUGAGGUGUCUCCACCUACACCUCCUGCUCAAUCUGUGAACGUUGUUGACUUGGGAAUCUCUGCACAAGAGAUUCAUGCUUAUAUGGAUGAACUUCGAGCAAAUCACAAGGAUGUGAUGGAUGGGCAGAAGCAGCUAUCUGAGCAGAUGGCUGAGUUGGUUUCUCAGGUUGGUUUUUGGAAAGACAUGAUGUUUGGGGCUCGAACGUCUACUGCUUCUGAGAAGUGCAGUUCUGGAAGCUUCGCUUAUGAGCUCUGCAAAAGGAUGUAUGGCUCUGGGGGUUCGUCUGAUGUUAAGGCCACUUUCACUUCAGAAGAUGAUGCUACAGACAGUCCAAGGCCAAGGUCAGCAUUGGAUGCCCUAAAGGAAGCAGCUGGAACAGAUUCUAAGUAUGCUGCUGCUGGGAAUGCACUGAUGGCUGAAAAUCUGAUUGCUGCAGAGCUUGCCAAGAAGUUUGCCAAGGACAAGGAUGAUCAGGACAAGGCUGGAACUUGAUUUUCUCACCUUUUUAAUGAUUAAGGGGGAGGAAAUUAGGAAAUUAAUAAUACUUUACUUAAGUUUGUGUUAUCUGCUUAAGUACAUUGGCCCUAAGUUUAUUUGUUUCUAAGACUAAGUUGGUUUGGAUUUGAAUUUGGUGAUCUCAGGAGGUUUAUCCUGAGUUAAUUUGUUUAAGUUGUUUGGAUAAUUAUCUAUGCAUAUUUGCUUUGGUUAAUUGCUUUCUGCGUUAAAUAUUGCAUAUUUGUGAAUAUUUGUGAAUUAGAUAUAUCUGCUAGAUUUUAUUCUCUGUGAUAAUUGUGAAAGUUUAAUGAUAUUAGAUUGCUAUAUUUAGGGGGAGUUAAUUACUUUUCCUAAUAUAGUGUAAUCAUCAAAAAGGGGGAGAUUGAUACUCUCAAGGUUUUGAUGAUGACACUAACAGCAAGCUAAUAACAUGAAACUGAUAUGUGUUAGCAUGCUAUCAAAGGUUGUUUAUGCGGACUAACAGUAUUUCAGGAUGUUAGCAUGAUUAUAGCUGUCAGCAAGCUUACAGGGAUAUUUACAAGCUAUCAGCAGGCUUACAGCGUGAACAGAGAAACAAUCGGAUAAAGAUCAAAGUCUAUUUUCAAGGAGAUUUAAUAGGAAACGACUUUGUAAGGAUUCUAAUAUUUGUAUAUAUCUUAUAUAAAUAUUAGAGCUCAGUUUUAUAAAGAGUUUUCUUCAAAAACGUUUUCCUAACAAAUAGGAGAUUUUAUUUCAAAUCGAUCUUAUCUUUAACAAACUCCUAUUUAGUUUCAAACGGGUUUUAUUUUAAAUACUUUACUGAGAUGAUUUCAAACGUGACUUAUCCUUUACUCAGUAAUCUUACUUCAUUCAAACGUUCAUCAUUCAAUUCAAAUUUAAACGUGAGGUUGUUACCAAGAUCGUUGGGAAAUUUGUUGGAUUAUGACCGUUGGUAUGAUGUAUAUAAAUUUGUGUGUGCUUUCAUUUUUGGUAGAGAACAAGGAGAACACACCAAGCUUUCUGAAAUACAACUCUUUACAUUGCUAAAUCUUUUAUUGAGCUCUAGUACUUAUAUUUGCAUAUAUAUCUAUAUUGAGAGUUCAUAGUUUCGGUUGUAUUACACUUAUUCAUUGUAUUGUUCAAGGUGUAAUGUUUUGUUGCUGUGUAUCCAGCUUGUGAAACAAGGGAACAAGGGAACUAGUUAGCUAGAAGAGUAUACUUGGGAAGUAUAGGUCUUGGUAGGCUUUUGGUUCGUGGUUCAGGGGUUUCAGCAGGCUGAUAACAGGAACAAGGGAGAAAGGGAGUUAUAUUAUUGAAUCUUGUAAUCGUUGAUAUUAUUGAUUAAUAAUAUAAUCUCUUACCAGUUGGUAGGGGACCAGGACGUAGACCAUUAGGGUUAGGGGUCGAACCUGGCUAAAAUUCUUGGUGUUGCUAGCAUACUGCUUUACAUUAUCUGCAUUGCAUUUAUCUUGUUAGCAGGCUAACUGUUUACUCUGAAAAUUAACAGCAGGCUGUCUUUGACAGAUUAAUUAUUCGGUAACUUAUAAAAAUCGGGUAUAUUAGCCAUAACACCUAUUCACCCCCCCCUCUAGGUGUAUAAUUUCAUACUCUAUACUGCCACUAGGGUUAAAGGGCUAGCUAGGACAAAAUAUAAUUACUUAGAGCUAUACAACAGCAAUAAAUAUCCUGCCAGAUGGGGGGAAAACAGGCAGUCGAAAUAACAAAGUAGGAAUCCUUUUUCUAAAUCACCAAAGUGAGCAUGACAUCUCUACCGGAGCUGGCUUUAAAGAUAGCAUAUCUCUUGAAUAGACGCCGCAUUAGAAAAAUGUUGUUAGUGCUAUGCAAACUCACACCAGUAACUCACUACCAACCAUGUGGUGGCAGCGUUGGACUUUUGGAACACAUGCUGAUAUUGUGAAGUUGCUUCAUCCUGGUUUCUGGGUUGCAUAACCCUGCAUAUUCCUCAAUAAAUAGCUAAUUAGAGAGUACUUUGAUCAUAUAUGCAUAAAUGGAAAAAUUUCUCCACAAUUAAACAUCAAACAUUACUGAGGCAACAUUUGCUCCUCCCAAUUCCAAUUUACGGAGUGAAGAUCAGCAUUGGGAACUGAAACUUUAAAAAGUAGGUUUUGCUUUGAUGAAAUUUAUUUCAUGAGAGCCUUACUUCAGUUCAACAGGAGUCACAGGGUAGAACUGGAGCUAAUUAGAAUGGAUCAUUUUCUUUAGAUAUCUUAGAAUGUCUAUGACUUUUGAGAAAUAUAUCUUUCUAUUCCCUAAAAUUAAGAUUACUUCUCAUAGGUGAUAUAUCUUCCCAAAAUUUAGUUCUACAAACCUGGUUUCUUUUUGCUAAUUUUCUUUUCCAAAUCGUAUAUAUAUUCUAGUAAUUAAUGUUCUCUUAAUUCCAAGAGGCAUCCUAGGAUUUCAAAGAGGAUAUAGAUCUCUAUUGUCUAAGUUGUACACUUCUUGUAGGAAAAAAAACAAGGAGAAAUUAUAUGGUUUUUUUAGAAAACCCGCGUCUUCUGUAUAGCAGAUUACAGAGGAAGAAUACCAAAUCCUGCCAGUUGCUCCUAUGACUCAUAUUAACAUUUUCUGAAGCCUAUAUCUAAAGAUGCCUGUGUAUCGGACAGAGCCAAAAAAAAAAGAACACAAAAUCAAUAAUUUCUUAAAACCAUGCCCAAUGCACAAGAUACGAUGAGCUGAAUAGAACUAUGUUCUUAAGACUCCAAAACUCCUUUGAACUUGAUAAAUAAAUCGACUGCGCAGAUACUGUUAUGAUGAAUAUCCAUGAUUUGUAUGUAAGCUUAGUAUAGUUCCCAAUAAGAUUUUGCUGAUAUAUUAGUAAACUCUUAGUACCUGAACAUUUUGGUAUAUCCCAGACUGCAAUGGAGGUAGAGGUGCAUCGUGAAUCACAAAUUGCUCUGUUAUCUUCAUGCCAAACAUUCAGUGCAAGCAUCCACGAGCCAAUAGUAACAUCCUCAUUGUUAAACAUUCUUAAACUGGCAGUUUUGAAUUAAAUUUAACAAACAGAAAGAACAAAUCUAUAAGCAUAACCAACAGAUUAAAAUGUAAUCAACCUAUGUGUACUGAACUUAUGGCCUCAAUGGUAAAAUCCUUUCUCUUGCUACCACAUCAAAGAAAAAAGGGCUUCUUAUUGGAAAUGCUACGACAUCCCCAAGUAAAAAAAACAACAAACCUAUAUAAUGACAUACCUAUUGUUCCUUGCAAUUACCAGUGAUGCCACGACCCCUGCGGAAAGAACAUAAAUAGGUCCAUAAGCAUGCAUGAAGUAUCCGCUGCCUAUUACGUCCGCUGAUUUCUCAAACCUGAAAUUUUUAGCGAGGAAGUACUUUCUUAAUAAAGAACAGAAUAUAGCGCAGUUUUGUAUAACUGAGGCACAAGGCAUAUAGUUAUAUUAAUUUACCACUUUGAUUUUGGAUUGGUAAACACGGGUCCUUUCUUCAUGCAUCCAAUGUAAGUCAGUGCAUGGGUUCUUUCCUUAGCUAGAAGAGUUGCAAGCCUAUCUGAUAUAUUUUACACAUAAGUAUAAGUGUAUAACUAGUUAAAUAUAUGUAUGACACUGCUAGUUUAAAACUUGAGGUGACAGUAAAAUACCUGGACGCAGAUAAAUGUCAUCAUCAGCUUUGACGUAAUAAUUUGCUUCGAACAGUUGAAAAGCUGCUUUGAAAUAUGCCAAUCUAUGGUUUCGGAACAUGUACUGAUAAGUUCCAAUUAGAUAUUAUAAAAUUAUGUAUUCAGAUAUUCAAAUCCUUACGAUUUGUAUUUAAGGUUUCGGUAUUCUUCCUCCACAUCUAAAAUCAGAAAGUCAUUGUACUCCUCGAUCUCUUUCUCAAGCUCUGCCAUUUUUCUUGCAUUUUUAGUUCGACCAAUAACAAACCUAAAAGCUAAUCCUGUAGCUUGCUCCAACCUACAUAUGGUAAGAAUAAAAUGAUAUCCAUUUAGUAAUACUACUAACACUUUUAUUGUGUUCACAACAUAAGACAGUCAUUGUGGCAUUUUCAUCAUGAGUCAGAAAAGAAGAAGAAAUUUGAUUUCCUGGUUAAGUUUCAAUGCAAGUGCAACGACGGACUUAUAACUUUCACAGCAAAGAACCAAACUUAUCAUGUACAAUAAGACUGUACUAACAUGUUCCGCUGCUUAUUCAUAAAAAUGUAUGGUGAAGUGAGGAACCAUUGAAAGAUGUACUGUACAGAAGCACAAGUGAAAUUCAUUCACAACAAAUAAAUUCAUCAUUUUUUACAGUGUACACAAAACACAAUGAAUAGAGGCAUGUCAGUUGCAACAACCAAAUUUUACUCCUGAAUUAGCUUAUCAAAAAAAUGUUGAUAGCUAAAGUAUAAUAACAAUGGACCAAGAAAACUUGUUACUUUCGAGUUUAUUAUUCUAUCGAGAGUAAAAAUACAAUAUUUCAGGACCAACAAAGAUAUUAUUUUAAGUACAUAUUACUUUUUCCGAUUGAGGUCCGACUGUAGUACCUAAGAAGAGCAUCAGGAUGAGAAGGAAACCAUGUACUUCUCAGAGCCCGUCUGCGAUCACGUGACCCGAACCCGGUUUGUAUACCCACCAACCCGACAAAUUUGAUCCUAUCUGUCAGCACCCCAUUGGUCAUGGACUCUCCACCUGGUCGUUGAGAGAGCGAAUAGAACGGGCGGAACGUGUCCUCCACGCGCCCACAUCGGAAAGUGGGGAUGGGUCCGAGCACGGCGUAGAGAGCGAAAAUGACGCCGGAGAGACAAAAGAUGAAGCUGAGAGAGACUAGGAGCCAUGUGGGGUUGUAGAGGCGGAGAAGAAAGAUGGGUUUUCUUGGGCUUGAUGAGUUUCCGAAGGUCGGGAGAUAAUCGGCGGUGGCUAUAAUGCCGGCGGCCGAGUUGAACGGAGAGAAUUUACGCGGCAUUACUGUACCCUCAUGUUAUACAUGGACUGCCAGACGGUAAUCAGGUGAUGAUUGAUUAACAAAAGGAAAAUGCUUGGUGCACAUAAUUGUGUACAAAAACAUGUACAUGAUGACAUGUGGCGGAUUUUAAUUGGAUGGCCCCCUUGCAUUUACACCAACCACCUCAAUUAAAACCCACCACAUCACUUGCCACAUCAUUAUGUACAAAUUUUCUGUACACAAUUAUGUGCACCUAGCACUACUCUUAACAAAAUUAUAGUGCAGUAUAUAAAAAUUUAACGGGGUUUUAGAUAUAUCAUAUUUUCAAAUAUAUGUUUUUUAAAAAUAUUUCUGAAAAUAAAGAAUUUUCAAACGGUUUACUACUAUUGCAACAAUAGUUGUAAAUGAUCAAUCAAAAUCAAUUGCAAAUACGAUUUCAAAAAUCUAAUACAUGAAAUCACAUAUUAUUACAAUAUGUCGUAUGAUAUUCUGCAUCGCAGAUUACUUUACGAUUCUUAAAUGCAAAUAUUAUAUUAUAACACGACUCUCCAUCUAAUGGUCCGAGAUUGUAAAAAAAAGUCAAUAUCUGUCUAAAAAAAUUUCAUUCAUCUUCGAGAAAAAAUCGGAUAUUAUUUGUAUCCGAAAUAAAGCAAAUAUUAUCAGUAUCCGAAUAUGUGAUAUUCGAAUCCGAGAUUAAAUACAUGCAAGAUAUUUAAAUUCUAUAUUAUAUAAUUAAAUAAAAUUAAAAAUUGAUUCUAUUAGCUUGUAUUGUAUAUAUGUAUUAAACAAUACUACAUUUUUAUAGACUUUAUAUAAUUAUACAAAUAUUUUACAUAUAUAAAAAUAUCAUUUAAAUCGUAAAAUAUUGUUCUAAAAUCAUCAUAAAUAUAAUGGGCCUAUAAAAAAUCUGAUAUCCACCUGAAAUAUCCACAUUCAUAUCAGAGAAAAAACAUAUAUUAUUCGUAUCCAAAGAAGCGGAUGUUAUCUGUAUCCGAAUCCAAUAAUUACGGACACAGAUAUAAACAUAUGUGUAUUCUAAUUACUCGUUUGAUAGUCAACAAGAUCUUAUCGGAGUCCGAGCCUGCCGAUCUCCAUUUAUUACCACUCCUUUAUUACCACUCCUCCACAGACUCCUCAUUUCCUAUCUAACACGAUCUCACCAGAAUCUGGCAAUGUCCUCUUGUCACGGCCAUUCCCGCACACUUAUUUCUGGUGUGUUCGACGAAGAGAUGGGUCGAGGUAACAUCAUCAAUGAAUGCUAUUUUAUAUUAUGGUUUGUCUAGUAUGUGUCUCUUGGCAUAUGGCGCGGAAUUUUAUAUAUUUGGGAGCUUUGUGGUUGUUAUAUAUAUAAGAGGGUCACCAUUAUUAAAAUAUAAACACCAAUCAAAAACUCCCAAACAUAUAAAAUUUCGCGUUUAACAUGUGUUUAUGGAAAAAACCGUUACAUUAGUAGUUUUUAUUUUAGAAAGAUGUUCUUAAAAAAAAGAGACCACGGUGAAAAGAUUUUAACAGGGAUGAUGGGUGUUGGGCUCAAAGAGUGGGAAUUGUGCAUGCCCAGACCUACCCAGACAGAUCCACUACCACCAGGGUAUCUAUCUGUUGUCGGGCCCAAUAUUUUGAUUAUUUGGGUAUCCAGUGUGAUCACGUAAGGUAAAAUUGUAAAUGCUUACUUUUCUCCUGGUUGUUGUCUGGUGUUCAAUUCUGAGCUUUCAUCGUUUUUCAUUUGAUAACCUUCUUAAAUUGUUUAUAUUUCAAUUUUUCCCAGAUUAUAAAUUUACAUUACAUGAUAUAAAACUAAUGUGAUAUAGUAUUUUCACAACCUUUCCAAAUUUAUGAACUAAAUAUUAACGGCUUACAUAAUUUUACUUAUUUUUUAUUUCUCACACUAUUAAUACUUAUAUUAGUUUUCGUGUUCAAACCAACAUAAACAAUUAGGUAGAAUGAACGGAAUAUUUUUUAAAUGAAGAUAAAAAAAUGGUAAAACUUCUUUUAUAUUGUAAUUUCUUCAUCAAAAAUUAUAAAAUUAUAUUCUAAACGUUUCAAAAAAGUAAAGUUGAAUAACUCUUUUAAUGUUAUUUUUUAUAUAUUUUAUAACAAAAAAGAAUAAGAAUGAAUAAAGUAGUGUAACAGCUAAUCUUUGAUGAAUAAAGGAUAAAGAAUAGCAAAUAUUUAGGAAAUUUGUUUGCUUAACUUAUGUAAAUAUACUAAUGUGGAAUAUUAUUGUCAAAAUUAAUUAAUAUUCUAGAAGGUGAAGAAAGAAAAACGAAAAUUACCAUGUGUGGACUGUGGACUACAAGCAAGAGCCAAAAUAGUAUUCUAUGGUGCCAUUUUCUUGGAAAGACGCACACUAAAAAUAUUAUAUCCGAGAAAAAUCUUUGUACUUAACUGUUUUUUUUCUCUGUUUUCAUAUUAAAAUAAAUAAUAAAUUUGGAAUUUUAAAAAUUAAAAAUUUAUUUGACUGAGAUUUUAGUGGAUUAUAUAUGAUUUCUAGAUUUAUGAAUUGUGUGUUCAUUUUGAUUUUAUGCAAAUUCUUUAUAAAAUGUCAUAGAGUUGACAUAAAAAAUUUGAGAUUUAAACAAAAUAUUUCAAAAUCAGUGGUGAAAUUUCGAAAAAAAUGAAAUACACAUAACAAUAUCACACAAAAUUUUUAUUUUAUGAAGUACAAAAAAAUUCAAGAGUAUUUGAAUACUAUCGAAUUUUAAUAGAUUUUAAAUGAUUUCAAUUAAAUACUAUCAGAUUUUUUCAGUACAAUUUACAAAGCUAAUUAAAUAGUCCAGAUCAUGUAACAUAUUUAAAAUUUUAAUUGAAAUGUAACAGAUUUUAAUGAAUUUUAAGUGAUCCUAAUUGUAUAUCAUCAAAUUUUUAAGAAUAAUUUAAAAAAUCUAAAAGAGUGUAUUCAAUUAGAAUUUUAAAGGAUUUUUUUUUUACUUACAAAAUCCGAAAGUAUUCAACUCGUGUUUUAAAAAGUAUCAUAAACUUGGAGUAUUUAAUUAGGAUUUUAAAUUAUGUUAUAAAAUAUGGUGGUAUUCAAUCAUGAUUUUAAAUCAUGUUUCAAAAUUUGAUGGUAUUAAUUACUCUCUCCGUCCCCUUUUACCUGUCCAUUUUGCAUUUCGAGAGUCUAAUUGACCAAUUUUUGACUAAACAUUACAAAUUAUCUACUCAUUAUUUUUAAAAUCUGAAAGUUGCAUAUUAAAAUAAACUAAAUAUACUUUCUAUUGAUAUAAUUUUUAUUAUUUUUCUCAAUUAUUUGAUACAUGUAAAGUUCAGUCAAAAUAAAGUCAUUUUGACUGGUCAAAAGUCAAAAUGGACAUGUAAAAUGGGACGGAGGGAGUAUUUAAAAUCUAUUAAAAUCUGAUGGAUUUUUUUAGAUUUCAAUUUUAUGGAUUGCUUGAUGUAUUUUAAGAUAUUUGAAAUCUCACCGAAAUUCAUGAGAUUUUAAAUUAUUGUGCUUAAACAUUCUAUAUCAGUUCCACGACAUUUUAUCUAGAAUGCGCAUAAAAUCAAAAUCAAAUAGAAUUCAUUAAAAUCUGUAGACAGUUGUAAAAUUCAUUAAAUAUUAGUUGGACACACCCACCAUAAUUAAAUACUAUUGAAUUUUGUAGCAAUUAAGUUUAAAAUUCUAACUAAAUAUCUCAAAAUUUUAAUACUUUUUAAAAUCAAAAUCGGAUGUAUCUAGAUUACAUGAAUAAAUCUUUUUAAAAUCUUAAUGAAUACACCCCUUAUCUCAUGUAUACUUUUUAUACGUUUUUAUUCUUAUUCCCAACACUUUUUCUAUUUCUUUUAAUUUCUGUUAUCGUAACGAAAGAAGAAAGAAAUGAGCUAAGACAAAGAACUAGUAUAAAACAACGUAUGUACCAACUAAACAAGAUAUAUCAUCUCUAAAGCUUGUCGCAUUAGGGAAAAUGGAGGGUGAAGCAGCCACAGUAACCGUGCUUGAACACUGCAAAGUGAGUCCAGCCCCAGACGGUGUCCCCGUGACAUCUCUGCACCUCCCAUUUUUCGACUUGUUAUGGCUCACUUUCCAUCCCCUCGGCCGUCUCAUCUUGUAUGAUUUUCCGCACUCCACCAACCAUUUUAUUCAAAAAACCGUUCCGAUUCUGAAAACAUCACUCUCUCUCGCCCUCAAAAACUUCACUCCCCUGGCUGGAAAAUUACUAAUUCCCUCCGAUGCUGAUUCCAACGCUGAUUGCCUGAUCCGAUACUCGGACGGAGACUCGGUCUCUGUCACAUUUGCUGAGUGCAACGGCGAUGUUAAUCAUUUCUUUGGAGGCCAUGCACGCGAUGCAGACGUAUUAAAGCCUCUUGCUACUCCAAUCUCUUCGACUAGUCUGUUUGCUAUUCAGGUUACGGUAUUCCCGAACAGGGCCAUUUCUAUUGGAAUCAUGAACUCCCAUGUGGUUGCAGAUGGGAACACUGUGUUCAAUUUUAUACGAGCAUGGGCUUCGAUUGCUAAACGACUCUGCAGCUCUGAUAUUGUGUCUACAGAGGAUUACAUGAUCCCGGAUUAUGAUAGGAGUUCUAUUAAGGAUCCCUACGGUCUGGGCACCAUGAUUAUGAAAUCUUUAGGACCGCUAAUUAAACAGGUCCAGAUAAAAGAAUCUUCGGUCCCCAGGGCCAGAGCGACGUUUGUUUUAACUGAAUCUAAAAUUCAAGCCCUCAAGAAGACGGUUUUAGCCAAACGGCCUGAAUUAUCCUACGUGUCAUCUUUCACCGUCACGUGUGCUUAUCUCUGGACAUGUUUCGCAAAAUCAAGAUACAAUGUGGAGAAGGAGAAGCACAGGCUAGAUGAGCCUCAGAACUUCGGGUUUGUCAUGGACUGUCGUGCUCGACUGGAUCCGCCCCUGCCUAAUUCCUACUUCGGCAAUUGCUUAGUCCCCUGCAUCGCAGCGCAGACUGGGAGAGUUAUGGCAGGAGAUGAAGGGCUAGAGGCUGCCGCAGAGGUGCUGGGAAAUGCAAUUGCUGUGAAGCUCAAGGAAGGUCCCUUGCACGAUUCGGAGAAAUGGAUGGAGCAAUUCGCGGGGUUAAUGAGAGGGGAAUGGAGUAUUGGCAUUGCUGGCUCCCCGAAAUUGGACUACUACAACAAUAUUGAUUUCGGAUGGGGUAAGCCUCUCAAGUUCGAAUUCGUGAACGAGACAUUAUCGUUGUCGAGAUGUAAAGAUUCCAAAAUGGACAUUGAAAUUGGAGUCAUUUUGCCUGAAGCUGAGAUGGAUGAGUUCUCAACGCUUUUCAUCCAAGGCUUGCGUGAUUUGGACGGCUAAGCUGUUUUCAGAAACAACGUUUCUCAUAUUUUCUGUUUGCUGGUUACGUAUUUUCUCAGAACUCUUAUUAAAAAUGGGACAAAACAUUAUAUGUCUUCUAAUAACUGUUUUUUAGUUUUUAUAAACGCACACAGUUUUUCUGUUAUCAAGGCAAAAGUGCUUGAAUGCUUUUCUUAAAAUGUCCGGUGGUUAACUUGUUCUAUUAUUUGUGCCAUUAUCAACUACUUGCUAGCCACUUCCACGAUAACGGCAGAUCAAUAUUGUUGGAUCUGCGGAAAGAGNNNNNNNNNNNNNNNNNNNNNNNNNNNNNNNNNNNNNNNNNNNNNNNNNNNNNNNNNNNNNNNNNNNNNNNNNNNNNNNNNNNNNNNNNNNNNNNNNNNNNNNNNNNNNNNNNNNNNNNNNNNNNNNNNNNNNNNNNNNNNNNNNNNNNNNNNNNNNNNNNNNNNNNNNNNNNNNAAAGAGUGUUUACCAAAUAAUCUUUGUUAUUCUGUGAAAUUUUGAAACUCGAAUUGUUCAGUAAACUGUUUAAAUUAACCGAAGGACCUGUCCCUAGCCAUCGGUUGUAUCCAACCAGCUAUUCGCAGUAGCACCCACAAAUUUGCGCUGGUAGGUAAGUUGAAAAACGGCCUGUGCUGCUCUGUUUUAGCAGCACUGAUCCCCUUAAUUUUUGUUGAAAUUUUGGCAGCACUUCUCUGUUAAUGCAAGUUACCAGUCCUGUUUUUUUUGUAAGCAACAACCAACUACAGUACAAGUCAUCCCAUCAUCCAACUAAAGAAGAAUUACAAGCAACUCAAUACAGCAUACGAAUACACACAACCACCGACAUAAACACAAAUAAAACAAAGCCAUUAAAUUACGAAAAAUGCUAGAGCACCCAAAUCUAUUUCCAAAAUGAAUCGUAAAUGUCACUUAUCAUGAUUUAAUUAACUAAACUCUAUAAAAUAUAAUAGGCCCCGAGUAUUCACAAUAAUCUCAACAACUAAAACAUCCCAAACUGACACAUCAUCAACGCCAUGUUACUUGGGAAGAAUUCUAGGUACCGAAUUUGGGGUCUCUAGCAUUAUUCUUACAUUACAACUACGAGUAGACAUUAAAGUAUAACCACCACAAAUUUAAGUUCUAUCUAAUAAAAGUUCUGAUAAAAUCACAACUAUAUAGAAGCAUUGUCAAUGGUCUCAUCUUCCCCUUUUGAAGCUCACGUGCAAAAUGCAUUAUCAAAUAUAAUUUGUCUGACUAAUAGGUCCUGCCAAUUUGUCAUCCAUACCUGCAAAUUGUAAACAAAAACGUGAUUUUAUUCAUGACAUUCAACACCUGAAAUUUCAACUAAAUUAAAUCUCUUAGUUAUAAUAAACUAUAAAGUAAACUACUAAUUUCCGCAACUAUAGUAUAAGUAAUGUUUAUAAUGUUAUGUUGAUAUAAUUUUUAUUUUUAAAUUCAAGUUUAUUAGUAGGAUGUUUAAAAUUAGGGACACGCAUAAACGAAAAACUGAUGAAAUAUAUCUGAUUGUAAUGAACUACACUAAAAUAUUGAAUUUGGCUGGUGAAACCAUCAACUUACUAACUCUAUAUUUUAGGUAGAACACAUUUUGGGUUGGUCUUCAAUCCUGAUUGACUUUCAGGUAGCAGAAUACUGAUUGAAUUUGCACCUCAUUUUUGCAAGAGAACUCCCUGAAACCCAUAACCUAUAUCCCAAGUUAGAACUGAAAGGAACAUUCCAUCUGCAGUAAUCUCUCUAUAGUGAUCUAGAUACAGCCAAAAAAUCAAGUUCGGGAUUAUUGAUAAGUUAGAGAAAACCAGAGGCCUAGUUAAUUAUCAACUUGCCAAGUACCAUAUAAACCCAAAAAUCCCUCUUAAGACGUAGUCCCUCGAUAAGCUCAUUUACAACUUAUACAACCCAACUUAUACAACUAUCAGCAUCAUAUACAACCUAACUUAAUUACAAUUUUCAACUGUAACUCAUGGGUCCAAACUACAUGCCUCGUCUCCGGUACUAAAAACAAUUCAAAACUUUUAGAGAAACAAACUCCAUCUACAUAUAUCUAUACAUAAAGACAUUGUAAUUACAUAAAUAAUAAUAACAAAAAUAAUAACCACCAAAAUAAAUAAGCAGCAACUCAAAUUUUGUUUAUUGUGGAGAAAUAAUGCAAUACUAGCAAUGCUAACUGCUACUAACAGAAACAUUCGCUAAUUGGAACAAAUCGAACUGUAACCCUAACCCCAAUUCUAAUUAACAGCCUAAACCUAAUCCUCAGUUCGACCGAAGAGUAUAAUAUGAAGAAAACGAACAUACCUGUUAAUCACCAAUGAACUUGCAGUACAAUCGCAGAAGGUGAUGGGAUCGUCUUCUAAUCGCUGGCAGCCUUGAAAAUGAUGGUUAACUUCUAAGCGGGAGAUUGAGUAGGGUUUUAGAGGACCUUUCUUUUGAAUCGAACCAGUCUACCAGCUCUUUUUUUAAGCCGGAAGCACUAAUGGUAUUUUCGUAAAUAUUUUUAAAAUUUCACCUUCAAGCCAAAAAAGAGCUGGUAACUUGAAGCGAAUAUUUAAUCUCAGCCGUUGGAUCAUAGCUGGCCGAAUAAAACGUCCCUGGCCAUUCCUGGCCAUCAAUGGCCAGGGACGAGCUCCUAUAAAAAAUAAAUACAUAAUAUAUGUCUUACUCGAGUAAAACCCAAAAUAAGUAUUACAAGGCAAAAGGUCUCAUGCUACCUGACACUUACAAUUGAUAUAAUAAUAUUACAAAAAAAGUUUUGAUUUUCAAUGCUAUCAUCUUUGUUUCACAGAUUAGUAUGCAACUCAUACUUAUUGAUUAUGGAUACAACUUGAGCAUCAUGAGACUCUGAACUCGGAACUGCUACUGUUCAAUUUUUGUGCUUUUAUAUAUGCAGAAACAGCCUCUUCUACAUAGCACUGUCCUAUAUAAGUUCAAAGAUUUCAAAACUACCUCAGACUCUCCCAAGUAUAAUUUACUAGAGAAUCAGUUGCGUUCUCGAAUUAUCCUUUUAAUCAAAUGCGUGGUCGAACAAUUCUUCCUGCUUUUCUGCAUGACAGCUGAUCAGGAAGAGACUCGUCCUUAUGAUUCUGACUCACGAAUUCCAGAACCACUGAAGCUAAUUCAUCUUGAUGUGAAGUAUAUUCAUGGUCUGCUAGUUCUAUAACGAACAGUCUGUGGUUUGCAAUGUACUUGCCAAACUCCAUGGCAUCUUCGACCGGUAUCAUUUCAUCCUUGGAACCAUGAACAGUCAAGACCCUGCAAAAUAUAAGAUGGGAAACAGCAAAAUGAUUCAAAAAAAUUCAACCCAUUUAAAAUGUGAAUCCAUUAUUGGUGUUUGAUGAAGACAGCAGCAACUUUGAAUAUGUCACUGGACUGAGAAAAAAAUUCACAGUUUCUGCAUAUAACAUAAUGUAACGAGUUGAAUUUUUUCACCGGCAGUUUCGUUGGAUUGCAAGGGAUGCUGCACGCAUAUCGGUUGUUAGACGAUCCAUUAAACUUGCUUCAGUCACUCGAUACUCUAUCUUGCCUGAGAAACCAUUUAGUUCAAACAAUGAUUCAGAAACAAACAAGGUGCUACUAAUUCAUUAGUGGUAAAGGGGUAAACAUGAUGUAUAUAUUUAUAUGCUCUCCUCAAGCAAAAUGAUAUAUAAGGGGUAAACAGAAUGUCAAAUUAAAUAAAACAUUGGAUGCAAAAGCAUUUGCCAAAAACAGGAGAAAACCACCCUUUAAACAAAAAAAAAAAAAAACCAAAUAAAAAAAUUAGCAGUCUAGAUUUAAAGUUACAUUCCUGCAGACAUACAAAAGAAAUCAAAAGUAACUACCCAGGGCAGACAACAAGCAUUUAAUUAUGGACUUAAUAUUUUACUCAUUUUUUUGUAUAUAUCGAUAUGAGUAUGUAGGCUGAAUGAAGUUUUUAAUAUUGCUUGAAGUCCCCCAAUUAUUUACCAUCUGCAGAAAAUUCAACAUCAUUCUCCAUUAAUGUUUUCUUGAUGAAAAGAGGUGCUAGAAUGUAAUUAUGCAAAGGGUUCUUCGUCCAGCCUAUAUAUGUAAGCACCUCUUCUAAGCCAACAACUGCUUUUUUAAGGAGUAUAACAAAUGAUAAUAAAAAUAUAUGUUUUUUGUAAAUUAAGCAUAGGAAACUCCUAAUUUUGAAAAUAAGGAGUUUAAUUUAAUCCCAAAUAAAAGUCUAAAAUGCAUGUAUGCUCACCUUUUCUGUCUUUAACAUCAACAAAACCACUUUGUUUGAUUCUUUUCAAGAAGUCUUUACCCAAACGCCCUCCAAUGCCCCUCUCUAGAUUAAAGCGACCUGAAAUGUUGACAACUGUGCUAACAUCCCUGUACUUUGAAGCAUACAGCAGCACUACAUUGCCUCCUGCAGAUAUACCACAUACCCGUAUCUGUACAAUCAAAAAUAUAUCUGAAAAAGUAUAUCUGCAUUGCUAUCAUGUAGAAUCUAUUCAAGUUUACUUAAAAUCAUAUCUUGUCCAGUAGUUUUGAAGUGUGCAAAUCAAGUUCCAAGAGUUCGAGGUCAGGGGUACGAUACCAUGAUUGACAAAAACAGUUCUUCAGGAGUUGGGACUACCUACCAUAGCAAAAGCACUCCAAUAAGUGUAAUAGGAUGCUUCACACCCCUAUAAAAGGAAUUAAUAAUUUUCUUAUUUUGUAAAUUUGGGAGUCAGGACGGGGGUAUAUGACAAAACAAUUAUAAGAACUAUCUCAAUGCCAGAGCUGGUUUUGUUUUCUAAAAGUGCUAUUAUGUUGAAUCUGUGGUUAAUAUAUGAAGAAUUAAAUUGUAAGUUGCCACAUCAAAUCUUUUUCCUGCUAUUAACAAAGAAGACUUUAUAAGCUUCAAGUGAAAAACAAAAACUGCCUGCCACAAGCUCCUGGGAGAAAACAAAAUAAUCUAUCUGCAUUUGGUCUUUAGAUAAUACACUGUGUUUCAUAAAAAAAAUUACACAAUAACUUAAAAAUUAUUACUGCAACAGAAAAAGAGAAGAAAGAUAUGUAAUUUUUUGCAUAACAUCAUUAAAAUGUACUCCCUCCGAUUGUUUACGUUCACUGUUUGCACGCAAUUUGAGGCUCCUAUAAAGUACAGUUCCAUUUCCAUAAUGUUUUUUUUAUUGUUUUUUGAAUAAAACUUUAAACGUCAAACUUUUAUUCUAGAAAAAAAAAAUAUUAUGGAACUAUACUUUAUAGGAGCCUCAAAAUGCGUGUCAAAAAGUAACAUAAAGAACCUAUUGGGACAGAGGGAGUAUAUGCUCAAUAUUGUUUUAUUGCUUACCCGCCUUCAUAAAAUAACAUACCGUAUAGUUCUUUCAAGUAUAUAAAGAAUAAAGCACCACAGCUCUGUUCUAUGUUAAGAUUUCAAAAAGAAAAGAGACCUUUACUGUGCCCUAUAACAGCAGCAAUGAGACGUUUCUUGGCAUGAAAGAACUCAACAACAUUGCGCAACUCAUCAGCUUCUCUACGAUAGUUACCAUACUGAAAAGAACCCUCACUUUCCCUAAUAAAACGUAAAGUUGGAUUACUCACAAACAGAAUUGUAAGCUCAGACAAACAAUAUCAGUAUUUGUAUGAUGACUAUUAGUUGAAGUAAUUAAAUUAAACAGAAUUUAAUAACCAGUUUGUGAUGAAUUCCGAAAAGACAACAAUUUAGUCCACGUGCAAUAUUUUCACACAGAACUUUAUCAAAUAUGAAUGAUAAUUGUACAAAUACACACACACUGGUAUGUGAUGGGGAUCCCAGAUCAGGUUCGAUUUUUUGGUGAUAAACUAAUUUUCAGGUCCAGCAGUUGGUUUUAAGAGCCUCAAACUCUGUUCCUGGUUUUCUAGCUCAUAUCACAUCUACUAUACAUUUUCAUCUCUCUAAUAUUAUCUAGUUAACCCAUAUUCUAGAGAGCAAGAGAGGUAUAAGGAGGUAUAAAGACUUGAAGAAAAAAAAUAUCUGUUAUCUGUGCCUGCUUGGGCAUCCAUGUUUUAUUUAUACAUGUAUCCCUGUUAUUCCCUGGUUAUAGUAAGGUGGUAACUACAGUACGAACACAAAGCAUAUUGCCUAUUGUAUUGUAUCAAAAACUUCAUCAUAGUUUUCUUUAGUGAAGCACAAAUGCAGCAAUGCAUUGUAUUACAUCAACAACUUCAUUGUACUUAUUUUCCUUUUAUGAAGUGCACAAGCACUUAAUUUCUUUUAUGAAGUUAUUAAGGAGUGGAGAACAAUUUUUAGAUUUAGAGAGGAAAAUUCUGGGUGUACCUUGCUGCUAGCAAGAGAACUUAAGGAUAGACUACCACUAUGUUGCACUUGAAUGCUAGCUAAUUUGUCAGGAAUAAGUGGCCAAACAGCUGAAUGGAUAUUAAAAUAAAUUUAAAUUAUUAAACACAAAUUGAGAUCUUCCACCUCCUUUGUGUUCAGAUUUUAAAAACUUACCCAUUACCCGUAAAAUCAAAGCGGAAGGCACUAAUUCCAUUAUUUGCAAAAGCAGCAGCAAGGUUCACCAUAGGAAUUCUCUCCUAGCAAUAAGUUAGGGAAACAAUAAAUACAAAAGGACAGUGUGACUGAAAUAGUGAAAUCCCAACAACAGUUCAACAUUACAGGCUGGCAACAUAGUAGAACCGAAGAGCAAAUUCAAAAACGAACAUAAGAACCCUUUUGGGAGAACUCAAUAACAGGCAACGGGAAUCAAUGUGUAGAUAACAAUUAAAUGGAGAAUAUUAUCCAUAAAACUGCCUGCAAAGUGUUGACAAAGUGUGUAUAAUCAAUAAUGUACGACUCAAUUGCUGUUAAGGACCCCUAAAUUUCAUGACCUGAUACUGAUAACAGAUUAAUCGUGCAUAACGACAUGUCAUGACUUGUAUGCAAAGACGCAGGUGAACUUAAUAUCAAUUGUGUACAGGUGGAUGUGUAAAACUUCGAUACAAUGCAACAUCCCCUCUAAAGUAAUACAAAAUUCUCACUAUGAGCUUCCUUGGCAGAUAUUACCUACCUUCGAAGACCUAAAGCCAUGGCAGAUAAUUACAAGCUCCUUGGAGCCUGUUUCAUGUAGUAUGCCGACAAGCUUCUCGCCAUGGUUGUUUCCUACUAUAAUUCUCUGCAACUGAACUGAAAACAACACGUAGGUUAGCUCUAUUAAAAGCAUUCCAACAACUUUAUAAAGCUUCAAUUACCUAGUGAUUACAAUUAGUUAGAAGUCAGAGCAACCUCAAGAGAUUACAGUUAGUGAUUAUACAUGAACUAUUAACCAAAUAUUUUACCCAUAUUUUACACACGAGUAAUCACUACUAAAAUUCAAUAAUUAAGAAAAAGACGCAAAUUACCUGGGUCUGAUACAGCCAUCCCAGGAGUUUGGGAAAUUUUAAUCCGGUGGCUCUUUUUAGUAUUUUAGGAUUCACCAAACAUUGCGGGUGUUUGGCGCUUAAAAGCACAGUCUCUGAGCAUACUCCCUCGUCCCUCCUGUGCUAGUUGACUUAGGAAACUUAUAAAGUGUAUUGAUUAAAAUUUUUAUUUGUAAAUGAAAAUUGCAUAUUUAAAAUUUUAUUUAUAAAAAUAAAAUUUUAAAUAUAAGUAAUAUAACUACGUGGUUAAUGGACUAUUUAAAAUCACCGAGCCGAUCUAAUUUGGGAUGGAUGGAGUAUUAUAAGUUAAAAGCACUUGUUAGUUCAAAAAAUAUUUAUAAAAAAUUAUUAAGAAUAUCAAGUUUUUGUUGUAUAUGUGUGUUUUAUGAAAACUUGGAAAAUAUCGAAAUUAUUGAUUAUUUCGGUAACUAUAUACGAUUGCUCAAAUCGGUUUAAGAAAGCGUAUUAAUAAAUAAAAUGUCUGAGUAAUAUUAGAUUUGGUAAAUAUUUUGAGGGAAAAGUUUUAAAACUUCAACUAAAAAUAUCAUAAUAAUAUUAACUCAAUUUUAAUAAAUUAUUUAUUUAAACAUUUAGAUUAUUUUAUUAGUUAUGAUUUCCACUUUUUAUUAUAUAUAUGAUAUAUUUUAUUGUAAAUAAAAAAACUAACAACAUAAAUUUUUUGAAUUGAACACCUCAUAAAAUUUAGUCUUCCAUAACCAAUUUUCAUAUUAUUCAUGAUAAAUAAAUAAGAGUAUAUAAAUUCUCAAUGUAAUUUUAACUUCUUCUCAAUGGCAUGCAUCUAAAUUUUAACUAGUUUUUUAACUAGCUUACAACCUAACUUGUUAUUUGUAAGUGACUUUUUGAAUAAUUUGUCGGCGUUUAAAGCAACUAAAAAUUACUAAAUUUCAUCAAUUUUAUAUAGUUUGCUCCAAUUUCCUAUUUUAACAAUAUCAAGUAAAUUUUUAAUAUUAUAAUGUUGAAACUAUAUUACGGAAGUUUAAAGUAUAUUGUCAUGCAAAAUUAUCAAGUUUCGGAACUGCUCUUGUGUCAUAUCAUUUUGAUGAAUAAACUGUUCUAAUGCCAACAUUAACUUCAAAAUCUUAUAUUUUUCAAAAAAUGCGCAUUCAUGAAAUCAAUGUAUUGUUUAAUGAAUAAAAAAUAUUUUAAAAAAAGUCCAACCAUUUCCAAAUUCCAAGUAUGAAAAAAGGUUCUGAGUUUAUUGGAGACUAUUUUGAUACGUUCUAAGAAUCAUUUGAAUUUCCAACUGAUGUUGGUAGAGAUUUCUAAUCAAAGCAUUACAAUUCCAAGUUCGGAAAAGUAUGGUAGAUAAAGUACAUUAAGAAAACUAUGUAAAAUAAAUAAAUUGCUGCAGAUCUAAUUGAUUUAGCAAAAGAGAAAAUUUAAUCUCUCUUCUACACUUUGUUUUAAGCUCCAGGCUGACAUAGUGGAAUGAGGAUUCUAAUGAUGUGGUACAUAGCACUACAGUAAUGUCCUUGACUAACUAUUUGCCUGCUAAUAUUAAUAUGCACAAAAACCAUUACACAAUCCUAUGCUAAGAUCCAACAGGAGCAACACCUUUUCCCUUGGCUGCAGCAGCAGCGGCAGCGGAAGCUGCUGCAGAAGCUGCAGCUGCCGCAGCUUCUGCGGCUGCCGCAGAAUCUGCGGCAGUGGGUCCUGAGGGGGGGACUGGGGUGCACUUUAUAUUGCUUUGGGCUGCAACCACCUUUUGUUCUUGCUGGUCAGAAUUGAACUGAGCGAGAAGGGCCUUGAUCUGACUUCCACUAAGCGUCUCACGCUCAAGUAAAGCAUUGGCAAGUGCAUGGAGCUCCUUCUCAUGGGUGGUGAGAAUGGUUUUUGCAUUAUUAUAUGCACUCGCCAAUAAUUCUCGGACUUCUUCCUCAAUGAGAAGUCUAGUCUCAGUGCUCAUGCUUUUUCCAUUGUCAUCAUAAUUGUGAGUAACAACCCCUACUUGUUUGCUCAUUCCAAAUUUUGUAACCAUUGCUCUGGCAAGAUUAGUUGCUUGCUUGAGAUCAGAAGAUGCACCUGAUGUAACUUCAUUUUCACCAAAGAUAAGCUCUUCUGCAACCCGCCCGCCCAUGCAAACAUUAAGCCGAGCCAGCAUCUGCUUACGGGAUAUACUAGUUUCGUCCUUAUCUGGUAACUGAGAAACCAUGCCAAGAGACAUACCUCGAGGAACAAUAGUUGCCUUGUGUACUGGAAGAGCCCCAUCAGUAUGGAUUGCUACCAACGCAUGGCCACCCUCAUGGAAAGCGGUUAGCUUUCUUGAUUCAUCUGAUAUAACAGCUGACUUGCGUUCACUGCCCAUCAAGAUCUUGUCCUUGGCAUAUUCUAAAUCAGCCAUGCUCACCGAUUUGGAACCAUCCAUAGCAGCCUUGAGAGCUGCAACAUUGACCAAAUUUGCAAGAUCUGCACCAGAAAACCCUGGAGUUCCUCUGGCAAUUAUCAUCAGAUCGACAUCAUCUCCCUUUAAAACCUGUCAAAUGGUGUUUAGAUACAUAUUCGAUAGAGUUACCCACAAUCUCAAGUAUUUUAAGUUUCAGAAAUAACCGCCUGCCUAUGGCUUCAUCACAAUCAUAUUAGGUGCGAUUUAAAGCAAGCAUACAGAACACCAACAGAAAAAGCCUCGGGAAGUGUCCUUAGCUGAGACACCAAAUAACCAUGAUUAUUAAUAAGAUAAUACCAGCCAAACCAGAAAAAAAAUAGAAGGGUCAGGGAAGAGUAAGCUGUACAAAGGACCCUACUUUUAAGGUGGAGGUUAGUUUUUGUGAAGACCUAUGCUUUAAAAAGGUUUAUAAGAUUUUAAAAAUUAUGCAAGUAAAUUAAAAGUUCCUUAAGAUAACAAGAAACAACAAUGGCAUGAAGUAAUGCAUAUACAGUAAUUUAAAAAGAAAGUGCGUAAGUACUAGAAAACCCUCACAUAUACAAUUAAAUGGUCACUUGCAAUUUUAAAUGAUUCGAAUUGCUAGUUUGCAGAGAGAAAUCCCAAAUACAGAGACUCUUAGUCAUAAUUGACAAACUAGCAAGCACUUUUGAGAAUGUUGGGGCCUGGGGGUGUUAUCACAUGCCCUGUUAGCAUGUGAUAAUUAAAUCAAAAUCGGAAUACUACUGUUUUCACAAAUAUGUCAUCCCUUACAAGUUUGUUUUUACUUGUUCUUACACGCCAAUGCACUCAUUUAAUUUAGUGAUGCUCAUGGAAGAUAAGUCACUUUAAAAACUACCUUAUAAACAAGAGAGUGACUCAUAGAAACUUUAAUGUUCAAAUAAAAAUUGAUUGUCAAGUAGAUGAUUACAAAUACUUUAUUAAUUUUAAUUAGUGGUAGUAGAGUUUAGUAAAAGAAUUUGUGACAACCCGGGUCAAAUCCCGAGUCUUUUUCCGAAAAUCGGGUCAAGUCCCGAAUUCCGAAUUCGAAAAUAAGCCGAAAUACACUGGCCCAAUUGCAACAACUUGGGUAAUCCACAAGCCCACCACAGGCCCCCAAAAGAUCAUGAUUUGUUGGUGCAAUUAGUAGUAGUACUUAUGUUUAUAAACUGAACUAAAGUCCUCACACUUCCCGAUGUGGGACUGGGGUGUUACAAACUCCCCCACUUAAAUUCCUGACGUCCUCGUCAGGCCGAAACGGAUAGCCCAUAGGCCCAGAUCGAACCUCUCUAGCUAUUGUGGGAUGAUACCGGCUGGCUUCGUGUCCCCGCCUCCGGAUCUCUGUCCAUUGCGGGAUAAUACCACCAGCCUUCGUGUCCCCAACUCCGGCAACUUGACGAAUCAAGCUUUCGAGAGCCUGGCUCUGAUACCAUAUGUGACAACCCGGGUCAAAUCCCGAGUCUUUUUCCGAAAAUCGGGUCAAGUCCCGAAUUCCGAAUCCGAAAAUAAGCUGAAAUACACUGGCCCAAUUGCAACAACUUGGGUAAUCCACAAGCCCACCACAGGCCCCCAAAAGAUCAUGAUUUGUUGGUGCAAUUAGUAGUAGUACUUAUGCUUAUAAACUGAACUAAAGUCCUCACACUUCCUGAUGUGGGACUGGGGUGUUACAGCAUUGAACUCUGGAAGCUAGGUUAUUCUUAGAUUCGCUUCUUAUAUAUUUAUUACAAAGGAUUGUUAUUUCAAAGUGCUCAAAAGGGUCUGUUUGAGAGUGCUGUUAAAAAUUGCUAUGUUGUCAGAAAAAGUGCUGGUAAAAAAGGUGUUGUUGCAGAAAUCAGAUAACUGUUUGGUAAUAUUUUUGAUAUUUUCCUAUUUUAAGUUGUAACAUAAAAAAAUAAUGUUUUGGUGAGGUUUGAUAAUAAAAUCUGUAACAGCUUCCUACAAUAGCUGAAAAGCAGUUUUUUUCCAAAAGCAUAGGAGGACCUGCUUGUUCUAAAAGCAGCUUUUCAGCUAAAAACUCUUGUUCGACAAAGCUGCUGAUAGAUUUACCAAACAGUUUUUCACCUUCUUUUUAGCAAAAAGUUGUUGCUGUAUGCAACAACAAUGCCAAACAGUACCUAAGUAGUGGAAAUGUAAAAUUUCAUACAACAAGCCAAUACAGUACUUGAUACAACAGCUGUUAUAUACAAUAUUCAAUAAAAAAAAAAUCAUACUAUGAAUUCUAAGGUUGAAGUUCUAAGUUGAAAAACUGGCUUUUUAGUUUAGAAUUAAACAUUGUGUAUUAAGCACUAAAAUUUGGUUUCUUAUUUAAUGUAUUUUGCUAAUAUCGUGCGUAGAUGGACUAUAGUUAAGCCCAAAAAAACCCAUAGUAAAUCAACCUUUCUAUGCUUUCAACAAGUUCUAUUUUUGGGUUUUAGCAUGCAGCCACUAACAAUUGUCAAUUACCAAAUGAAUUCUGACAACAGAAAUUUUACCUUUGAAAUGUGAGAUUCCAUAAUCUGCCUUCGGCCUUCAACAUCUGGAUUUGGUACAACAAUGUGACGAUCAAAUCGUCCAGGUCUCACCAGUGCCUUAUCUAAUGAUUCAGGGAAGUUAGUAGCAGCAACUACUAUAAUCCCUUCAUUUUGUUUAAAGCCAUCCAGUUCAACGAGCAAUUGGUUCAAAGUCAUCUUCAUGUACUGCUGAUCUUUUGGGUUGCGACUACCUCCUAUGGCAUCUAUCUCAUCAAUAAAAAUUAUGCAUGGGGACCGCUUCUUUCCAGCUGAAAAUAGAUCUCUCACUCUUCGGGCUCCAACACCAACAAACAUCUCUUCAAACUCACUGCCGCUACAUGAGAAAAAAGGAACCCCAGCUUCACCUGCUAUAGCCCUUGCCAACAUAGUUUUGCCAGUGCCAGGAGGACCAACAAGCAGAACACCUUUUGGUAGCUUCCCCCCGAGACGAGUAAAGCGCUGUAACAAACAAGAAGCUAAGAAAUGCACAUGUAAAAUAAAUACUAAUGCCCAUUCGAAGUACUGUUUUUUUAUCUUCUAACAAAGAGGCAGUGGUACAAAAAGUUCUCUAAAAUUUUGAGAUGAUGUAAUUACCUUAGGAUCCCGAAGAUAGUGAACAAUCUCUUCUAGCUCUGCUUUUGCUUCAUCAACACCCUUCACAUCAUUAAAUUUUGUCUUAGAUUCCAUGGUUGGUUGCACCUCUUCUUGGAGACCAAGCCCUGCAGUGUAGAAAAAAGAAGAGGGUAAUGCUAAAAGAAAAAAAGACGUGUUUGUAGAAAGAAUAAAUCUCAGCAUACUAACAUAUACACUACUAACUCGCUACCUACAAUUUAGGAGCAAGUUAGAGCACAUCUUCUAGUUACUUUAUCACUUUCUACUAUUAUUUAAUGUCAGUUAAGGAUUAAAAAUACAAGUAAAAAAAAUCUAACCUAUAGUCUAUUUCCUUUUUAAUGCAUUAACUUUGUGAUCACAUAUUUAUCUUUUAUUAUGUAACAUUUUUGUACUUUAAUAAGUAUUAUAUAAAGUAACUUAUAUCAUGAUAUUUGAUAUUAAAUAAAAUAGUAUUUCUUUAUUUUUAAAUAAGAUAAUUUAUUAAUUGUACUUUACUUCUUUUUUUUUAAAUUUCAAUAGGAUGUUUAUCACUAUACAUAUGAUUCUCCAAAUAUUUUUGCCAUGAUUUGAAACAAUGUUAAUGUUAAUUCACUCAAAAGGUAGAAUACAAUGUGAUAUAAAGUUAUAUAAAGAUUUUUGCAUAAUUGUUUUUAACAUAAUCACGUUCAGUAAAAAAAAUUAUAUAUUCUAUAAAUAUAUUAAUUUUUGGUAAAUGUUUAUGACACAAAUAUAUAUGAUAUAUGAUAUAAUUUUCAUAGAAUACAUAUAAAUAAAAUUUUAUAAUAUAUAAAGUAACGUUUUUUUAAGGAAAAGUAUUGUUUCAAAAUAUGACACACAUCAGGAUCUAAAAGGGGAAAAAAUUGUACAUAAGUUUUGAUAGCAAUGAUACUCUUACAUUGAAACUAUAACAAUACUCUUACGUCAAAAGUCUAACAGAGACAAAGAAAAGAAAACCGAAUGAGAAGUGAUUCCUAAUCUAUUCCACAAUUCUAGGUCGUGAGUAAGUAAUGCAUACGUAUGUAUGCCAAGAUUUAUUCUUGGAGAAAAUUUAUUAUGAUACCAGUUUAUAAGUAGUACCUUUAGUUAUUCCUCUAUCCUCGAUAAGUGCCCCAACACCUGAAAUUAUGAGAAAGGCCAAACCUAAUGUUCGAACAGUACGCCACAACUGUUGUUUAAAGCUUCCUCCCUCAGUAGCCACCGUAUGUAUAGGAGCAGAGGGUGUUCCCAGACCACUGUCUUUUGUCCUUUUACCCACACUUCCAAAGGCUGAAAGGCCGCCAAUACUUUCUUCCCGCAUUCUACUAGAACCUGAAGCUCCUGUGUGGAAUUGUGUAGAAUUAAUAGUGAGUAUGACAUUUGACAACCCAAUGGAAUCAAUAGGACUUACUAGUGUAAACUUGAUCCCUGAUGUUCAUAUUAAUUACAUAUACACAAUAUUGCAUGUGUGUGUGUACAUGCAUGUGACUUUGCAGACAGUGAUAUGUUCAUCUCAAACAAAAGGUCUAUUUGGUGUCCCCACCCCAACGUCUAAUUUUUAAAUGGAAUGGCUCAGAAACAAUAUGUCCAUAUGUAUUGCAAUGGAUUAAACACAUGUUAAUAAAUUAUGAAAUAUUAUUUUAUCUAUUGAGAAAUCGCAACUAUAAAGCUAACAAGGCAUCUUUUGCAGCGAAAAUUGCAAAUUGUAUUUUUAAUUCUAUCCUCUGGAUGACUUCUAAUGUUAACCAUUGUCAUGGUUUUAAACCAAAACCAUAAAACGCAAAGUUGGGGACCGUUAUGUUGGUAAAGGUAAUAGAGGAUUGACAAUUCAGCCUAAAAGUGCAAUAUAUGUACAAAACAAAAGAUUUCCAAGAAACUUAAAAAUUCGGUGACCAUAAUUAUGUACAGUAUAAAAAAGAGUUCGAACUCAGAAGCAAGUUCUGAUAAGAAACUCACCUCUCUGUAACAUCUUAAGCAACUCACUCUCAUCCAACCUAUCAACUCUAACUAAUGCCUUGACAUAUUCAGCAAGUGCUGAUUGGCUGGUAUGCAAAGAAGGUUGACUUUCAAACAAUCUUAUCACUUCAUCUGGAUCAUUUCGCCGUAAAAGCUCUCCAAGAUAAGCUGCAUCACCUGAUCCAUCUGUAUCACGUACUCUCCGAGCUAAACGUCCAAUAUAACUGGACUGAAAACGACGAGGACCGCCAGACAGACUGCUCACUGCACAAGAAUGAAAAGGAAUUCAAUAAACUUAAUAUAUUGCACUGAAGAAUAAAAAGAAGGGCUUAUACAUGCACAAUGUUUUUCAAAUAGUUUCAUGAAAUAACUGUAUACUUGUUUAAACAGUAAAAAUAAUUUAAUAUAUAAAGUAAAGUAUACUACAUCCAAUUGACAACAAAAGACAGAGAUCUUAUUUCAGAAUGACCUUAGGAACUGAUAAUUAAUUUAUUGUUAAGGUAAUAGAUGUAGAGGACUCAGUUUUCGCUUGAUAAACUUCUUUAAACGAAAAAUAUCAACAAGCAUAGACAUACAGGUGACUGAAAGAAAUAAACAUUUAAAUUUUUAACAAGCUAAUAAUAUAGAACUGCAGACCUACAACCAUGUGAUAUAAAAAAACAUGACGUAAACCCCACCCCCCUUCUACCUAUCUUUAUGUGAAGACUGAAGAACAUCUUUUAAUUACUAUAACCAUUGGUUAUAUACAGAACAGUGUAUGUAUUUGAGUUCAAAGACUUUUGAAGUUUCAAGUCUUGUCAGUUUAUAAAAUAGAACAUUAAUCAACAGAUCAGAUAUAUGUGAGUAAUCUAAUAAGCCAAACGGGAAAAAUAUAUGGAAGGGAUAUGAAAUAUAAGUAUCCCUAUAAAUGCCCUUUUACAUGAAGAAAUUUCAACUUGCAAAAUAACUUUUUCUUCUAUUCCAAAAACAUGUAAUGAUGUAUUAACAUAAAACAUUAGUCAACUGGAUGGUUAUAUUAACAUUAACCUAUCAAAAUCAAGUUGGGAAGACUAACAUCAUGUUUGGUUUAGGUUUAUAAUUGUAAUUUAAUUCUUUCCUCCGACCCAUUCGUAAUCACCUAAACUAGAGCGCAACCCCCAAAAUGAAGAAGGAAUGCUCAUACCAAUUUUCUACCCACUUCUCAUCAUUUAUAUUUGCACUCUUGUUUUAAUACAAAGAAAAUCCCCCUACUACCACCAUUAUCCCCCUUUAAUUUCAUUCAUUCCAUUACAUUGUUCCCCACCAAACAGAGCUUAAGAACUAUACAAGUGCUUGCAUUAGAAUAAAGAAAAUUCCCCUAAUACCUCUGCUUCCGUCAAUCGCCCUUGAAGUAAAAUAAGACCUCAAAGACAACUUGUUCAAGUGAUUGAUCUCUCCGUGCUUUUCUGCAAACUGUUCAAUAAAAAGGAUUAACAGCAGAAAGACAAACUAUUUACUGAAGGCUGAGGCACCAAAAUAAUAUUAAAUUAAAUACUAAGAAGUGAAUGGUUCUAAAAUUCCCCGAUUUGGCCGAUUAAUCCCUGAUGAAUCCUCUGCAAGGUGCCUCCCCGGUUUGAUUUUCAAAAUCCAAUUAUUCACUGUAAUUUUUUUUACAUAAUAUGCUAUAUAGUAAAUCAAACUAAUAUAUCAAAUAUUAUUAUAAUAUUAUAAAAUAUCCAAUUUUUAAUCCCAUUAAUCCCUAAUCAGCACCUCCACCGAUUAUUACAACUAAGCUAAGAACACAUAAAAUAUCCUGAUAAAUGAAACAUAACAGAUAUUUAUGCAAUACCCAGAUAUAAAUUGUCUCGCACAAACCGAUGAAACAAGAAUCAAAUUAAAAAUAAAAAACAAAAUAAUCAGCAUAAAAAUAGGGGGGGGGGGGGGGGGGGGGNGAGCGACCUGGGUGAGAAGGCGCCUAAAAGCCAUUGUGGAUCAAGAAAACCCGAAACGAUCCAAACUUCGUCAGGAUAAAAUUUGUGUAAUGUAUGAGUGCAUAUGUACACGAAAAUUCGGAGUAACUAAUAGAGGAGAAAGUUGUUAGGUUAUGCAAUGGUCGCGAAUUGUCAUGACCGGGAAUGGUUUCUCUAGUUUGCGAAGAUACUACUACUGUCCGAGCCGUCGCAGAACAAAAUUAGCAGUGAUAUCAAAUCCCCGUGAGAGCGUGACUUUGAGCUUCUAGGAUAAACACACGCGUAUUGUGUUUAGUUUAACUAGCGAAAAAAGCCGCGCUACGGGCGGCGUGAUAAAUUUUGAUAUGAAUCAUGAUAUGAAUCAGUAUUAUAAUAGUAUAAAAAUUAUUUUGAAUCAUCAUCCCGUUAAACAUAUCACAAAUAAAAAAUAUUAUAAUUGAUAUACAAAUUUGUUUAAGUGGCCAUCCUUCGAAAUAAAAUACUAAUAAUAAAAUUGGUUGGAACACCCCUCCCGUCAAAAACAAUAUUAAUCCAUAAUUAUUACUUUUAUGAUAAAAUUAAAUAUUAUAAUUUAGAUCAAAAUUAGUUUGAGCCGCUCUCCUGUCAAACACAAUACUAAUAACAAAACAUCAUAAUUUAGAUAUUAGUUUGAGUCGUCUUACUGUCAAACACAAUACUAAUAAAACUUAUUCUAAUUAUGAUAAUAUUAAAUAUUAUAAUUGGAUAAAAAUUAUUUUGAACUGUGGUCUCGUUUUAACAAAAAAAUAUAUUAUAACAUAGAUAAAAAAUUAUUUUAGAAAAUAUAUUAUAACAUAGAUAAAAAAUUAUUUUAGCCACUUUCCCGUCAAACAUAAUACUGAUAGAAAAAUUAUUAUUAUUAUUUAGAUAAAAAUUAGUUUGGGUCGCUUCCCGUGCCCGUCAAACACAAUACUAAUCAAGAAUCAAUUACAUUAUCAUAAACUCAAUAUAUGAUUCCUAUUUUAUAUAUCCUAUUUCAUUUGUUAAUUAUUUUUAUUUUUUGAUUCCUAUAUAUUAGUUAAAAAUUAUUAUUUUUUUAUGGUUCUAAUUUUUUUUGCUAUUCGUUUUUUAUUGACUAUUAUCUUUACAAUCCUCUAUUUUAUAUUCGAAAUUUAAGAAAAUUAUAAGACUAAAUUGAACAUAAAAAUUGUACGUAUUACCUUACAAAUCUUAAAUAUAAAUUGUAUUUUAUCUAUGAUUGUUAGUUUAAAUAAAUAUAAUCCUAUUCCUUUUAGCAUUCCUAAAAAGAAAAGAAUUGUACUAUCUUUAGAAUCCAAAAAAAGAAAAAGAAUUGUAUUAACUUUUGGAAUCCAUGAACUUGAUUUUUUAAAUUAUAAUUAUAUUUUCUAUCCGAAAUUUAAGAGAAUUAUAAGAAUUUUUUUUUAUUAUUUUUAGAGUCCAAUAAAAAAAAGAAUUGCAUUACCUGUAAGAUCCUUGAACUUGAUUUUUGUUAAAUUAUAAUUAUAAUUUCUAUCCGAAAUUUAAGAAAAUUAUAAGAAAUUUUUUUUAUUAUUUUUAGAGUCCAAUAAAAAAAAGGAAUUGCAUUACCUGUAAGAUCCUUGAACUUGAUUUUUGGAUUAUAAUUUUAUUUUCUAUUCGAAAUUCAAGAAAUAUAUAAGAUUGAAUCGAAAUAUUAUCGAAAUUUUAGAGUAUUAUUAGCUUUAGAAUCCGAUAAGAAAAGAGUUAUAUUAUCUUUAGAAUUCUUAAACCUCAUUUUUUUGAAUUAUAAUUAUAUUUUUCCCUUCAAAAUUUAAGAAAAAUUAGAAAACUGAAUCGAACAAUUCUGAAGACGCCCGCAUCCUCCUUUAUAUAUAUAUAUAUUGAUGUAUUGCCUAUACGAUACAUGUAGUUCAAUUUAAUAAUUAAAAAAUAUUUAUAUAUUUUAAAUAAAUAUUUUGUUGAAAUUACCUAGAAUAUUUAAUUAAAUAAAAAAUUCAAAUACUGUUGAAUUCAAAUUUAUCACUUCUUAUAUUUAAUUUUAAAAUAUAUGGUUUGCGAUUGAAAAUGUAAUUUUGAUUUAAUUUUAAAAAGUGAUUUCUAAAUACAAUCACAACUAAUUGCUAAUCACAACUAAUUGAGGAGAUGGAGAAGAGAAGAAGGCAAGGAAGAAUGAUUUAUCUUUUACAAUUAAUGAGAUGGAGAAGAGAAAUGAGGAGAAGAAGGAGAGGGAGAAUGAUUUAUCUUUCAUGAUUCAGAUAUGUAUUAUAAAAGUUGACAAAGAAAACGACGAGUUUGAAGAACAUUUUUGGUGAGUUGAAGAACAUUUUCGGUGAGAAUGAUGAUUUUGGGACCGAUACCAUCACCGCUAAAGAGAGUGAUGGUUAGGGAUGACAAUGGGUUUAAUCGGUUCAGAAUUGGUCGGGUGAAACUAUCCUUUCUAAUGAUGGUGUAGUGUUUGGUGAGUGUGGUUGCGUAGCAGGUGAUUGUUCAAUUAUUAAAAUUUUAAAGUUGUAUUUAUGAUUAAAUUUGGUUGAUGAGUUGCACAAUAGCUGCAAAACUAAUUUUUAAAAAUAUUUUUUAAAAAUCGGUAAUCUUGAAUAUAUUUUUUUGAGUAUUUUUUGAAAGAACCCUAUAUUUUGUAUGUUGUUUAUGAAACUUAAAUAUUAGAAUUCUAAUAAUAUCUUAAUGAAAUUUUAAUUCAAUCUAACAAUUUUUAUCAUUUAAUUAUGGGAUCUAAUGAUUGUAAAAAUGAUCAAAUAUUUGUAUUUUGAAUUUUAACAAUAUUAACUUAUAACUUGUGUCAUUCAUGGAUAAUUUUUAAAAAUAUAUGUUUGUUUUAAUAAUUUAUAUGAUGUACGAAUAUUUUAUAUUAAUAUAUAUAAUAUAAUGUAUUUUUUUUAAGAAGCAAAAAGAAGACGCAAUAUCUUGAUUCAACAAAAUUGACAACUUCCUAAUACUUCUUGCAUGUUUGUUUCAUUACUGGUUGUAAAAUGUUGCAUUGAAAGAUGCUUGAUAUUAAAUUCACCCAGACAUGCUCUUGGUCUUGAUUUAGUUUCCAAUUAAAAAAAAUAGGAAGCACGAAAAAUAGAUAUGGAUUUUAUAAUAAGAUUUCAGAUCACUUACAAUUUCUAUUUUAAUUUGAUUAUAUCAUUAAAACACAAUGUCAUAUAUUCCGACAAAUUUUAUACAUGUCGUACGAAGACUAUUUUACAGCUUGCUCCCGAGUUUUUGUUAGGAGAGAAAGCGAGUGAAAGCAAGUGUUGCUCCCGAGUUUUUGUUAGGAGAGAAAGCGAGUGAAAGCAAGUGUUGCUCCCGAGUUUUUGUUAGGAGAGAAAGCGAGUGAAAGCAAGUGUUGCUCCCGAGUUUUUGUUAGGAGAGAAAGCGAGUGAAAGCAAGUGUGCUUUCACUUUCAUCUCACUUUUGGAGUGAAAGUUUUUGGAGUGAAACUAUACUAUAUUUGCACUCACUUUCACUCACUUUCAUCUCUUUAAAAAACUCGGGAGCAUGCAAAGGAGUGAAAGUUAGAUAACUUUACUUCCUCUUCACUUGCUUUCCUCCCAUUUUAAAACUCGGGAGGAGGGUGUUAGCUAAUCAUUUGUAUCCAACACUGUUGAAGACUUGAAAUGGCUCUAAUUAAAAUUUAUUUUUUUUUCUAAUAAAAAUUUUGGGUACAUAUUUAUAAUUAAAAAUUCUAAAUAAAAAAUAUUAUUAUUUUAAUUAAAAUUCUUUUAACAAAUUUUUAUUAUAUGAUCAAAGCAUCCAAAAUCACCUCCAAAUAGUCAAAUCAAAUGACCAAUAAAAAGUCCUGACAAAGAAAAAUGACCUAUAAAAAGUAUUCCAGGGAAUCUAAAUAUAAGGUUGCCACUUGCAUAUCAUGUACCGUUCGAUAUUUGCACGUAUUUUGAGAUUCUUAUAAAAUAUAAUUAUAUGAUUUUUUUAAAAUCUUUUAUUUUUUGAAUAAAGUUUAAAUAUCAAAUUUUUAUUAAAGAGAUAUUUUUUAAAAAUAUAUUUUGAAACUAUAAUCAAAAUGAAUCUUAAAAAAGAUGAAAAAAAAAGGUGGGGAGAGAGGAAGCCCGUGAAAUGUGAAUCCCAACUUUCUUUAUUAGAUGUGCACUCGUCAUACUCAAAAAAGAGCAUCAUAUCAUGUGAAAAAACAAAAAAGUAUGGCUUCGCCCGGGCUCGAACCGGGGACCGUCUGUGUGUUAGACAGACGUGAUAACCAACUACACCACGAAACCUUGAUGUUAAGGGCUGGAAGUUUAUUUUUUUAUUGAUAUACGAUUCUCAAUAUAAUGUAAUGGGAUGAGUAAUGACUGAUCAAGAUUCAAGGGUAGUGCAAAGAUAUUAUUGACCUAGAGAUGGCAAGUGUAGUUAUGUAAUUUGUGCUUAAAGAAUAAGUAGUUAUUCACGGUAGAAAGCAAUUAUCCGAAUUUGUUAUCCCAUUUCAACCUGAAAUAUAUCCUUCCCUUGACCGUGACCAAGAUACUCUCUUUAUUCCCAUAAUUACAUCAGCACUUGCUAGAUAUUUUAGGAUUUCAUUAAGCUUUUAUAAUAAUAAAACAUAAUAAAAUAUUUCAUUCUUUUUCCUUAUAAAGAAAAUAAUAUAUAUGAUUCAGUAUCACUAAUUUCAAGCUUUCAAUUAAUUCACACCAAAAGCACCUGACAAAAAAAAAACAAAAAACAAGAGGAUACCUGAGAAGAUUCCAUCAGAUUUUUAUUUUAAUUUUUCACCAUCAAAUUUGUAAAAGAUAUGUCGUUCCGACGAGAUUCAAAUUUCUAUGUAUUUGAGCAUAGCAAAGAUAUUUAAGUAAAAUUGAAACAUAUAUAAGCUAAAAUCGACUUAAUGCAUGAAAUACAAAAGCCUGGCUGCUACAGAAUAAAUUACAAUACCAUCAUCAUCAUUCUAUUUCUAUUCAAGCUCCCCAGAGCACCUAUUUCAAUGAGCUUGGGAACAAGAUGACCACUCAGAUGAAGUGCCACAAGGCUCUCAAACCCUCCCACACGUGUCCCUCCGAUGAACACUGCCGGCGCAUUCUCCCCGGCGGCGGUUACCUCAUCGUCCUCAAGCUCGAUCACCGUUGGAUGAACGCCGAUAUUCGACAAAAGCUGCUUCAUCACGUGACACAUGCAGCAACUAGAAGAGCGCGUGAAGAUCACGACGGGGUUCUCGGAAAUCAGCCGGUGGAUUCUCAUCUCCGGUGACUCGGAGACAUCGAUGGCAAGUGAACAAGUAGGUGGAGUGAGUUCUAGGCGGACGCCGCCGUCGUGCAAUCGAAGUCCGUUCAUGUCCGGCCGGCGGGAGAUAUUAUUUUGUGUAGGAGAGAAAUAAUAAUAUAAAGUGGCAAACAAAUAAUGAAACAGAGACGGAUGGAGUGAGUUGUAAUUUAUAGACAAUCUUUGUAAUUAGUGUGAUAAGUAAUAUUAUUUAAUUUUUUUGAUAAAUUAAAGCUACAAAGUGACGUAUAUUGCUAAUGAUGUCAUAUUGAAGAAAUAAAAUUACUGGGAUUAUAGAGUACUUUCGAUGAAGAACUAAGAAGACAUAGCCUCUCUCUCGUCGUAGCCGUCUGGGGCUUCCAUCGGUUUUCACCGGUGGAAAGCCCCGAAUCACUUGAUUGCUUUGUUUUUCUUUCUAGUUUUCUGAAUAAUACAUCUUCUCGGGAAACUUAGAUCUAAAACCAUCGGAGAUUUCCCUGUCUCUCUUCCAAGCGGGUGAGUUUCAGUCUGAUUUCUCUUGUUUUUGUGGUUUUGCUCCGGAUCUAUUCUCGGGAGAAUUCUUAGAUCUAAAACCAUCGGAGAUUUCAGUGUCUUUCUUCUCUGUUUUCAAGCGGGUGGAUUUUCAGUCUGAUUUCUCUUGUUUUUGUGGUUGUGCUUCAGAUCUAAGGUUGUUUUCUCUCCCUGGUGAGAGUUUUGUUUUUCGCUUCUUAAUUGUAAGCGGGGUUUUUGAUUUGGUGAUGAAAGUUUGUAUGGAAUCGCCGUUUUGGUCGAUAGCUCAAACGAUAGCUCUGUCAGGGCAUGAUGAAGAGGGUACCAGUAAUUCAACGAGGAUGCAUGAAACGGGUACUUGUAUUUGUAUAUACAUUUUCUUCAAAAUAUCGUUUAACUGUCUCCUUAUGAGAACAGGCGAUUGCAAAUUACUGUUUGUUCGACUCGAUCAUUGGUGUAGAUGCCGUAUGGCUUUUUGUUAUUAGAUUAACACCUUUGCUUCAAAAAAAAAAAACUAAGAAGACAUAAUUAUGUGAUAUUUUUUAUUUUGUAUUAUGCUGAGUAUAGGAUCAUUGGGUUUUUUCUUCUGAUGAUGAAUAUAAUAUAUAAUAUUAAUAAGUAACGAAUAUUGGAACUCGCGUAUGUUAUAAAUAUCGUGUUUAUUUUUUCAAUUAUUGGAGAUCGAAAAUAAAAAUGUGAGCUGUGAUUUGGAAGUAUGUGAGCUAAAGUUAAUAAGAGAAAAGUGUUGCUAAAUAUUUGCAGCACAUGGGCUGAUGGGCAUCACUAAUUUCUACGUGCGUCACUCUCUCUCAGUCUCUCCGAAUUAUUAUCUGCUUAUGACGUAGCAUUUGGUAGGUUAUUAUCGAAAGUGCCACACCUUUUUUUUUUUUUCUUGAAUGCCAGGUAUUGCAAUUAAGAAUCAAAAUUAAUCUAUUGGCAUAAUGAUUUAGGAAAUAUUUUUGAUAAUUUAGAGAGUUUUAAGCAAAUCAGAAUAUAAUCAGUAAAUUUUUAUUUUUUUUUAAAAUUAAUAAGAGGGUAGUCAAUUUAUUUUAAUAAUUCGGGAUUUUAAGAGCACUAACAGUAAGCGAGAUAUAUUUGUCGGUUAAGUGAAAAUAUAAAAAUAAAAAUGAGUUGAUUACAAAUUUAAACAAAAAAAGAGUGAUUUAUUAAGCAGUAAAGCAAAAAGAAGGUGAAUAAAAAAAGAGUUGCAGACGCAGAGUAAUGAAAGCAAAGGAGGGGGAGUGGAGGGGGCACCAGCCACCAGGAAUAUAUAAAAACAAAAAAGAGAGAACGUAGUGAAGUAGUGUUUAAGGAGGACCGUCGGUGGUGGCUUAUUAUUUUUGCGGUGGGCUUGGAUUACGUCGCCAUUUUCACUCUUUCUUUUAGAUUCAUGGAAUAUUACGGUCUCCAUGGAAUCUUGCAAGUCCUGUCAACUUACCUUGCAAAACCAGUACUCCCUCCGUUGAAGUUGAAAGCGUACAUUCGGGAGGGAGGGUCUGGUGCGUAUUAAAAAUUCAUAUAAAAUAUAAUUUAUAAAUUAUUUUAAUUUUUUAUUUUUGAAUAAAAAUUUAGUGUCUAAAUAUUUAUUCAAAAAUAUAAAAUUUUAAAAAUAAGGUAUUAAAUUAUAUUUUAUAGAAAUCUUAAAAUACUUGACAAAAUACUGUAGGCUGUAGCAAGAAAAUAGCCGAGAUUUAUAUAUAAAAAAAUUAUGCUGAUUUUUAAAACAAAACAUGAGUGAAUAUCAUUUUAUGGCUGGCGAUACUUCAACUUGAACAUAAAUUAGUCCUCCUGGGCCGAACUAAAAGGGUUUCCAACUCAAAGUCUUUACUUGUAAUAAAAGAAAACUGAAGAAUUUCACGCUUUGAUACUGUUAUAGAAUUCGGUAUGCGUUCCAAUUCUUGCAUUGUAAAGCAGGAUCAAAUUUUUCAGGACAUCAAUAUUAAUAUUGGUGUCCAAAUUAAAUGGUUGGAAAUGAUAUAUUAUAAUUUUUGGUAGAUUAUAUAAAAAUAAGUAGAGGGGUCUCUCCAAACCUUGCUAAAAAUAAUCUACAAUUUGGAAAUCUGUAGUUUUGUCUGAAACCGAGGAAGUUCUGAGACAUAUUGAUGAACACAGGCAAGACAAAGGAUAUUAUAUCUGUUUUCAGACACACUUGAAUUCUGAGUUAUUCUGUAGUUUCAGCACACAAGACGGGUGACACUAACAUACAAAACAUCCUUGGCCCAGAAUUCAGGAUUUUGAUGUACGUUUGAUAGCUCUAACCUUAACCCCAUGCUUGAAAUUGAGAACUAUGCCAUAGUCCAGUCCCAGAGGUUUUUCCAUGUUGGGUGAGUGACAGAAUACAUAAUUUCGAUACAAAUGAAUAAUGGAGAGUUUGAUUUCUUGUAAAGAAAAUUUACUGCCGAUGCAUGCCCGGGGUCCUAUUCCAAAGGGGAUGUGUGCAUAUGGAUGCCUUUGCUUCUCUUCUUCACAGUUGAGAUCAAAUCUUUCUGGUUUGAACUUUUCGGGCUCUGGGAAAUUCUUCGGAUCUUUUGCUAAUACUCCAAGAGCCAACCACACCCAUGUCCCCUGCAGAUUCACAUGCGGAUCAUGAUCAUACACUAAAAAUUUACUUUCAAUUUUGUUUCUUUUAGGCCUUUCUUUUCUGGCUAGGAAUAGAAGAUGUUACCUUUGGGAUGAUGUAGCCACCAAUUUCGACUUGUGCUGAUGUCUCUCUAGCAACUAAAGGAGACACAGUAUAAAACCUCAUGGCUUCUUUAAUCACCUGCAAUAUUUGCUGAUGUUAAUUUUUAGCAAGAAAAGGUAUCACAGGAAGUGUUGAAUUCAAGAAAGAAGAUCAACUAGCCUGAUCAAUAUAAGGGAACUUGUCUUGUAGAUCAUCAGCUGUUGGGAUCUUUUCUCGGGGGCCAAAACCGUCAAUCUCUUCAAGCAACUUCUUCUCAACUGCUGGAUGCGCAGCAACUAGGUAAAUGAUUGUGGAUAGCGUAAACGAUGUAGUAGCUGACCCAGCAAGAAGAUGCUCGUAUGUCACAGCACUUAUGUAAUCAGGAGUGAAGAACUUAGACACCGUCCCGGACUCCCUUGCUUUUAAUAUAAGUGACAAGAAAUCUUUUGAACCAUUAUCCUUUUGUGCCAUUUUCUUCAUGACAAUCUCAUUAAGCCGACUACUUAAGUUCUGGUUAGUCCUAUCUACUUUCCUGUCUAGAGUCCCAGGUAUUCUCUUAAGAAUCUGCCGAAAUGGUUCUUGAAGUAUUGGAAGUAGGAGACCAAGAAUGAUCGAAAAGGAAGCUGAUAAGUCCAUCUUUAGAGUAGUUGUGGAGUAAAUAUGCUGCUUAAUGAAGUCCUCAACUCCCUUAUCGUUGUCAUUGCUUGUCGAAUUUUUGACUGAAGCAGUGCAUUGCGGCUUAGACAAACCAAAAUCGACACCAAAAGCAGCCUGUCCAAUUACAUCAGUGGCCAACUUAAGUGAAAGGUCAGAAAAAAUUAUAUCUUCUUCUUUAGAGGGGAGAAUUUGAGUAGCAGAAACGAUGUAGUCUUGCAUUACUGGAACUAGUUUUGCUAGGUGCGAUGGCUGGUAAACAGAAAGUAUCGUGUUCCUCAUGGUUGACCAUCUGGUAUCCCUGGCAGAAUCAACAGUUCACAAAACAGAGAUCAUAAAACAAAAUAAGUUGCUUCUUAACAGCCUCGUAUAUAAUUCCUCUACCUCAAGAGCAAAAGUAAAAAAACAUACCUGGUGAAAAAUAGACCUUUUUGAUGAAGGGGAGAGGAUGCAAUGGGAGAUGGAAUGCUUCUGUUUGGGAUGUCCUUGAAUUUUUUAAUUCCAACUUCUCUACAAAGCUCUGCAUCUGCUAUAAUUAUAAGUGGUUGUCUUCCCAUGUGAAACCUGAUCGAUAUAACAACUGACUUAAUAUAUUAUUAGCUCAAAAUUACUUGUGUUUCUUGCAAAUUACUUGGAAAAAGAUAGCACAGUCAUUAUCUUGGAAGAUAACUUUGUCACUAGAAUUAAGUUGUUCAGGACUUCAGGUACAUGCCCCUCAUUAGAUUAAUUCACGAUAAAGGGUUACUUUGCAUUAGAAAUUGCAUGUCACUUCAAUUAGUGUCGCAUCCCUGACCCUGUUCCACUAUUACGAGUAGAAAAAGGCAUUUAAAUGAUACUAAUUUACCAAGUAUGACUUUACCAUAACUUGCUGCUCCUUUGAGAACCAAGCAGUGAUGGUGGGGUAUCUUAAAAAAGAUGUUUCAAGACCUUUAACACAACUAUUUUAACUGGUUGUAAAGUACAUUCAAGUCUGUUCCACCAGAUGUCAACUUUUAGCUGGUAAGCAAUAACACAUCAUCUCGAAAAAAUAUCACAGGACUUCAAGCAUGCUCUCUGCCUGCAGUUUACAAUACUAUGCCUAUUGUAGAUAUGCAUGGUAUUGGAAUUCAAGCAUUUAAACAUAAACACUUCAGUCUCCAGGGAUCUCAAGUGAACCUUAGAACUAGGGUUGACUUCUGAGAGAUACAGAUCUAUCUGAUAAAAACCAAACCAAACUAAUCAAAUGAAACUAUGCACUGACCUGAAAAUGGGGCCAUAACGUUUGGCAAGAACCGAGAACACAUCAGGACCAUACUUAGCAAGCAACGGCAAGUGACCUACAAAGGGGAAAGAAGGAGGACCAGGUAUUCUCCUAACUCUCCAAUAAGGUCCAUAGCAGUAACACAAAACAGCAGCAAGCAAAGCUAACAAGGAGCAUAUAGCUGAAGAGACAGGUAACCUUGUCAGCAUCAGUCCAAGCUCUGCAAGUCUGUGAGAAGCUUCACUUAUGAAGUCCAUUUUGUGAGGAGAAAUUUGUUACUGGAAGAAUUUGAUGGUAAAUGAAAUAAAUAUAAAGAGGGGUGUCAAGAAACUAAGAAAGCAUCUUAAUGAAGAGCAAUCAGCAGUUUGGUAAUUGUCCUUAUUGUACAUGAUAAACAAUGUAGGAAAAUGUAUGGUGGGUCCUUUAUAUUAUACUAUUUUUUGUUAUAUUGCCUUAAAUUUUAAUCAUUCUUUCCACACUUCAUUAUGCUGCUCUUAAGCUGUUGGAAUCUUUGGCUUUGAUUAUGUAUCACUGGUAUAAAGAAGACUGAGAACCAUAGCCACUGUAUCACCUUAGAAAGGAUGAGUUAAUUAUUCCACUCCCACUCGUCUGGUUCCUAAGCAAUAUGACAAACCUGUGGACUCUGUAAAUUGUGCUGAUAGAAUCUAAAGAAAAUGAAGUUUUAGGUCUUUUUGUCAUGAAGCCUACUAUGAUUGAAAAUUUUGUUUUUCAGUUGUCAAUUGACCCGCUAUUAUGUUUUUAGGCACUGUUUGCUACCACUACCACCGGGAGGUACAGUCAUUAGAUAUAUACCAGUCAUUAGAUAUACCUGCUCACCCGAAGUGCAAGUCAAUUUAUUUUAUGAGUAAUGACUUUCACAUUUUCUUAGUUCCUAGUUUUUGGAAGUGAUCCAGGUGUUUCUCAUGAAUAUCAUAUAAAGCAAAUUUGCUGAUUUAUGGUAAAAAGGUCAGUAUAUACUUCAUUAAUAUUUUUAGUAGGUGUGUUUGAUGUUGAAACAUGGAAAUAUGCUUCCUUAAAACACCAUGGAUUCUUUUUAUAUCAAGUUUGUCUUGAUGUUUGGUGAUGACUGAUGAGAUUUAUAUCAUAUAUAUAUUAAUCUAAACGGCUUAGAAUCUGUAUGUGUUUGUAUAUUAUAAGCAUUAUGAGACAAUGACAGUAUCGAACCAAUUUCAACUCUAGUUUGUCUUCUUCUUUAAGAUAGAUUCCGCAUCAACAUUUUCCUCGUUGAAAUCUCCUCCCGACCUACAACAAACCAGCUGACCAACAAAUCUGAUGUUAAUCAGCAAAGAGUAAACUUACUUGAUAUAUUUACUAUGGAUUUGGCUCGAUUCACUUGAUCAGCUAGCUUGUCUCUCUCAUUGCGCCUUUUCCCUAUCUGAUAACCAUGGACCCUGUAAUUGACCUAUUCCAUUAUCAUGUUUCCUUCAAAGCAAAAGAACAUAAUUUCACCUAUCAUAGACAAUACAAUGUCACUGACAGCUAUUAGUUCCACUAGUAACAGUUGCCAGAAUGUCUUACUAUGAACAGAAUAACUUACCCCUACUAUUAUAGGUACGUCGAGAAGCUAAUCCUUCAUAAAUGUGAAAUGGUGGAAUGAGAGCUAGCAGCAAUUCAAACAAUGUUAGUCCUGGUACUAUGAAUAGCUUUCAGUUUAGAUGUGUAUGCAACUGUUGACUACCACUUACAUGGAAUGAGAUAACAAAUAAAGAAACAACCAGAAAUAGUGUAGAAAAUUCUUCUGUCCAAGCAAUCAAGUGCCAUAUCCUAUGGACUCCUGCGCUCCUCUCGUAUAGAGAUGAAGGACCACAGCAACAACGUGCUUUGAAUGUUAUUGAUGUAGGUUAUAAGUUAUCUGCAUCAACCAAGUUUACUAAUUAAUGAAGUGGCAGUAACCAGCCGCCAUCAAUAAUCUCUUAGCAAAUUUGCAAGUUUUUUAAGUCUCAUACAUGCAGCUAAUUUGGAUACUGUUGCCUAUCAAAGUUUAAAGCAUAUAGAGCGACAAUUACAACUGCAAACCUUAACACUUCCAAGUUAAAACUAUUUCUCAUAGGCAAAACAGAAGGAAACAAACAAAAAAAACGGCAACUUAUGCUGCAAUUUUGCCCUCAAUUCGAGUCGAAUGCAGGACUCACUUUCACUAUUAGUACCCAAAUCAGUGUUCUUGCACGGCAAACUCAUAACAUUACAAUAUCAGCUAUGAGCUAAAAGGGAGAACCCUAAUUCUGUAUAUCUUACAUACCACCACCUAAAAGGAUGACCCAGUGUUUUGGAGUACUUAUACUCCCAGGGAUAAACAAGAUUUCUUUUAACCCACCUAUACCAAGUUUUUCAUUGCUAGGUUCUUUUUCUGAAGAUUAUAUAGAAAGUAGUCUACAUGUAUAUAAGGUGCAGAAGCCCAGUACUUGCAAAUGAUAUAAUUAGACACCAUGUAAAUCUACCAAUAUUAAUUAAGGUGCAGAAACUCAGUACUUGCACAAAAUAUAGAUCUUGACAUACAGAUAAAUAUUUCAAACUCAUGUCUGGACCUCCUCUUCAGUAAACAGAUAGUUAUAUCCUAGAAAGGCACAAAUGAAAAACAAAUUAACGUUCACAGGGUAAAUUAAGGACUGAAAAAUGUAACAAUAAAUUCAUGAAAUUUAAAAGGACUGAAAAAUGUAACAAUAAAUUCAUGAAAUUUAAAAGGACAUAAUAUCUUGAAAAGGAUAUAACAUUGUGUCUCUUCCCUGCAAAUCCCUUCACCCCUGUUUUAUAAAAAAACAUAUUAGCUACACGCUUUAAAAAGAAAAAGCAGAGGAACAAAUAGAAUAACUGUACUCGGUACCAACGAUUAUUAGGGGAUGAAGUUGAAAGAGACGACCACAUUAUGACACCACGUACAACACAGACACCUGAAACAGAAUCCUUGGUCAUAAUUGACCAUUCAUGGAUUUGACCUGAGAUAUUCCAGUUGAUCAAUAAGUGGCUUUAGAUCCUCACUAUCCCAGUCUGGUGAAUUUGCAGCAAAAUCUUCCACUUCCACACCUGGAAGAUCAAUAGCCACCUCUUCUUUUUCUGCAUUCACAGUUGCAAGAUUAUUAUCAAGCAACUCCUCCCAAAUAAUCUCAUUUACAGCAUCCAACUCUCCACCACGCGAUGAAACCAUUUCCUCCUUUACACCACUAGUUGCCCCUGGGUCGAGUGCAUCUGAGAAAAAUGACUCCACAUCCACUCCCGUAUUUGCUAGCUCUUCUUUUUGCUGAUAAGAAUAAUCUAAACUCUGUGUUUGCAAGUCCUCCAAACUUUGGCUUGGGCUCAUAGUUAGUCUGCGUUUCCUCCCCAUAUCAAUUUGAUUCUGAUCCAUCUUUUGCACAUACUUGUCCAGAUACUGCUGCAUAAAUUCAGGACUCCUAAGUGCCUGUGCGAGAAAACUCAUCAUACGUUGCUGCUUAGACUCCAAACUCUGAAUUUUAUCCUCCAUUGCUGCGAUUACAUUCUGUGAGUCCUGCUGUUGCUGUCUGAGUUUCACAAUUUCUGCAGAUAGAAUACUGCGAUCAUGCCCGAGUUUUUGAAGCUCUUCUUCAACUCCAUAAUGGCCUAAUUCGACACACAAGCCACCUCCUUGCUGCUGUAUUCCCUGUGAGGUGGCAUUUCUCCUCCUUUUGAUAGUCUUCAAGAGAUGCUUCUGACCUCCCAGAAACCCCUCAUUCGCAAACUCCCAUCUGUCGGGAUCCACUUUCCUGAAACCCUGCAAUUUCAAACAUUUUAUCCCGUCAGUAAGCUUGAAAACAAGGUAUUAAGAAUCCCCUUGAACACAUUCGAUUUCCAAAGAAAAAAAUCAACAUUUUAUACAUUAGUCUUCAACAUUUCAACAUAAAAGCAAUCAACAAUCAAGACACCAACUAACAACCAAAAAUCAUAACAAAGAACCAUAAGAAGCAAAUCCAACGAAAAGACAACAAAGAAAAAAUUAGGAUUACCAAUGUGUAACAGAACUAUAAGAGCAAUCACCCUAGUGAAUAUUUAAUCGACUGAAAUUGUUUACCCUACAGAAUCCUACACAUUCUUGGACUUGUACAAAACCUAAUUCAAAAUAAAUAAAUAAAUUAAAAUUCUCGACCACAUGCAGCAAAUUAUGAAUAUGGAAAUGAAGCUUAAGCAAAAUCCCAACUGAGCAAACACAGAUCAAGAGAAGAAGCCACAUAAUAUAAUCCAGUACAAAGCAGAAACAUGAAAGUACUUACAUAGGUAUUGAGCUGGCGAACAAAACUAGAGAAAUUACUAUGUUUGAAGCAUUUGGAGAGCAGACAAGUCGAGAACUUGUAAGGAUCCCAAACGAUGAAGCUAUUCUUAGCAGCACUCCAAGACACAACCGUGUCAGUAGCCGGGUCUUGAACCAUAUCAUAUGUCUUUGUAAGAAAUGGAGGUGGCCCCACUUCAUGCAAUCCCUCCAUUGGCUGAGGUGAUGAACCAGCUGCUGCUUGUUUCAUUUUCUGCCCAUCCAUUACUACCAGGUAUUUAUGUGAAGAAUAUGAUUGAGGAAGUGAUCAAGUAGAUUAAGCAAGUGAUUAGUUAGUGAGUGUUUGAGAGAGUGGGGAGUGUUAAUAUUGAGAGAUGAUUUAGACUUUAGAAAGUUCUUGAAAAGGAUGGAAUGUUCGGGAGAAGAGUGGGCAGCGGUUGAAGUUUCUGACACUUUUGUCUCCUCUUGUCAACUUGUCUUCACUCUGAGUGGACGCUGCUGGGCCACACAGUGUGAGUACUUGGGCUUUGCAUCCAAUCCAUGCUUACAGUUUCAGUCUCAACCAGAUUUUUAGUGACAGGGAACUAGUGCCUACAUUUGUCCUCCCGAGAAACGAGAUUUUUUAAUUUUUAUGGACAAGCCGUCGAUUAGUUGUAAACUGUAAUGUCCUCGUUUGACUAAUUUCAAAAGUCGCAUAAUUAUUGGGGACAAAGGGAUACUCCGAUUUUAUUAUAUUUUUCUUUUUAUUAAUAAUAUAUAUUUUUUAAUUCAAAAGAAUAAAAUAAAAAAAUUAAUUUUAUUCCAUCUCAAAUCUUUUAAAAUUACAAGUAAAAAGUUACAUACACCAUAAAACCCAAGAAAACAGAUUUAAAAGAUAUAGAUUUUCAUUAUUGAAAAUAAUUUGAAAGUACGCGAAAAUAUCACUUUAAACAUUAAUGAUGAUUUAAAAAUAAGUGAAAUUAUUGUAAUAUAACACCAAAAAUGAAUACAAUAUAGUACCAAAAAGUAGGUUUUGAUACCAAACACAACAAUUUUAAGUGAUGUGAUUGUUACAUAACCCUCUAUAUUUUACUCUAAAUAAAGAACAAGAGAACAAAUUUGUUUCAUAAGCAGGUAUACAUCGCUGUUACUCUUCUACAAUAAAAGAGAGAGAGUAUGAUGUAUAUAGAGAGAAUGGAGUUCUCAAAAUUAUCCCAAGUGUGAAUUGCAAAGGGGUAAAGUAUUUUUAAAGCGCACGAUAUGCUGUUGUCGGAUGGUGUUUAUUAUUUCCGAUGAAAGCCGGACCAGGUGGUAAAAAUUCCGACCGAUUGUUGGCCACUUGGCUACAACUGUAAGAACAUAUCAAACACAACCUUCAAACCAUUCUUUGCUUAGACUGCUAAACUGCAGUAAGCAGAUACAGACUAGGUUAAAAACAAUAAAAACGAAAUAGUGACAUUCAUUAGCUAAUUCAAAAUAUAGACCACUACAACUAUAGAAAAUACAGACCGAUGCUUCUUGCUCAAGGGCACCUAAAAAUAUCAAAUUCAACUGCUUUAUGCCAGGCCACAAGUAUGCUCGACAACCCCAUCAACAGUCAACAAUCUUGCAUUCCACACCUUCCACUACACCUCCAAAGUUCAUUGACGAAUGUACACACACCAACCCCAAUAUUACCCUAGACCUUUACAUGUAAGCUUGUAUUUCAACUUUCAAAAGUGAUUUUCUGCAAUCUUCAUGCUGCAGUUCAUACCUUCUGUCUAGGGGGAGUUAUCAAAUGAUGCAAUGUGGUUGCUUGUAUAACAGCGCUUGGGCUGGUAUCCUUGCUGCUAUGGAGGGAUACAGCUCGUCGAAGACCAAAGGUUUUAUCAACACUGGAUCGCUUUGUUCUCCGCCAUGGCCGUGGAAUAUAUCGCAGCAAGCGUGUUGAACAUACGAGUAAUAUCACGCCUGUGAUGAUUAACAGCCUGAAAUUCAAAAAUAUAUCAUGUUCGACGGAUACAAAAGCUUAAACACCUAGCAUGAACUUUAUAUACAAGGUUUUUUUCUUGGUUUCACCUAAGCUUCUCAUUUCAUCCCAUGAAAUACAUAGAAAACAGUGUCAGAAUCUUUCCACACACUGCUAGGCACAAAGGAGAUGAAAAAUUAAACAAGCAUUUUGCACCAAGUAGAACCAACGAAUACAUGAUCUGAAAGUAAUUGCAAAGACAAUUUGUCCAAUCUUAUUUCUUAACUAUAACUGCUGGAUCAGAAUUUCAAAUUUAAACUUAACCCUCAAUUCCUUAUAAAUAUGUAUUUACAACCAUUCUGGAAUCCCAAUCAGAUUAGUCAUCAUUUCUUACAUGAACGUGAUUUAUAUUAUAUUCCGAAUAAAUCUGAAUCUGGCAGGGUUAGGAUUAAAGUAUGUGGCUACAAGCCACAAUUUUGGGGGCUCAAAUCCCUCCAAAGAGCCAUGUUUAGCAUAGUUAGUUUAGGGCCAGGUUCUAUUUCUAGUGACAGCGACAAGGAAAAGGCAUCAAAUUUACUCACCAUCCAAGCAAAAGCCAUAAACGGGCCACUGGAGCAGAAGGCAACCUCUCCCCAAGAGCAAGCAUACCAGCAAGUACACCAGUGACGAUAGAAGCCACAGCAGCACAAGUGGACACCACAAUCGCCCUCCCAUGCUUCAAGCCACGAGUCUGUUUUAAGGCAAGAAGAAACGAAUCUAAGCAUGUAUAAUGUAAAAUUUAAUCCUCGCAAAAAAAAUUUGUGACCUGAUAAACAAGGGAGAAAAUAUGAAAGAGAAUGGAAGUUAAAAAACAAAAAGGCGAGUCCAGGAUUUGUAGUGCUUCUAGUUAACAUACUCUUUUUUUCCAAAAUUUCCCAAGUUAUUACUAUAUAUCCUGCUUUUUUAAUAAUGAACUCCAUUUCUAGGAAGGAGUUUUACUUGGCAGAGCAAUUUGUUCUCCAAAAAGAGUCCAUUUGUGUUAAUAAUACACUCUAAAAUGACACAAUGUACCCAACUUCAAUCUUAAAAACUGCAUUGUUGUGCCAUUUACUCAAGCAACAAUUUAUUACAUCCUUGGCGUUUGCAAAAUGCUUCAACUAGGAGGAAACUUAAUGAAUAAAGACAUUUGCAAACCUGAUAGACAAAUCCUGUCCCGCUACAGCAUAUACUUAUUGAAACACAAACAGGAACAAGCAAUCUAGAGAAACCCUGCUCCAAGAAUAGAAAUCCCAUUUUUGAUAUGACAGAUGCAAUCCUGAAAUUGUUAUAUGUACUCUGAGACAAUGUACAAACAUGAGGAAUUACAAAAAAACUGAAGACUAACUAUCCAUCUUUUUGUUAAAUAGAGGGGCUUUCGUGAGAACCGCUAGGAAUAUUAAAAAACUGAAGACCAUCCAUACUAUUGUUAAGUAGAGGGGCUGACGUGCGAAGUGCGAACCACUAUUGAACAUAACUGGAGAACGCAGGUCUUGGGUGCAUAAACGGUCAUCUUGUCCGGAAAAGUUAAAGGUUCACGAAAAAAAAUGCAAAUAUAGUCAUCUUAAACAAACUGGUAACAAUGCAUGAUGGACUAUUCCAAUAUAUUAAUAAAAGAAAAAUAGAAGAGAAGCUACGAGAUAAAGUAGAGUUUUUGGUUUUCUCUCCACAACCGAGACUGGAUCAUAGUCCACGAAAAUUUGACAAUAUUAGGGUUUUAAAUCCUAUUUGAUUUGCCACAAUAGUGGACUAUAUCAAACACGCCCAGAACUUUUCUUAAUUAAGCCAAAAGAAAGGUCAAAUCUCACCACUGUAUAUGUAGGUUAAAAGCUAAAUAUAAAUAUUUGUACUGCCUAUUCCAUCAUGUCCAAAUUAAUGGCCCGAGGGUGCUAAUAUAAUUAAAAUCCUUAAAUUUGGUAUGAGCCUGAUGUGUAUAUGAAAAACUCUCCAUUCUAUAUAAGAUGGCACUUGGUCCAUACAAAUAAAAUAUAUGGGGGUUAUCUAUUUCUAUAUGAGGAAAAUGAUGUUCUGAAGAACCACUAUCAUUAGAAAUGCUAUUUCUUAGCUUAAUCAUACAUGAGCUUAAGACAUGAUAAGGUAAAAACUGGUAAUAAAAAUUAUAUAUAAUUUCAAGUUCAGGCCAACAUACCCGAACAAAAUGCCUGAUUCCAGGCCAUAGAUAAUCUCCUCAACCACUUCAGAUUGCAUCUAGCGAUAAUCACAUAAAUACAUAUUGCUAUUAUAAGACUAACAAUAUAAUAUGACAAGAUAUGACUCAAUAAAAACCUUCCAGAAAAUCUAGACAGAAUUACCAGCUCCUGUUCUUUACGCUGGCGCCUGUAAAUACGUAGCCAUCCAUUAAGGAGAACCUACAAUUACAAAAGCACAUGACUCUGUGAAUAUGUAUAACUAAAAAAGAUAGAAACAUAAUUACAUCCUACUUGAGGAAAUCCUAACCAAUUUAUGGACAGAAAAGAAUUAAAUACAGUGCAAAACUGUAGAGCUACUGAGUCAUAUCCGCAUCUUAGAUACUAGUAAUUGCAGAGUCAAAUAUAAGGAGUUCCACCAGGAAUAAACUAAAUGCAUUCAUAACUCCUAGAGAGUUACCAAAAUACGAAGUUAUCUUCUCCUUUCGUUCNGACCAUGCACUCUCGCGUCGGGUAAUGUCGUAUGUAUUGUAUGAUAGAGGUGGUGCGGUGAUUGACCUCAAUGCUAAUGGUUAUCCCCAAGGUUCAACGAAUGGAGCUAUGAUCGUACCCAGAUAGAGAUGAUGGUCUUCCUCUGAUGUCUCCAAGUCGGCCAUAAUAGAAUAGGUAGGCGAAGCAGCCAAUAGCAGUCUGUUCUCGCCUAUCGAUAGAUAGCAGGUUGCUUCCAAGCUCAAACCAUUUGAAACGGAAUUGCUAGUUAUUUAUUGUUAUUGAUAGAGUGCUUCCAAGCUCNGCGCCUGUAAAUACGUAGCCAUCCAUUAAGGAGAACCUACAAUUACAAAAGCACAUGACUCUGUGAAUAUGUAUAACUAAAAAAGAUAGAAACAUAAUUACAUCCUACUUGAGGAAAUCCUAACCAAUUUAUGGACAGAAAAGAAUUAAAUACAGUGCAAAACUGUAGAGCUACUGAGUCAUAUCCGCAUCUUAGAUACUAGUAAUUGCAGAGUCAAAUAUAAGGAGUUCCACCAGGAAUAAACUAAAUGCAUUCAUAACUCCUAGAGAGUUACCAAAAUACGAAGUUAUCUUCUCCUUUCGUUCUCAAAAGAAGAGUUUGAUCCUGGCUCAGAAGAAAUGCAGCACGGAGCGAACAAGUUCAGUCGAACAACGUAACGAGUCUAAGGGCGGGAUCAAGCUAAAAAAGAAAAGGAAUGGACGGCCGUAGGCAUGCAUGGGCAGAAAACAUACAAAAGUGGUGCAAAAUUGUAGAGUGAUGGAACCACAUCAUAGAUACAAGUAAUUUACAAAGUUGUCCAUAAGGAGCUCCUACAAGCAUCUACGAUAUAGAAGAUUAGUCGUGAAUGAUGAGACUCUUUUUUAGCUCUUGUAGAAUUUAUUGCAAGGCACCAUUACAAAAGCAAAGACCAAAGGUGCUUCGUGCUCAAGAAUGCAGAUAUCCUAGUGCAACCUCACACUAACAAUACUAUGCUUCAUCGGUACAGCUUAAAAGUCAAGAUAACCUAGUCCACUAUUAAGGUAAAGUAUAAGGGGGUAGACUAAUAUCCAAUUUGAAUGACAACAUAAGACAUACCGGUUCAAAGAAAAUGAUACAAAAUUACUGACAAGAAGAUUGAAUGACAUGUGAGGACCAGCAAUCUCUGGAAUAAUAUGUAUGUCUUUACAUAGUCCGUAUCUAUGCCCUUUAAAAUGUUAUUAAAAUUAUAUAAAUGCUAAGUAGACACUAUAAAUAUCAGAUGGUGCAAAGGUUAGGAUACCUACAAACAUGAACGCAACAACAAAAGCAAGCCAUGGCAAGUGAAAAAUUGAAAUGGCAGAUGCUUCUUGAUCCUCCCCUCCAGCACCAACUCCUGCACAUUAAGGAUCACAUAUACAUUGGCAUAAGUCAUAACUCCUGGCCUGGUAGAUUAAAACAAAAAACAAUCUUGAGAGAAUUAUGAGGUCAAACUUCAGCAAGUGGUAGAAAGUGAUGGUAGAAUUCUCAAAAUUACAAGGCCCAAUCUGAAUCUCGAAGAAGCAUUGCUUUUUAUUACUGGAAAUUCCGUUGAGCAGAUGAUAGCUGCACUUUUUAAAUUAUUCUAGUAAUCCUCCCCAGUCCCCAUGGCCAAUGUGAUGUGAGAUGUAAUAUCUCAAGUUUGCUAAAUAGUAAGUACUGGAUGAUCAGUUCUCCAAACCUAGUUAUGAAUGUUGAAUAAACUGCUUCCAAGUCUACAUUGUCUCUGCUCAUCAGAAAUGAUUUGUACCCAUACCUGGGCACACCACUCUGUUCCUACUUUAUUUAGGAUUAUAGGCCAUCCUUAAUGUUUUAAGCACUAUUUCUUUCUUUUAUGAGCCUAUAAAUUUAGGUUGUAGGCAUACUGAUUUUGCAAGAGAAUUAAGGAUGUUGAAUCUGGGAUGGCUUGUAACUCGUCUCUACCAUAAAUAUAAGUUGGUUUCGCUUAUGGAAUCGGGAGUUUAACCAUGCUACACUGCGAUUCUCAAGUCUUCUUUGUCGCUUAUUUGUUUCACCUCUAUUUGCUAUUUUUGGGAUCGAAAUUCCAAAUAAAAUGGAAUCAAAAAGCAUUGCAUUCAGGGCUCUAUCUGUAUCUAAUUUGUGCAAUUUAAAACAGUGCAACAGCACAAUCUAUGGAUUCACUUGGGGCAGUCUAAACAUAUUAAUCGGCGGGGGCAUCGAUUUUUGUUCAGCUAAUUGACUUCCUGCUGCCGAUGCAUAGNUGCAUCGAUUUUUGUUCAGCUAAUUGACUUCCUGCUGCCGAUGCAUAGUGGGUCUACAACUCCUUUGUGUUCAUUACUGGGGUUGAAACGAUCGGGAAGCACUUUUAACAUCAGAUGGGCCGCAUACACAAUAAAGUAACUUCUAUUAGAAACAACAAGGCAGGUAUGGGUGAAUUAACUUCACAUUGCAGCUGUAUUACUAAAUCUAUUGUUCAUCUAAAAGAAAAUUUUGACAUAAAAAAGCAAAAAUUUAUAACCUUCGUUAAUCUAAGAACUAAACAUCAAAUCAAAGAUACCAGAUUUGGCAGUUGCAUUUAAAAUAUAACUCUAAGGAACUUACAUUACCUAUGGUGCCAAUGCCAGCUAACGUGAUCCCAACCCAGUCAACAGCAUUCAUCAUCUCCUUUAAAUAAUAAUGGGAAAAGAUAGAAAGUAUAGCAAGUCCACAACCAGAAACUGGUUGAAUGACUGAGACCUGGAAUCAAUCAAUUAUAACAACAUGUUACAGGGAGAUCUAAUAACCUAACCGAUUUUGCAGUAAUAUGCAGCUUGCAUCAUAAUUUGUUAUUCACAUAUUUAAAAACGCCUACAAUGAUCAAUAUUUGCACUUGAUGCAAACAUUGCAUGUCAAAAAAAGAAAAUUCAGACUAAAGUAUGAUCUUAACAGGACUACAGAAGGAGAUUGUAAAUAUUCUUGGCCAAAAAAAAUCAUGACCAAAGACAGAGAACCUUGGUUCUAAUGACUCUCAUGGGAAUCUAGAUAUGUAAUGUACCAGGAAAGUCAGAAUUGUGUUUCCCAUCAAGGAAUAUAGUAUAUACCAAUAUUGGGCACCUCCUGUAAAUAUAAAUGACAGUCGAAAUCAAUAGCUCUUUAGUCUACCCUUACCAACAAAUGCCCUGGGUAAAGGAAGGGGGAAGCAGAUGCGAUGGUCCAGUAAAAAUUGGAUUGUUAAACAAUUGUUAGUUUGUUUAAAAAUGUGCCUUCAUUUUACUUGGGGUCUCUCUAUUAUAUAUAUAUCGAACAUCAUACUUAGAUUUGUUUCUAUAUGACUACAGGAAAAUUUAACUACUCUCAAGUCUAGACUUUCAAGUUUUAAUCAACAAAUUCCUUAUAAAAAAGAAAGGGAUAGGGGAGGGUUACGAUAAUUUAACAGGUUUUUAUAUCAAAGUGGCCACCGUUCUCGUCAAAAUAUCUCAUUUAGUUACCCGAUCUCCACGGGGACUCAUUUAAAGCACUCAAAUCACUAGAUAUAUCACUCAAGUUAUUGAAUAAUUUUUUUAACAGAAUUGGAGAUUUUUUGUUCAAUAGAUUAGUUUUAGACAUAAGCAAUUAGGAUAUUUUUGGUUUAAUCACUUGAAAUCAAGUACAAGAACAAAUUAAGGCUGAAAGUGUUAAGAGAAGAUUAAAGCAAACAUAUUAUCUAUGUGAAUAUAUGUGUUCUGAAAGUGCCCGUGCAUUAUAAUUGUGAUUUUUUUUAUAUAAUAUGAGUCACAUGUAGUACAUAUUAUCUUGUGACUAGGAUUUCGUAAAGUUUUCUACCAAUAACUUUUCUACAUUUAAUCUAGUGAUAUUUAUAAUGAUCUGAGUGUUUGAAAUGAGUCCCUAUGGAGAUUGGGUAGCUAGGUGAAAUAUUUUAACCAGAAUGAUGGACACUUUGAUAUAAAAUCCUAAUUUAAUAUAUUCAAUUAAGAUGAAAAUAUAACACUUUGAGUAAACAAAGAAUUUGUACAAUUUUUGGUUAAAAAUAACAAGAGGAUUACAAUUAACAAAGCUAAGAGAUCCAUUUCAACAGUCUCCGAGAUUAUCAAUAUGAAAACCACACAAUCAUAGGCUUUACUAUUUAUGCACCCUUCUAAAAAAGAUAAUUUAAAAAAUAAUCUAUCUUUACUUUAUGUUUUUGGAUAUAGUAGGCCAACACUCAUAUGGUCGGAACAAGAAAAUAUGGAAAGAUGUCAUAUAACAUGAUGAAACGUCAAAUCACUAAGAUACAUACAUUUAGACAAGCAACCAAUUACUUGUUUAUAUUUCUUUGUGAAGUGUCUAAACUCUUCCAAUUUCUUUUUAUUUUUUUAGCAAAACUAGUGCACGUGCACCUUUAUCUUGUCUCUUUGUAGUAUUUUUAUUGUGACCGUAGCUUCUAUCUGUUUCAUUGGUUCUUACCCUAUUUAAAGUCUUCUCAUACAUUUCGGAUCUUCUUUCAUGUGGAUUAUAUAUAUUAAACUAUUCUCAGGUAUUCGCUGAUAUGAUAUUUUGCUUUUAUCUUUGCCUUCAUGCAUAAUCUCGGUGGCUUAACCAACUGCUUUGAUUAAACAGAUUCCGUGGACUCAGUUUGCAUAUCAGGAUGAAGAGGUACUUACAGGAGCUAGAGAUAAUGCUCGCAACAUCAGCAUGGCUCCAAAUAUAUCCAUUAGGAAACCACUUAUCCAUGGUUUGUUAAAAACAUACGCUCUUAUGACCUGGAAACAGAGAGAGAUGUGUUUAUCCAAGUUUCAUACAGAAAAGUUUUUUUAAAAAAAACAAAAUAUUAUUCUUGAAUGAAGAAAAAGAAGUUAACUGAUAACUACUAAAAACUAUUACUAUAGUAUGGGAUCAUGUACAACCUCUAAUAAGCAACGAUAGUGAUAGUGUGAUACACAAAGGGUAAGGUAAAAUUCUUUUUAGUUGAACAAAUACAGUGAUCGUAUGAGGAAACAAUUCAAAUUAAUCAAAGAAUCUUUACUGCAUUUGAGUUUUUACCAAUUUCAUGUGUAGAAAUAGUGGAGUAAAUGACUGAUCACUUCUGAGGGACAUAGCAUCCAAUAAAAAUCAAUAAACUGAAUCCUAGUACUCAAUUGACAACCCAGAAACAAAAUCUCCUUUUCGGUAUCGCAGCGUAAUUGUUAAAAGCAAAAUAAUGACACACAUGUUUUCAAUCCAAAUUAAUGGAUAUGAAAUACUACCCUUUAACAAAACAAAGCCUACAUCCAUACCCACCGACAGGAUCACAGCAUUACAAGAAAAUGGGUUAGAGAUUUAGACAAAUAAGAAUAAAGUAAAUCACAAAUUAUAGCAUAAAAAAGUAUAUUAAAGAAAGUGUAUAGAGAUUAAAGAAAAGGGAUUGGGGAUGUUUUGCCUUAAGCUUCAAGGAGAGAGGAGGGAGAAUAAUAGUGCCCUUUUUCUGGAGAACUUUUCCGAUGUUAUUUCCGGCGGUGGCUGCCAGCGUAAGUAAGAUCGCUUCCCACAUCUCUCUCGCUGCCCCUCUCUCUCUCUAUCUCUCCCUCCUGUGUUUCUUCUAUAUUUUUGUGUAAAAAAACAGCUCGUGAUCUUUUCCACUUAAUUCGCUUACUUUAUUUUAUUAGCGGAUUUCCACUAAAAGGCUAGUUAUUAUCUGCAGCUACAAGAUUUUAUGCAUUUAUUUAUUAUUUAUAUUUCCGAUGUUUAGAAAUAUUUUAAUUUCAAAUUAUGUUUAUAUAACAUGAGAUUAUGGUAAUAUCUUUUUUUCAUUUUAUUUAUAUAUAUAUGUAUUAGUAUAUUCCUGUUUCAGAUUAUUAUUCAAAUUUACAAAAAUAUACUAAAUUAAUAUGAAAUAAAUUACAAAAUUGUGGUCAAACGCAGCGCUCUUAUGUUCAAAAUUUCACUUUUAUAAUCUGAUGUUUCAUAUUUUGAUUUAAUUUUUCAAGAAUUUGACUACAGAAUUUUUUUUCGAAAGAGAUAUUUAACCACUUUUUUGAAGAUGAAAAUAACAAAUAAUCAAUAAAACUUACUCAAUGUGUAAAUAAAAUUUUAAUGUCCGAAAAAAAAAAACCGGUAUUCUUCCAAGAAUUCUGAAAAUAAAACAAAGGAAACAAGAAAAAUAUAAGCCGAUGUAUAUUAGAUUACAUAAAUUAUAAAAAUAAAAAAUAUAUUCAAUAAUUAAUUAUUAAUAAAAUCACGUGUAUAUGCAUGUGCUGAUUAAAAAAUAUACACAAUUAUGAUAACUCAGACAAUUAAACUCUUAAUUGCCCGGUGGUUAAGUGUUUAUCCUCUGUUGGCCAAGGUUCUGGGUUCGACUCUGACUCACCUCGAGAAUAUCUUAGAACAGAUACUCAAAUUGUAAGGCUAGACUACAUUAGUCAAAAAAAAAAACCCCUUAAUUAAGACACAAUUGAUAAAAUAUUAACGUCAUUAAUUAAGACACAUAGCCCUUCAAAUAAGGCACAGUUUACGCCCUUAACCAAAUAACGCCCUCAAUUAUAAGGCACAAAUAACGCCUUCAAUUAAGGCACAAUUAACGCUUUUAUCUCUGAAGACGGAUUCUAGAACUGUCGUCGCUGCGACCCUCAGCCACCGCCACCACUGCCACCACUUUUACGCUAUCUCUCUCGCACACGACCGCAAAACUAUAAACUCAGAUUAUCAACCGAUUACUCAGCGAGGCACAAAUCAAACAAAAAGUUUAAUUAAAAUCAAACAAAUAACUAUAAUCAACAGCAAUUAAUCAUGAUUUAAUCAAACAAAAAGAAAUUCAUCCAACUGGAAAAUAAAUGAACGAAAAACGCAUACGUUUCAUCUUUGACGGCACCGAAUCAGAACGGAGCAUAUCGACGAGCAGUAUCAUUUGAAAAGAAGGAAGAAGAUAAAUAUAUGUGGACGUGGAAUUUGAAUUUUUAGCCUCAAAAUUGGAAUCUGAUAAAUUGGGUGCGUUGACAAGUGAUUAACAAGGGGUGGUUGUUGAGAGUGAGAUCGUAAAUGAUGAUCCGAUGUUGGCCAUUUUUUAUUGCAAUUUUUGAUUGCAGACGAGACCUUCGAUUUGGAUAUAAAGCUAGAGAGAUACGAACAGAUAGAAGAUCCUUGAGCAUACAUUUUAAUUCAAUUUAUAAGCUCAAAUUCUAUACCUACUGCAAAAAACACUUUAGUUUUGAUUAUUGACUGCGGAAAUACUGUGUAGUUGAGGACUUGGUGAAUGUUACUAUGUUAGUAAUGCUGCUGCAACCUGCAAGCAAGCAAGGUGUGACAGGCAAGAUGGGUGUGACAGCUGGGUAACAGCUGGAGGCUUAGUUGGCAUGCUGAGCUGGAUGUGUAUAUGUCAAUUAGUCAUUCUGUUAUAAACUCAUUUUUCUAUAUUCUCUCUCUCUCUAGUCAAGUUCGUAAGAUAUUGAAGGAAUGUAAAUACAGUGUUGCUUUCAUAGAUGCACAUGCACUCUAGUGUUUUAGUAGAAGCUUACAUGUUCUAUCAACAUUCUUUAAAUUUGAAAUUCUUUAUGUUAAAAUGUUAAAAAGGGAUAAAGUUUCAUCACAAUUUAUUCAUUAUUAUAUAAUUUGUGGUAAAAGAAUACUAAAUAACUAUUUUUGUAUUCUGUAAAAAAAAAUUGGAGCUGAACAAAUAGUUAAGAUGCGAAAUAAGGACUAACAAGAGAUUAAUUGAAUCGAUCAGAGAUUAGUUAGAUAAUUAAUUGUAUAAUUGAAAAUUUAAUCCACUCGACGAGUUAUGGAACAAAGAUUAUUCAUUGAUUAAUCAGUCUUUCACAAUAAUAAUCUUUUUUUAGUUGUUCUCCCGUCCCUUUCACUUAAUCCGCUCGACGAGUUGUACUUUUUUAUUGUUUGUAUAUCUUCAUGUUUCUUCGCGUUCCAAUUCUCAAAAAAAUGUUAACUUUUUAAUUAAUCUCGUCAUCUAUUUUCAUCCACAUUUUUUUAUUUAUCAAUUAGAUAUUAAUAGAUCCUAAUAUCUCAUUUAUUUUUGUUAUUAUUUUAUCAUAUUUUAUAUAUAUUUUCUAACUUUCGUGUUCCAUCCUAAUAUAAAAAAUUGAGAGGGAAGAGAUGGAUGAAUUGUAUCUUACAAAAACACAUCUUGUUUUCUUGAAUCAUAAAGGCCCAAAUGACAAUUAACAUGAUAAAAUUCUCUUGCUAUUGUCCAUAUCGUAUAAACCGCAUUAAUUCGUAUCAUAAAAUAAUAUAUUCAGUUUUCAUGAUAUAAUUAUGGAUUACAUUUUUUAUGAAUCACAUGACAUGGGUUGUAUUUUUAACCAAGAAAUGUGGUCCAAAUCACACCGUAACAGAUAUAAUAUUAUUAUUUUAAUUGAUAUUAUACGAUUCUAAUCUUGAUUUUUUAUACAUUACUAUUAUUAGUCAUCAUUUUAUAACAACAGAAAUUAAAGUUCGAUAAAAUAAGUGAUAUUACAAAUGUUGAGGUCUAUGCAUGAAUAACAAAAUAAUCAAUUUACAACUAAAUCUCCGGGAGUAAAUGAAAAGAAUAAAAAUAAUGGACGCUCUUAUUUUUUUAAUAUUUGAAAAAUAUUGAUAUUUUGUAACCAAAGGAUUGGCGAACACCUCUCUGGCCGGGCCUAUUAUGAAGCCUUGUUAAGGGAGUUCUGCCCCCGCUGAGGUCUUCAUUAUCAUAAUGAAAUUAACACUUGAACCAAAUUCCAAAAACUUGAACUAAAUAUAGAAAAACUAGCUCAGCAACACCAAACUAUUGCAUGAGAAAACAACAAUACCACAAGGAAAAAUGACAAGUCAAGGGUAGUCAAACAACCCUUCGAAGCAUAGAAGUAAUAGUACGGAUUUGAGGAAUUCUUUUGCCCUGUAUUAUAACUCGGAAAUGUGCCUUGUCCACCCGGGACAGGCACAUAGUUAAGAUCAGGAGAAGGUGGAGGUGGAGGUGGUGAAGGCGAAUCAGGGCUCUCGCCCCAUGCAAUGUAAGAAGGUGGUGGAGAUGUUUUUGUGGGAGCUGGCGAUGAUUUCUUUGGCGGUGGUGGGGAUUCAAAAUAAUAAGAUUGCUCAGGCGGUGAAGAGUGGUGAGGUGGUGGUGGUUUCGGAGGCGAUGGGGGUGGGCUUGCAGUGCUUUUUAGUGGUGGAGGUGGGGGUGCACAUAUGACAGGACAUGAUUCACAAUCACUAAUGCAGAAUAAGCCUUCUGCGGGCGAUAUGGUAGAUGAUGUUCCGAAUGUUGGUUUGGAAAGCAAGAUCAUUUCUAUGAUCACAAGUGUUGUGGAGAAAAAUGAGCAUUUUGAGUUGAUGAAUGUUGGGCUAUUGGGAGGUUUCAUUUUGUGAGAGACAAGUAAAUGUUAGUAGUAUCUGGCUUUUUAUUUAUAGAGUAAAGCUAUAAACAAGCCAACAAAUCCUUAUACUAGUGUGAGCUAGAAUCCUCAAGUACAACAAAACAUGACUGAGAUUUUAUUUUAUUUUUUAAAAAAAGAGAAAAAGAGAAUAUUAAAUUUUCUUGCUGAGAUGGACAACAUGAGCUGGGGCUGAACUAGCCUUGUUUGAUUCCUCUGCAUUUUACAGAUGUAGAGGAUAGUUAAAAUACAUCACAGAGAAACAUAUUCUUUUCAUUUGAAGGGGGCAAAGUAUAAAACGAAAAUAAAAAAUAUAAGGAAAUUAGCUUUCCUUUUCAUCAUAUGUUCCUUUCUCCAUCUGCAAUCAAACUUUGUACAGGCAUAAAUUCUCUCAAACCAACUUUAACACUUUAAGCAUUCAUCUUUUAGUGUAUGUAUGCCUUUCUUAUACUUGUGGACUUUGGCUUUGAUCUUAUCGAGUUCAGUUUAAUGCCUUCCUUAUAGUUAUGGACUUUUGUGAUUGCGAAUUUAGCUUCUUCUUUUUUCUUUUUUAAAUCAUCAUGCUAGACUGCUAGUCUUUAAACGAAACAAAACUGUACAGUUUACUGUUCGACUUCCAACUCAAAUCUAUGAGCUUGGUUUGAUAGGCGGACUCCAGUCUGAAGAGGAAAAUAUUGUUUGAUUUUUCAGCUUGUCAAGCAAUGCUAAGUUCAAUAACAAAAAGUCCAUUUUGAUAUGUUAUCCAAAUGAGUUUACAUAAAAAAAUAUGUUCAGUAAUUUUAUCAAGCACAGUCCAAAUUUAAUAAAAUUGCCAAUAAUCGAUAAAUAUUUUUGUGUGUACUUUCUGUUUGAAAAUUAUGAAUAAUAAUCUCACAUUGAAUAGAUGUAUAAAUAUUUCAUAAAAAAUAGAUGUAUAAAUGUUAUGAUAUUUGUUUGGAGUUAGUAUUUAUUAUUUUUAAGCGUUUACAUUAAAAUGUAAUAAGAUAAUUUAUAUAUUAAUAUAAAUAUAUACACAUACAGACAAAUCUUUCAUAAACCACAUCACACACUAUAAUAAACAGGUUUUAAUAUCCAAAAUUUGGUUUCAUCAGACUCCGAUCUUACUGGAUCUCGUUUAGAACUUAUUUCUAAUUCCAAAAUCCUUAUCAAAACAAAUUUAUCUGAUCCCAAAAUCCUUCUCAUUCUACUUGAUAAUAUUGAUAUUGAUUAUAUUGACAUGUGUUUUACUCAAAACAAGUUAGAAUUUCGAUCUUUCCUGACCCGGCGCUUGAAACAUGUAAAAAAAAACUUUUAAUAAGGUGAAAGACUGUUAUAUAUUUUAUCGUCAAACCUUAACAAAAAUAUUAUUUUUAUAUUAUAAUUUAAAAUAUAUAAAUAUUAAAAAAAUUGUAAUUGUAAAAACACAAGCAGAAUAAAAAGAGCGAAGAGCGCCGGUACCAGAAAAACCCUAACAAGACCGCCGCACACACGCGAAUGGCUCGUACCAGCAACAUACUUCUCGAUUUAGAAGCCGACAACCCUGCUUCGUCUUCUAUAGGUACUUUCUCUAUCUCUCUCUUCUGCGUACAUAAAUGUUUUCGAAUUGUUCUCUUUGAAUAUACGUUUCUUUUCAGUUAAUUGCUUGUAUCGCAUUGAAUUACACAUUAUUUGCAGAAUCCAAACUUCUUUUCUGCGUGAAUGAUGAUUUAAGCCGGCAGCCUAAGGUUGCGAAAUCGAUUCAGCCUGAGAAAAAACCUGCAAUUAGGCCCCUCCCCAAAAGCCAAGGUACAUAGAUAACCCUAAUUUUUAAGUAUAUGCACGAUACUGGGGGCCAUUGUAUUCUCCUAUGUUGAAUUAUUGUCAUCUGUGAGUUUAAUUACAUCGUUAUCACGUUUUUUGUGUAUAGAUGUAUGAGGGGUGGUGUAAAGAAUUAAAGAAACUAGUGUGACUCAAUUUUUAUAUCCCGUAGACCAUUGUGAAAGACAUUGUUACAGUUUUAAUUGCCGGCUCUGCGUGAAUUGUUGUUGUUUAUAUAGAGACUGAGCUGUACUUAGUAGUUCAUCUUAUUGUAUGAUGAUCAGCAUAUGUAUUAUUUUUCACACUUGAAGAAGGGUUUUGAAGUCCGAGUUGAUUAAUAUUUAGUGAGAAUUGUUGCCGAGUCUUAUUUUUAUACUAUUUUUACAGUUCUGGAUAAACUGAAGGAUUUCUUACCAGUCAUGUCUGAAGCAAAUAAAAAAUUGCAGCUUGCUGCCAUGGUACUACUUGAAACUUGAAUAAUGUUGUGGGUUGUUUCUUUGCCUGCUAAGAAUUUUUACCAUUGUUAUGGUAUGAUAUAUGCAGGACAAUACGAAGGUAUUUGAUAUUGAAUCCAUUGAAGACGAUGAUUCACCACAUAUUGAAAUGGUAUGUAUAAUAUUUUUUUUUCAUGUUCUAUCUUUGCUGAAGUUUACCUACCAUAUAAUGUAAGUUAUGGUUGCGAUUAUAUAGGAUCUGAUGCUGGGUGUUGCUGACCUCAAUACCCCUGAAGCUAUUGCUGCGGCCGAGUCUGCAAUUAAUGGGAAUCAACCAGCUUCUUCCUCUGUGGCUACAAGUGAGUCGAGUGACAGCAGUGACGAAGAUGAAGUAGAUGACAAUCACAGUGAGAGCACCUCAGAUGAUGAGCACAAAGAGCAGCGUGGCUCUAAUAAACAUGAUCAGGGGAAAAAUGACAGGAGUCUUAAAUGCCCUCCUGUGAACAUAAAAAGAGCCAAGUCUAUUGGCACGAAACUAUACGAAAAAAUGAGAAAAAAACAACCAAACAAGCGGCCAAAGAUUGUGGAGCUUUAAUGAUACCUUAGCAACAUGAAAACUAAGUCACAAACUCUAAAGUUACAUCUUUCAGGAUUAUGUCAGAGGAUGAUGGUGCAAUCAAGCUAGAAAAAGUUUUGCAACCAGGUUUUAGCGACAUUGAGGUGAAUCUAUUUCAUGUUCUCUUGAAUAACCCUGUUGAUGGAUUUUCGGCAGUGUGGUCGAAGAAAGCAAAAGUUUUGAUAUAGUGUUACUAUUGUCGACCUACAUGAACCUUGUAGCAAUUGUUGUCUAUUCAAGAUUUUGCUCCGUUACUUUAUGAUCCAAAUUUGGACAUGUGGGAUGUGGUCAUUUUAUUUUGUUGCAAGCAAUAUACUAUUUUGUGUUGGAAGGAUCUGGCAAGUGAUCAAAGUUUGCCACGGGAGGAUAGCCCUCUAAGUUGGCCUUUUUGUUUCCUGCUUUUUCCUUCAGAAAACAUCUUGAUGUUUGUGUCUUUCAAAGCUGUUUCCAAGAAACAAUUCAACACCAUAUUUGUCACACUCUUGAAAGACAAUUGACAUUGCGAAAAUCUUUAAAAUUUAUGCAGAGUUUGGGAUAUAUAUACUCCAUCUACUGAUUUUGACUUUUUUUAUAUCUAAUUUGAAAUUUCAAAAAAAAAAAAAAAUCCCAUUGAACAUAAUUAUAUUUUCUAAAAUUNAUCCCAUUGAACAUAAUUAUAUUUUCUAAAAUUAAUAUCAAACAAGAGUUUAGAAUCUAAAAUUAAUUUGAUAUAAAAAUUGAAACUUUUUGUUGAACAUUAUUAUUAUUAUUAUUAUUACACCUUAAUAUACCUAUUAAAGUAUCAUUUUUAACAUCAUUUUUUUCAAGGCCAUGACAUCGAAGGAUAACUAAACUGCUUGCAGUUCUCGCUAAGAGGAUAUUCACCAAUGGCAAUGGGGGAUAUAAGUGCUGCCCAGAGUCCCUAGACUAUUGAAUUCGAGAAAAUCAUUUAGUUUUGAUUGCAGCUGAAAAGGAUGCAAAUCCCAGAUAACAUCAAAAACCUCAAACACCUCCAUGUACCCUAAUUUAUGACAACAUUAGUAAGUAAUUUACUAAUUGUGAAAAUUUCAGCUUGGAGGAGUAUACUUGCUAGUGACCUGGUGUGACUUUAAUUCAAACCUUAAUUGAGCAGACAAAUGUAGAAAGACAGGAAGCUCUAACAUUUCAGAAUGCAUCUGCUCUGUUUGCGGUGGGUAACUUGGGGGCCUGUCCAUCACUUCUCAUGACUUAUGAACUCGAGUCUGUAGAAUUUAACUCUGACAUGUUAUUACUUCCAAAUUCUUUUAACCUGUUAAGCUCUGGCAAAACCACUGAAGAAAGAUCUGGCCUAUCUUUCUGUUUAAUCUCGACACAUCGAAGUGCAAUUUUUGCAAAAGAAAGGGCCUCUUUGACUGGCCAAUCUGGAACACUAGGGUCAAGCAGAUCUGCAAAUGUUCCUUCAGCAAUAGAUUUCUCAACACGACGAAUUAGACCCAUGGGAGGCCUAGCAGUAAGAAUCUGAAGUAGCAUUACACCAAAUGAGUACAGAUCUGAUUUAACCACCAACUUGCCUGUUUGUUGAAAUUCAGGAUCAAUGUAACAAAAUGUCCCCGCUGCUGAAGUCAUGCGAUAUUGUGUGACAUUAUCAGCUAUUGAAGCUGGGAGUAGACGUGACAAACCAACAUCACCAAUUUUGCACGUGUAAUUGCUGUCCAAAAGGAUGUUGGCUGGCUUAACGUCACAGUGCACAAGAGGUUCUGGUUUCGCAUUGUGCAGGAACAGAAGUCCAGUUGCAAUAUCAGCUGCUAUUCUAAACCGUAUUCUCCAUGAUAUUGGGGGAGUGUUACCUUUUCUAAAUAGACGAUCUUCCAGACUGCCAUAGCUCAUGUAUUCGUAUACUAAACAGCCAUACUGGGGGCACGCACCCAGGAGAAGGACCAUAUUUGGGUGCCUCAUGCGAGAUAGGAUCUCAACCUGCAUAUAACAGAAACAAUUUUUUACAAAUGAACAGAAGAAAACAAAAAGGAAUUCAUAGAGUGAGUCAAUAUGUAGUAAUCUACACCAUAUAAAGACUGGCAAUUUUCACACCAAGUGGCAAGUAUAUCAUGAUUAAAAUCUGUCAUUGUACGGGUGUGGGAGCCAUCACACAUGACUGAUAUGUCAUGAGGUGACAAUCAACAGCAAAUUAAAUAGGGGGGAGACAGAUGCGAGUUUUAACCCAUAUAUUGCAAGAGAAAAAGGGCCAAAAGGCACAAAUUUUAUAUAAAAGGUCCGAAAUGGCAUCCAAAAAACAUUGGCCCUUAAUUUGCAUAUAUAUAACUUAAAACUUGAUUGCAUUAGUUGCUCAUAAUAACAGAAGUUUCAAUUACUAGCUCUUCUCUCAAAUCAAAUCUUCUUUCUAUGACUAUUUCCAAAUCCAGAUUUUGCUUCUAUGACUACUCCAAAUCAUUCCCCAGCCCUUCCUCACCUAUACACAUAUAACAAUUGCAAACACACAUGCAUACAGCGCAUAGUUGUUAGAUCAAAGUGUUCUUACUGAAGAGGUUGGACAAAACGGCUAAAACAAGUAUACAAAUUGCACUCCAAGUUAUUUGGUUAUGUGGAGUAACAUGUAUGGGCCCGGAUAUUCUAAUUACAAAUCUGGAGAAAAUACAAAUAAUAAUUGCGUUUUUCACUUUAGACACAAUUUUAUAUAAGUUUGGACUCUUCGCUAACAAAAUCAUUGCCUGCGUUUCACCGGAAAAGAAUAUGUAAAAUGUGUUUUUACCAUGUAAGGCAUGCUCUAGUUGCAUUAUCAAUGUACCAAUAUGGACCAGAUUUCUGAUCUGUUCCAUUUUGAGCAUUUUCUGUCAAAAUGGUGUAACCCAAACCUGGCAUUUUGAACCCAAAAAUUGAUUGGGGACGGGAAAAGUAAAUGUGCAUCCACAAUGAUCUCAAACAACAAAGAGAUGCUAAAAGAUCUCAAACAACAAAGAGAUGCUAAAAGAUAAUCUCUAGUGCAUUUAGAUGACUUAACUAUAAAGGGAUCAUGUAUGUAUAUACAUAAAUGUGAUUCUAGAAUGAUCUCAAACAACAAAGAGAUGCUAAAAGAAUUUAUUUAAAAUUUAAGGUUCUGCAGCAAAUGCUUAGUAAUUCUAAGUUUCUAUUUCAAGGAUUGUUUCUCUCUUGAGCGCGACCCUAUAUAUGAAUACUAUCUGCCAAAAAUUACAGCAGUAUCAGCAGAACCAUAUUAUUUUAAUCCCUAACCACUGUCUUUAAGAUCAAUCGAAAGAUUAAAUAAACUAAACGAGAAUUUUACCUAGAGGUACUGGUGGAUCAAUGGAGCUUCUCCCACAUAUUUACAUGGAUUUUUAAUACAAAACUAAACUUUAGAUACUUAUAGACAUGCUAUUCUUCCUAUUUUUGCGACUUGGUGACUGAAUCAAAGGAGUUGAUUAUUCAUCCACAGUUCAGACGUUCAACAAGUCACAUGUGAAGAUUAAGGGAAUACAUAGCUCAUGGCUGGGCCAAUGAAACUGUUGUGAGUUUAUGAUUCAUUCUGAGCAGCAUCCAAAUAGACAUGCUCAUAAUCAUAAGCUUUUCUUCUUUUAAAACCAUCGGCAUGCGUGGUUAAACAGAACCAAUGUGAAAAGCAAUCAUUUCCUCAUCUCCUAAACUCUUCAAAUUUGCUCCAAAGCUUUUUUCUUUUAUAAGUAACUCUUUCCUGCUCCGCAGAAGUCGGAGGAAAGCUAAAAUCGGAUUUCCUGUGAUUUACUAUAUACUUCUAGAGGAAAUGUUACUCAAGCUUAAUUGAUAGAAUAAAUCAUAUUACAGUCCAGGAAUAGGCGUUUCGUCCCCAGACCCAAAGGGUACUAAUUAAUGAAUUCAUUAAGAAUGUCGGCUUCACAUCUCUAAUAUCAUUGUAUUUUGAUAAUUACUUACAUCUAUCGUCAUCUGUUUGCUUUCAAGAAAGGUAUCUUCUAUACAGUGUACCCUUUCAUUACUACAUUAACAUAAACCUGAGGCAGUGUGACAGAUUUAUACCUCUCGUUGAAAUUGUUUAUUUCCCUGUGCAGCACCUAAUCCAAGAACCUUAAUAGCAACUUUUGUGUGGUCAAGCUUUCCGAUAUAAACUGGUCCAUAUCCACCUUCACCAAUCUUAAAGGAAUCUGAAAAGUGAUCAGUGGCAGCCUCAAUAUCUUCGAUUGUGUAUUUUCUGUACCUGACAUUAUUGUGAGAUAAAACUUCUAAUGCUCUGUAUUUUGCUUCAGCAUUCCUCUUAGCCUUCAAUUCUGCAUGCCUUCUUCUCUCUGCUUCCAGUUUAGCUACCUUUUCUGCCUUUUUCGCUGCUUCAAAUGCAGCUCUGUGCAUAUACAUCUCCUUCUCCUCAUACAAAUUAACAACUGCGUCUUCGAGAAGACCUGCUAUCUCGAAUUUGGGACUUUCUUCUAGUUUGCAGUGAUGAAUUUCCUUAACCUAAAAUUUAGCCAAACAUGUAAGAAAUUAGAGCAUACAACUUUCCGUGUCCAACAAUUAACAUCAAAAGUCAAGAGCCUUGUGUGAGCUUAUUUGACCAACUUAAGAUCAUAUAUUCAGUAAAAUAAUACUUUCCAAUUUUAGACGUUAGACAUUUAUUAACAAAUUAUAGAAGUAUUGAUUUUCCCAAAGAAACUGAAAACCAAAUGGAACUAGUCUACAUAAAAUCAAAGCCAAACCUUCUUAAUGGCUGUAUACGCUCCCUUCCAAGUUCUGUUGUAAAUGUCUAUAGAUUGCUUGAGUUCAAGCUUCAUCCUUCUCAACUUAGCUUCAACAUUUUUCUGCCAUAUUGCAUUAUUUAUAGAUUAGUUCAUCAAGUUAAGUCAUUUUUUUGAAAUUGACUCUUAUGCGGCUUUGCACUUACUGACUGCAAUCUGUGCAAUCUCUCUGUCGAUUCUUGUAAAGUGGUAACAUCUUCAUUCUGGUCAGUAACAACAUGUGAUACAAAGUUUAGAUGGUCAUUUGAAUCUUCGUGCACGCCAAGGCGAUUAUUGUUAGAAAUAUUCUUCUCCCCCCUGAACAAAGUGUCAAUACUGUCUACUGAUAAUUUUCGGUUCCAUCGCCUCCUCUCAGAUCUUACACUUCUCUGCUUUUCGCUGAAAGCCAUUAAACAUAAUAUAUUUAACAAACCUUCGUAAAAAAUAUUAUCGCAUAUCUGAAUUCUAUACAAUCUUUUUCCUUAUUGGGUACCUGACUUCUUCCUCUGGUUCAGAUUGCUUGGUUAGAAAAUGAGAUAACAUUUUUUGACAAUUUGGUGUACUAGAAAUUGAGGAAAGAAUGGCUGCAGGCACUGCAGCUAGUCUGACAGAUUGUAUCUCAGUUUUUGAAAUUACAUACACUGAACAAAAUCCUGGUGCAGAUUCAUUGAUCAUAGUAGGAAUGUCAGGGACCCUCCAUUGCCUGUUUGGGAAAUUGUAAAGUUUAAAUCAUGUGAAUAUGUAGGUGUGCAUGCGGCGAGACUCGAGAGUGCAUGUGUGUGUUAGGGAGGGGGGGUAGGUGGAGGGGAACCAACAUUUGAAGAGUACUCCUUGUUGAUGCUCCAAGAACAAAAUGGGUGAUGAUGUUGUCAUCUACGAAGUUCAGAAGCGCCUCGGAAAUAUCAUCAUGGUCAAUGACUAUCUCUUUUGCCAGAACCUUAAGUCAAAGAUCAAAAUCAGUGUAUGAAUCUUGUACUCAUAUAUCUAAAAUCUUUGGCUAAGCAUAUUUAUUGGUUCUACUAUAUCUUCUACUCACAAGUCACGACCCUGUUACUAAUUUUAGGUUUAUACCAUUUUAUUGAUCUUUUGAUUGAAUAAAUUUAAUUCAACUGAAUAAAUAUACACAAUAUAAUUAUAUACUGCAAUUAAUAGAUAAAGUAGUGACAAUAUCCUCACUAGAUGGGUAAUCUUCUUCUUUUUCAAAUUUUUUGUUUGGCCGAGAAAUACAUUAUAUACUGCAAUUAAUAGAUAAAGCUAGAGUGUCCUAAAUAAUUUAAACCAACAACUAUGAACNNNNNNNNNNNNNNNNNNNNNNNNNNNNNNNNNNNNNNNNNNNNNNNNNNNNNNNNNNNNNNNNNNNNNNNNNNNNNNNNNNNNNNAAAAAAAAACCCCAAACAACUUGUCUUUUAUAUAUAAAAUAUAAUUCUGAUUAAUUAUGCUUGAACAGUUAAACCUCUUUAAGUGACUUAGUCUUUAAUGCAGGAGGCACUGUUAAUUUUCAGAUAUAAAAUUCCCCUCUGUUAGUUUCAGAAUCACUAAACUCUAAUAAUGCCACUUCAUGCUUGUACGUAUAUGAUAUAUCUGUUGCUAAUUAACAUACCUCUUUUCGUGCACAGUAUGCUCGGAAGGGCUUAAAUAGUUGUGACAUGUCAGCAUCAGUUAAGUCACCCUGUUCAUCUGGAGCAGUAUUAUGUUCAAUGUAAGUGAAAAAUGUGCAAUAUGUCUCAAUGUAAUUGCAAAAUGUGUAACAUAAUAAAAAUACUUUAUUAUAGAUUUUGUCUCAGUAACAUUGAGUGUGCAAAAUAUCAGCCACAGAAAAUAGUUCUGCCUGCAAAUAUUCAUGCAAGGAAGCAGUUCAAUACCAUUAUAUGCUUAGAGUAAGGGCAAUGGAUUUUGAUAAUAUAAAUGUAUUUUCUGCAGUGAAUAAAGCAUAUGGAUUACUGCCUAUUUUUCAGAUACUCCCUCUACACCAAAAGUACUUAUAAUUCUUCGGAAGAGGAUGGCACUCUCGUCUAGAAGAGAAAAGUAUCCAGGAAUUAUCAACUACUAAGAGUAUAUUUACUUCACUAAAUUUCUAGCCACCCGCAGGUCUAUACUGUGCUUCAAUGGCUAAACGCCUCCAGUGGAAAUUUUUUGGCAAUAAUUUGGGGGGGAUAAUUUCAAAUUUUUGGACACCUUGUGUUGUGUGGUUGGGUGAUAGCAAUUGGCAAAUUCAGCGAGCACUCAGUUAUUCUCAAAAGUUUGUAUUGCAUUAUAGCAUUACUCAUUGCACUAUCAUUAAGAACAUAUCCCCGAACAAAAUGCGCAUAGUAUAAGAAAAACAUAAGGGGUACCUACGGUGUUGUUUCCUCCUAACAUGGAUGAGAAAGAGUGAUGAUUUAGUUUUGUGGGUCAAGAGAUUAUUAAUAGCCCAUCUAGCAGCAAAUUUGCUGUUAUUAUCCCUGGAAACACCCACCGCCACCAUUUUGUUGGGCAAAGCAACAUCAUCUAUAGGCACUAGACGAUCACCCAUUAUAUAUAAUCUGAUUGAUUAUUUGGUUCAGGACUUUCAACAAACACCUGGUGAGCGUCAAAGAAAAACAGAUAUAAGAAGAGAGGAGGGACGGAACAUGGAGGAGGCCGAGCUUGAUUGCAAGCCUCUGCCUCCUCCUUCCGUCCAAUUCACAGGAAAUUUUAUGAUUUUUUUUGUCAUAUAAGGAAAUUUUAUGAUUAUGGAGAUCUGGAAUUGGAAUGGAGAUGAUGGAGCGGGGUUGCCCACGUGGAUAAAGAAACAAUUUACUAACAAAACAUGAUUUGGUUUAAGUUUUUUGAUAAACUAAUUUUAUUUGAAAUUUGAAAUAAAAUAUUUAUCAAAAGAAGAAUUUCUAUCAUUCACUAAAAUAUCACAAUAUAUAAUUUAUAAAUUUUUAAUCUGAUUUUUAAUUUGUAUUAACAUAAUUAAUUAUUUACUUAAUUUCAGGAAUGAUGCUUUUCAAUUUUUGGAGAAGAAGAACAGGUUUGUUAAAGCUACGAUAAAAAUCAUAAUAAAUUCCUUCUAAAUUUGUUUUAAAUUUUCCUUCUAAUUGAUCUUUUAUGUAAUUUUAGUACAAAAUAAACAGGUAGAUUUUGAAUUGUUUACCCUUUCUCUUCCUUUCUCUGUUGGGGAACACAGAAACACAAAAUAACAAUACCGAGAAACUGAGAUAUAAAAUCAUUCAACUGAAGCGAGCACAGACAGGCUUUUCAGAUUGGGACGAGAGGGAACAAGUUAGGGUUCUCAGUUCUCACAGACAAUAAAACAAACACCUGGUCCGCGGUCUCAAAACCUCGAAAUUCAGAACCCAAAGAAUGUCAUCUAUAUACGUGUCGGAGCCUCCGACCAAAGGCAAAGUCUCACUCAAGACAACCUACGGUCCAUUGGACAUAGAGCUCUGGCCUAAAGAGGCUCCUAAAGCCGUACGCAACUUCGUCCAGUUAUGUCUUGAAGGCUAUUACGAUGAUACAAUUUUUCAUCGUAUUAUUAAGUCUUUUAUGGUCCAGGGCGGUGAUCCUACGGGCACUGGCAAAGGUAAUUUUGUUUGUAUACGUUUUAUUUGAAUUUUGUACGUGCUGGAAAUUAUUUAAUAUUGUUUAAUUUGAGUUAGGGUUUCUGUGUUUUUGUUUUCUUGAUAGAUAUGUAGUUUUUUUUUAUUAUGGUCUGGGUCGAAUCGGUAUGAGUACCUUCUAAUCAAAUAGGGCAUUUCAGAUAAAAAGAAGCUGGGAAGUGUGAGUAGGAGAUAUGCCCUAUGAUUUACGGGGAUGUAAAUCUUGAAUAAAUAAGGCCGGACUUGCUGGCUGUCGAUGAUUAAAUUUGUGGUUGGAUUGCUAAAUUUCUGCAAGUCUUUGUAGUUCAAUGACCUUGUAUGUUUGAGGACACUGCCCAUAGUGUCAAUCAAGUAUAGCUAUCCAUUAACAACUUUUACACAUUCAAACCACCUAUAUGUUGGUUUCUAAAGUAAUUACCGCACUUAUAUUGCACAAUCAUCAGUUCAUAAUUAGCCAUAUCAACUUUUACACAUUUAAAACUUAUUGUUGGCUUACGUUAGCUGCAGUAAUUUGUAGAGUGAGCUUCAGGAUUUAUUAUUCACAAUUAUUCUCUCGGUAGUUAUCAGACAGCCAUUAGGUCAUGGUAGAUCUCUACUCCCCCCUAGCUUGUUAUUCGAUUAUUAUGUAUACACUUUUGUGCCGCAAUGUUUGCUAGGUUUUUGUGUUUUCUAUUUAGUUUGUUUUUACUUCACUGACAUGGACCAUAAUGUAGUAGAAAUGGAGAAUAGUUAUUAUUUAAAUAUCAAUCUCCCCCUUGUGUCAUGAUGCUAUUGAUUUCAUAUUCACAGGUGGUGAAAGUAUAUAUGGAGGUACAUUUUCUGACGAGUUCCAUUCACGCCUCAGGUUCAAUCACAGGGGCUUGGUUGCAUGUGCGAAUGCUGGAUCACCAAAUUCAAAUGGUAGUCAGUUCUUCAUAACGUUGGAUCGUUGUGAUUGGCUUGAUCGUAAACAUACGAUUUUCGGAAAGGUAUGGCCAAUUAGAAUUCUGUUCAAUAUUGUUUUAACUUGUUUUUUUUUUAAUAUUUUAAGAAUCGAUGAUUUUUAGGUAACUGGAGAUUCAUUAUACAAUCUCUUAAACUUUUCUGAUGUUGAAACUGAUGCGGAUGAUCGACCAGUAGAUUCUCCCCCUAAACUGAUUUCAGUCGAGGUAUCUUAUUUUCUUUUCAUUUUGCCACUCAGUGUCAUUAUUUCCUUUGUAGCUACAAUAUUUAUAAUUUCUUUUAGAUAUUUGUUUUUUUGUUUUUAUAUGUUUUCCUAAUGCACAAACACAAACACAGAGGUAGUGAAUGUCAUUUACAUUUCGUUUAUAAUUGAAUCUUCUGUCGAUCCAGUCCACUACCUACAUUUCAUAUUGAACUUCCUAAUAGUAUUUGUGAAUUUUUCAAACUUUUUUUAUUUGUAUUACUGGUACAACUUAUACCUAAACUUUCCUGACUGUACCUUCAAAAUGGUUCAAAAACUAGAUAGUUACUUACAUAUUAGUCCAAAAAUAAGUUAAGGUUGGAGUCAUGUUUUCUUUAUUUCCCCUCUUCAUCUCUAUGUACCAGAUUCCCUUUCUGUGUGCAAAAAAGGAGAGAGAAACAUACAUGAAUUGAAAUGAUAGGGAAGAUAAAGCAUAGGAGAGAGAAAAACAAUAUAAUUUAGAAUUAACCUUAUAAACGUGGGAUUGUUUGUAUUGGAAGUAGCCACUUUGAAGACAAUAUAUGUUCCGAAAAGGGCAACUCUGCGAAAUCAUAUUUCUUUGACAGCAAAUAAAGUACAAUUAGUACUUUUUUUGGGGAGGUUGAAUAUUCACAAAAGAAACUGUUCUGGCACUGACAUUCUGUGUGAAGUAAAUAUUCUGCAGCUUUGAUAUACUUUAAAUAUAGAACUUGGGUAAAAGUGUUUAAAAAAGCUACGGAAUUUACUAAUCUCAAACAAGCGUUUUAACCAGAAUACAUGUUUAGUUAGAACUUAAAGUUGAAGAGAACUUGGUAUAACAUCAUAUAAUUCCAAAGUCUGAAAGUCAAAGGCGACCUUAUCUAAUAUAACACAAUAAUCAGAUCAGGAUAGCACAUAUAAAUACUUAAGAAAGAGACUAUAAAUGCAUUCGUGUUACAGGUGAUAUGGAACCCAUUUGAUGAUAUUGUUCCAAAGGCUGCCCCAGCUAAAGUUUUGGUCUCGUCAAAUGAUUCUAGCAACAGAGAUACAAAAAGGAAGGCUUCAAAGUAAGUUGUAUCCUUUUGUCUAUAGGUUUGACUACAACAAGAACUAUAUCAAACUUCAUACUUGUUUUUGUGUUGCACAUAAUAUACAGUUAUUGUUACACAGAAAGCUGAACCUGCUUUCAUUUGGAGAAGAAGCUGAAGAGGAGGAAAAAGAAUUGGCAGCGGUGAAGGUGAAAAUUAGAAGUAGUCAUGAUGUAUUAGAUGAUCCUCGUUUGCUGAAGGAAGACGGUUCAACUGGCAAAUUGGUACUGAUCAAUUUUUAUCACUACACUUCAGUAUUAUACCAAACCUCUAUGGUUGUGGCUUAGUAAAAUAAUCUGUUUCAAGAGGUAGCAUGUUGUUUUAAGAUAAGAUAUCAGAUUAUAAGUAGUCGCAACUGCAUUUUUGCAAUAUUUUUGACUUCUAGGUUUGGGAUGGGCAAUUGAACCUUGAACCUCAAAUAAUGAAAGUAGAUAAGGUUUGAAAGCAGUUUUAGUCUAUUUUGAAUGUUGAUCAGAGUGUUAAUAGGACUGGGCAGUAGUUGUAUAUAGCAGGCUUGCUUGUAAGAAGAAAUAGCCAUUUGUGAGCAAUAUCUUUUAAUAAUACAACUUUAGGAGACGUUUUCUGCAGUUUCUCUCCCCUUAUGUCCUUGUAAUCUUCCCUUGUUUUGCUGGUAAACUUCUUAAAUCAAAUUAAAAUAUAGGAGGAAAAUUAACUUGAUAUCACAUAUUUCUCUAUCUGUGUAGUGCUUAAAGUGAAAGUAAGCUUCCUUGUACAAACCAAUAAUAUUGAAAAGAUCUUCUCACUACAUUUCUGCUUACUGCUUACACAUUGCAACACAAGGCUUAUGAUGUGACCUUUUGAUGAGUACAUGUUAUAUUUCAUACAAUCAUACUGAACCUACUACAUAUAAUUGCUUUCUUUCUUGCAUUACUCAAAAUUGAUGUAUAACAAACAAGAUGCGUUAAUUUGAUUGAUGUAGAGUGAAUCAGAAGCCAAAGCUGUAAAAGAUGUGCAGUUAAGUGUGAGAGAAGCUUUAAGUUCAAAGAAGGAUGAAUCCUGGAAAGAGACGCACACUAAAUUUUCUGAGACUCUUGCUGAUAGCGAUGAUGACGAGGCCAACUUUGAUAACAGGAUGCGGUUGCAAAUACUUAAGAAAAGGAAGGAGCUUGGAGAUCAUUCAACUAAGCAAAAAUCACACAAUGGUAACAUAUGCACUAUCUGUAUUAAAUAUCCAAGUACUAGAGCAUUCAUAAUAGAUAAUAUAAAUAAUUGACUUGUACAUGAAGAUUUUACAAUGAACCUGAUUUUCUCUUUCUCCGCACGAAUAUAUAUUUCCGAACUGGUAAAACAACUUUGUUGACACACGUGCAUAGUACAUUGUAUGUGCAGACCUUUGCACCUUUUGUAAGAGUUGUUUGGAGUUAUAUAUGUUUGUGCACACAUAUCGUGGUAAUCGCUUAACAAAAAACUUCCCAUUUUACUUUAUAUCAGCUAAAACUAAUUAUAGAAAAUAAAUGAAUUAUUGGUUACAUUCUGUCCUGCUGAUAAUGACUCUAUAUGGUCAAAAUUGGUGACUUACCAUUAUAUAUUUUAGAUUACUGAUUAUAAUAGACUAUGACUGAAUUAAACCUCUCCCAGCACCUUGAGGUUUUAUGGUAGCUUGUAACUUAACAUGGAGAUCAUUUACGAGAGGUAUAUAGUUGGAACCCUCGUACCCGCGAUGUUCUUACAUUAUAGUUAAUUUGUAUGGACUCAAAGUAAAAAAAUUUCUCCAAAGAUGACCUUCUACUGAUCCAGUCUUCAAUCCAAAAUGGGUUUUCAAGUGAGGGGGAGUAUUGACUGUGAUAUUAUUAUCCAAUUAAGGCCUCUUAAGACCUUGAGGUUUUUCAACUAAGCUUGUGGGGCCAACAAUGGUUUUGUUCCUUGUUACAAUUUAUGCUUUUCUCCUACACUUUUCCCAUUAUUGAGGCUAUAUUUUGGACUUCGUGUUUUUAGUAGUUCAAUGAAGGUGGAAGGUAUAUGUUCAUGUAGCAUAGGCAUAUCAUUACUUAUAUAUUUUGCAAAACAAAAGUGAAUUACAGAAACCUAUAUUGAUGUCAUUUUUCAUUGUGGUCUUGUGUGCCAAUGCAAUUUUUUAAAAUAAAAAAUCAGGCAACUAAAAACUUGAAGAAAGCUAAUCGCUGAAAGAAAUAAUUAAUUCAAUCGAUUGGUUACUUUGUAAGUUCUUCACUUCCACUUGCACUAUAGUUGAAGAAAGUGAUCGUUACUUUUUUCUAUUCUGUAGUUCAUAUGAUUAUGUUAAGCACCGUAGCGCAUAUUUUAAUUGAAUUCUCAUCAUUUUCUUUCUUCAGAGAGUUCAACUCCAAGGAAUCGUGAACGCUCCUAUUCUCCACCCAGGUAAUAAUCUGAGUUUGAAUUCUUUUGUUUAAUACUUUUUUGUGCGAUGCUCAAACUCACAUUCUCAGACCAAACCCCUUCCUAGAACAGAAACAAUAGAACAAUGAACAAUAUAAAAAACCAACCCAGACUGCUGACAUAUUACUAAUUUAAUACAACUUCCGGUGACAAGAAAACAAAAACAAUAAUUCAGAUAGUUUACUGGACAUUUGAGAGGCCAAGCUCUUUACUUAGACAAUAGAAUUGAACUCACUAAUUCAAUAACGUAACUAUGAAAUGUUUUUACCCUCAUUAUCAGCUGUCCACCUGUGUUUCACGUGCCUCCUUUUCUGUGUUUAGUUGUAUUUCUUCUAGCAUUUUCCUUUCCUUCAUUCCCCUUUUUACCCUUCGGGGCACUUCUUUGAUUAGUGAGAAGUCAACAGGCUGUUUAGUCUAGGGUAUUACAGUUUGCUUGAAGAACAAUUUGCUGAUGAUAUGUGACUGUGUAGAUGGGUUUUUAGGGUUAUUGCUCAUAUCUUAGCUUCUUAAUAUAGUAUCUUGUAUAAAACAAUUUUAGUCGUAUUCACCAAUAAUACUAACAUAUGGGGAGAAUCAUUGUUUCUGGAACAUAACCAAGACGUGUUCAAUUGGAUUAUAAUUCAUGACUAUUAUGCAUGACUUUUAUGUAUAAGAAUUCUGGAGUUAUAAUUAUCCGUGCCUGUUUCAGUGAAUAGUUUAAGGACUAAAGAAUAUACCCUCCUAAUAAAUCUGCAUGAUUUCUCUUUUGUUUGCUUGUUGAAUCCAAUACGUUCACAUCUUAAUUUCUGAUUCCAACUAUUUGCAAAUUGUGCAAUAACAAAGCUUCAGGAAAAUUUGCAUGUUUAAUGUUAAAACUGAUGGUUUGCUGUCAUUCAUAUCAGGUCAAAUGCCAAAAAUUCCGAUGAUCAACCAAAAGUGGAGAAGUUGUCUUUGAAGAAGGGAAUAGGAUCUGAAGCCAGGGCCGAGCGUUUGGCCAAUGCUGAUGUGGACUUGCAACUGUUGGGAGAAGCUGAACGAGAUAGGCAGCUACAAAAGCAGAAGAGGCGCCGGCGUCAUGGGCACGAAGAUGAUGUAUGCCACAAAUUUAUAAUGUUCUUAUCAUUUGUCAUUUAUGACUUGCCCAUCCUCUUUUUUUGUGCUUUUAUUGCAAAUUCUUCUUUUGCCUUCAGCAAUUCUCUGAGGUAUUUAAAAUGAUUGCUCAUCAUUGACUUGCUGUCUUGAUAAAUACUGUUAACAGGCCUUAGAUUGCUACGUUUGCCACCAAUGCUUUUCUUGGUCACUCAUCAAUCAAGUUGCAUAUAACAUGUUUCAAAAAUUAGAGGGAGUUGGAACAACUGAUUGUUUUGAUAUUAUUGGCAGCAUAUCACCUUUUAAAUUAUAAAUAUUAUUCUUGAAAAAUUCAUGAGAAAGAAGUUUGUACCUAGUGCGCAAUGCUUUUGCAUGAGCAAGGUUUGAAAAUGUCUGAUGUUCCCAGCCUUGCCUUUAAUUCUAAUGAGGAGGCUGUUUCCGGUGUUCAAACCUGUGACCUUUUUUUUUUGCUAAAUAGAAUUUUUACAAAAAGGAAAAAGGAAAUACAGCAUUAGGGGCACACCCCGCACAAAAUGCAAGAACAGUCCCAAAUCCCAAUAGAGGGCUAAAAAACAGCAAGCUCCUAGCCGCUUCUAGCUACUAACAAAGCUUACAAUCAUCAAUAAACAGGACUAGGAAACAAAGGAAAUAACUCACAGGCAGAUUACAUGUGACUUUGUCGAUAGCAAGUAGACACAUUUAAAUUUAAUGAUAUUGGACAAAUAGAAACUAGUACAUUGGCCCAUGUUUCUAUUUUUCCCUUAGGGACGUUGGAUUAAAAUGAACACGACGCAGUGAUUAAGAAAAUAUUAAUGGCUACUUAAGUAUAGAGUGAGUGGAAAGUCGAGAGCUUUUGUCACUUUAAAUUUCUUGUUACUCAGUUGUACUAUUUCGUCUUUCUUUAUUUUUGUUUCAACUUUGAAUUCUUAUUGACAGGUGCUAGCAAAGCUUGAAAAGUUUAAGGCCACCAUGUCCUCCAAAUCUGUUGGAGCUGAUGGUGAAUCUGGAGGGCACAAGGAUGAGGACUUGUCUGACUGGACAAAAGUUAAGCUCAAGUUUGAACCUCAAUCUGGAAAGGUAAUUUUCCUUUCUCCUUUGUCGAGCAUCGCAUGAUGCAGUGAUAGCAUAACAAGAAAUUUUAAGAGAUCAUAAAGUAUGAAAAAUGGAGAAUGAUGAAUAAGACUCGCUCAAUUCCAAAGUGGGGGAUGCUCGGCGGUCUACAAAGGAAUGUACCAAUGUAAUUUAUGGGAUUGUGAGGCAGAUGAAGAUUAAAGGCUUGUGGGGCGACAAUUUGGACACCUAUCACCAAUUAUGUGAUAAAGUGGUUAUCCAUGGAAUUAGAAAGCGAGUGGUUACUGUAGAUAUUGUGAAUCCUUUUGAGGAAAAAGAAUCUUUUUCGAAGGGGAAAACAAUUGAUUGGAUGUAGGUACUCGACGUCAUGUUCCGGAAGAUAUUGGGUGGUGUUGGACUUCUGCUUUUAAGAGUAUGGCAGAACUUGUAUGAUAGGAUGAAUGAAUUUGCAAAUAAAGAUUUGUAUUAGAAGAUGACUGGGGAUGAAAUUGAUGCAACUUCUAUUUAACUUUUGGUAAUCAAGGAUCAUUUCUGCUCUUGAGAUUGGACGGGAUCAGUGACACUAUAUAAUCACUCUUGUUAUAUUGGUUGUCGAAACCUGAGAUGGUUUAUUGGUUGUCGAAAUCUGAGAUGGUGGAGGGGGAGAUUGUUCUAAAGAUUGAGGCUGACCUAAAAUUUUGUUAUGAACAAGCUCGCCAUGUUUUAAAGGAAUUAGGUAAAAAGUAUCAAGAUGACAAUCCAUGGAGUCAGUUUCUCUCAAGUAAUGAAUAUGGCAGAAAUGCCUUGCAACAGAUAAGAUGCAUUCGUCCCUCCAUUAACAUUACAGUGAAAAACCACAAGACAAUUCCAAAGAAUUAAAAUAUUUCGAGCAUAAAUAUAAAAUUGAAUCCACACGCAUGAUAGGUAUGUUAAGAUGGUGGUGUGUGAAUGCUUCUUUCCAUUUCUGGACUGUAGGUCACUGACUAUUCUCCUAAAUUCCAUUCACACACUACCAUCUCGACUUACCUAUUGUGCUUGGUUUCAGUUGCUCCUCAGGCCCCGAAAUAUUUUAAUUCCUUAGAUUUGUCUUGUGUUUUUUCACUGUAGUGUUGGACGGACUGAAUGUAUCUUAUUUAAUAGAAGGAACUUCUUCCAUAACCAUUACUUUGAAGAAAAUGACUUAAUGGGUUGUCCUUUUGUAUAACAUCAAACCAUCUAAACUACUCUUGAUGCUUUUUAUCUACUUCCUUUAAAAUAUGACGACGUUGAUAAAGUUCAUGAUCAGUUUCAAUCUCCGGAGUAAUCACCUCUUCACCAUCUCAGAUUUUAACAACCAAUAUAACAUAGACCAAAGGUGGUUAUAUAGUGCCACUAUUCACGUCCAAUCCCAAUAGAAAAAAUGUUUCUUGAUUAUUAUAAGUUUGACAUAAAUUGCAUCAAUUUUAUUCCUGGUCAUCUUCCUGAACGAAUCUUCAUUUGCGAAUUCAUUCAUCAUUUCUUACAAGCUCUUCCAUACUCUUGGAAGGGGAAGUUCAACAUCUCCCAAUAUCUUCUGGAACAUGAUGUACAUUUACCUGCUGAUCAUAUCAUUAUCAACUGUUUUCUCAUUCGAAUCAUAUUCUUUUUUAUCAAGGGAAUUCACAAGAUCCACAAUGACCACUUCCUUUCUAGUUCCAUAGACAAUUAUUCUGUGAAAUGAUAGGUGAUAGCUGUCCAGAACGUGGGGAUGCCCAUGCACAAGCCCUUUGAUUUUCAUGUCAAAUACUACCUUCACAAUCCUAUGAACUAAAUUGGUAUAUUCCUUUGUAUUCCGCUGAGCAUCCCACUUUGGAAUUGAAGAAGUCUUAUUCAUCGCUCUCCAUUUUGUCUCAUUCCAUCCCAGUUUGGAAUUGGAGAGGUCUUACUUAUCGCAUGUCAAGUUUUGUAGAAGAUCAUUUGAUUAGUGUUAUCUUAAAUAUUAGAUUGUGAUAGACACUAUUGCAACAGGAUAAUAUGACUCGCAGUGAGAAUGUGAACGACUAUGUAGUUCAUGACCCUCUUCUUGAGAAGGGAAAGGAGAAGUUCAACAAAAUGCAAGCAAAGCAAAAGCGACGAGAACGAGAAUGGGCUGGCAAGUCGCUUACAUAGUCCAGACUUGGUCCUCUCUAUUUGAAGUUAUGCUGGAUUUGGCAAGGUCACUCAUAUAGAACUUAAAUCUCAGCUAAUUCUGCAGAGUAUUUAAAUCUAUUGAUCUGUAUAGCUGUUGGCUUGAACUGCAUAAUGGGACAUCAAUCUGUUGGUUGUGCAAAUCCUUCCAAGCUGCAAAAGCAUCAUCAUUACCUUAUUCUGGAAUCCCACCCUCUUUUGUGACUUUACUGCAUAGCGGCCAGUCGGCCACCAUUGAGUGAUCUUGUAUAAUAGGAUCAUAGUACAUUUUGAUCCAUGUCAAUUGUAAAAUAUUAGAAGACAGCUGCAAUAGCAGCAAAUAUUCUCCGUUACAAUCAAUUUAGCUCCUUAUAAGUAAUCAGCAACUGAUGACGUGACUAUAAUGUGUUGAUGUUGUUUCUCUAUAUAACAAAGGUCAUAUUUGUUUUUAGGAAGAUUGUUUAGCUUGUUUACGAUGAUGCAAGUGAUUAUAAUCUCCCCGAUUCAUUUUCGCAAGAUUACAUUAUUUGUAAAAUUAUUAUAAUCUCAUGAAAGUGAAUAAGUUAAUUACAAUAUAAUUUACCGAGAUUAUAGUUCUUUUGAAUUUCAGGUAGAAUAAUAUGAUGGUUUGGAAUUAUAAUCUCAUAAACAAAUAGGUGAGGCAUAAAUUGUAUGUACUCAUAUUAUUGUAUUCCAGUAAAAAAAAGUAAAUGUAAAUUUGUAGUGUUAUAAAUACAUUGUGCAAUAGGAGGUUUAUUACUUUAUUUUGCUCAUUGUGGUGGUAAUAGGAUUAGAGUCUGUAAAUUGUGUUAGCGAGUUGCACCAUUAAUUUUAAGUAUAGUAACUUUGCAUGCUCUUAGGGUGAAAUUCACAUCUAAAAUUAUCUUCUGAAAACCGUAACAAAAAUUAAAUACUUCUCAAACAUGAUUCAACUGUGGUUUGUUGCAGGCUGUGAAUCAGAUUUCACACAGACUGGUACCAUGAAAUUGAGUUAUAAAGGGGUGUCGCAGAAGUCUAUCGCCAGUCCAUCUAUCAUUCUUAUUCAUCGUCAUACACCUCCUCAAGAAAUCCUUUGCCUCUCUGGACAGAAACUCCGGUAAUAUCUCCAGCCACUUGUCCACACUCUCCUUGCACAUUAUCAGCAACAUAACAUCUAGUUGAACAUUACUACACCACAAGGACUUGCCAACAAGCAUCUCCGCCACCACGGACCCAAGAGCCCAUAUAUCCACUCCCACAAUGCCUACCUCACCUGCAUUAUCACAACUCGUGCUUUUAGCCAAUCCAAAAUCCGCUAUCUUGAGAGAAUACUCAUCUUCCCCGUCCUCUUGUUUUGUCACAAAAACAAGAAUAUUAUCCGGCUUUAUAUCACCAUGAACAUAACCCUUGUGAUGCACAUGACAGAGGCCUUUGAGCAACAUAUAAGUAAACUUGCUCACUUCAAAUUCUUGCAUCCGAUCACCCGAAACCUCCAUAAGUUGCUCCAAAGUGCCUCCAUUGGCAUACUCAAGUAACAGAUUGUAGACCAGCUUACCGUUUUCAACACUAAAAGCGCAACCAAAACACUGGACAAUCUGGGGACAGCCUUUAAGAUCAUCUAGUAUAGUCUUCUCAAGUUGAAGAGUCGAUGAACUAUUGGCGUCUGCUAAUUUCAAGGCCACGUAUGAUGGAAUAGAGGACGACGAAUGUGACACUAUUUUUGCCAAGUAAACGGAUCCCCAUAACCCUUCUCCCAGAAACCUGAGUUUUUCCCACUCCAAGAUCGAAGCCUUAUUCAUGAUCAUAUUCUUCUUCUUCUUUAAUCUCUCGAGUUCUUGUUAUAAGACAACAGAAAUUGAUUUCUACGUUCGGGAUUUAGGUACUGGAACGUAUGUAUUAUAGACCUAAAGUAAGGGAAUCCAAAUACAGUUAGGACUUGUAUCUUCUUUUUCUAAUCGAAUUAUAAGAAUAUUUUCAAAGAACGAGCGUAUAUCUGCCUAAUGCCUAUAUCGAAACCUAUAUAUUCUCGUAUGUAUUCGAAUUAUUAAAUUUCCUACCCGAGUUGCUAAUCAUCGAACCGCCACUUCUAGCCUUGCUGGAAUAGGACUGUUUAAACUCAACUGUGAAUUAGGACUCGGAACCUUGCGAUUUGUUUUAAACAAGUCCUAUGUUCUUUAUGAUUUUAGUAUUUUGCCUAUAAAUAGAGCUUAUGCUGUUUGGUUUUUAUGCAUAAAAGAACCUGCUUAAUUAUACCUCACUUUAUUGAAAUUAUUAUAUUCUCGUUCCAAACCCCUCGUGUUUAUUUAACCUAGCUACAUAUAUCACCAAUGUCGUUGCCGGUCGAUAUCUUGCUAGAAAUUCUUUACAGGCUGCCAGUUGCAUCUCUUGUUCGAUUUAGGUGUGUUUGUAAAACAUGGUAUCAUAUCAUGGCCACUCCUUGGUUCGCUAAAUCUCAUCUCGCAUGUCAACAAGCUUCCUCAUCCUCAAAUAAGUAUAUCCUAUAUCAUGAUGACAAUUUGUGCACUUUAUUCACCAAUAGUGACCCCCUCUUUGAUAGUACUAAACAUUCUAAACUAUUCUACACGCCUGAAUUAUUCGGGAUUGAUUUCACUUGUAACAACCGGGAUUUAGAGAUUUACGGAGCUUGUCAUGGGCUAGUAUGUGUGUCGCGUGCGUGCUAUCAUAUUGGCAAUAACAUACAUCUGUGGAAUCCGAUUUGCAGAAAAGUCAAAAAGCUUCCGCAAAUCGAAACCCCAAUCAAGGAUGAGUUCGGUCUUGAAAUCCCAAUCAAGGAUGAGUUCGGUCAUGAACCGUCUGCUGGAAUGACCUUCGGAUAUUACUGUGACGACUAUAAGGUGAUAGUCAUUGUUUAUGUUAAAAGUACCUUCAUUGUUUUUGUUUACAGCUUGAGUACUAAUAGCUGGAACACCAUUCAAACAAUAAAUUUCUAUAUUGACAUAAAAUCUAUUGAUUAUUUUGUCUGCACUACCAAGUUUGUAGAUGGCACUGCAUAUAUGUUGACAUCCAUCGAACUAGUCGUUUGUUAUGAAUUGAACAAUAAGACCUUCCGAGUGAUCAAGCUUCCUGAAGAUAAUGAUAUUGCUACUAUGGAAGCAUAUGGAGAAACUAUAGCUCUCCUGGAAACAGACCAGAAUUAUCUAACCAUGUGGAUAUUAAGAGACAAGUCGUCCUCGUCGCCCUGGGAAAGGAAGUUCAGCAUUGCAGUGCCUGAAGUUAGUAGCCUUCGAGUUACUACUAGCUUUCAGGCUGUCGGAUUCUUGCCUAAUGGUAAAUAUUUGUUGAGGAAUUUUGAAUUGGAAGGGGAUUCAUGUGUAACCAAGUUGUCUUUGUGUGACACGGAGAUUCCAAAUUUAACAGAAUUUAGAUCAUUUACAGAAUUAAGAUCUCGUUUUAGACUUCCACCAAAAUAUCCAACCCUGCAUGGCCGCAUAGACUCUAACUUCGUGGAAAGCCUUCUUCUAUUUAAUGAAGAUAACCUGCAUCCUUUUUCUCUGACGGAGAUGGAUUCUACCUGCAGUUCUACCUUGUUUACGUUGCAGUGGAGCCCAACCCAAUAAGUUUUUAAUGCAUUGCAGCAUGGUGGAAGGAAAGAGCUUAGAAGAAAAUUUGAUAAGUACUCCGUCUGUUCUACUCAUUUCUAUACAAUAUUUUUCAUUGUGAGAGUUAUAUAUAUAAUAUAGUUUUAUAACUGUUUUCUGAAUUAAACAAUGAGAAAAAAUGAAGUUAAAAGGAAAAUGUGUUUUAUCCUUCUUAAAACGGUUUUUCUAUAAUAUAUUUGCAGGCCUGUAAGUUCUGGAAUGCGAAUUGGUGCCCGAAGUUUGUUGUUAUUAUUGUAUAGAAAAAUCACCAUACAAGGUUUAUUAUGAGUAUUGAAUUGGUGCCCGAAAUUUGUUGUCAUUAUUGUACAGAAAAAUCAUCAUACAAGAUUUAUUAUGAGUAUUUUUACUUGUUAGUUAAAUGUCUGAUAUGUUUUAUGCCAUUAUUGCAUCGAUUUCCUUGUCUCUUGAUAUAAUUUGUCGUUUCCUCAUGCUGUCUAUACCGACUUGCUCUCUGUACUACUCCCUCUCUCCCUCUCAUUUCUUUACCGUUACUAUUUUGGGAUGUCCCUCUCAUUUCUUUACGUUACUAUAAAUAGUAAUUCCGUCAGAUGCAUGAGUAUAUCUAAUUCCCUUUAUUAUACUUACUCCAUACCUUAUGGCCAAAUGAUAUGGAAAUGAAACAGAAGCCUGGAUUUAUUGGUUGCAGUUUGCUUAGGAGUUAGGAUGAACAUGUUUAAAAGUGUUUUUGUAAAUUGCUGCGUCAAGUUCAAGCUGUUUAUUGUUUACCAUCUUCUGUUGUUAUUUGAAUGCAUAUGCUUUAGUAUAUUUUUUCUUGCAAAUAUGUAAAUACUUCAUUGUGGAGAUGCCACUUAACUUGUUACAACUGCUGCUGUGCACAUAGUAUACCCCAGCUAAGUAAAGACUACAAAUGACUAGCUGAUCUCUCUUGUUUCUGCAUCUCUGCCCGGAAUCUAACAAUAAAUUCCUCAGCCCUUUCAUUAAUUCCAUACAUUUGUGGCGAUCCUAAGACCAAUGACUCCCACAUAUCAUCCGCACUUGUAUGCUUCUUCCUUUCUUUCACAUCGUCUUCCCUGCUGCUUCUUAUCGACUCUGCACUAACUUGUUGGUCAAUGAGUUUAGUCUUCUCUGUAUGUGGCAAACACUUCUUGAUCUGGUUGUUUGAUGCUGCUGUACUCGAUUCAUCUUUAUUUACAAAGAGCUGGUCUAUAUACACCGGAGGUGGAAUUCUUUUCUGAGCCCUGUAACGGCCGUGAGAGAUGAAUUUGCAGACUCUGCUAGUCCCUCGUCCCUGUUGGCGAUAAGAUGGAAAGGAUGACAAGGCUGCCCAGAAAGAUGGUUUUGCUGUAGCUUUGAGCCGAUUCUUCGUCUUUGGCUUCUUUAUGGCCUUGGUUAGUUGGAGCUUGUAGAGGUUGGUUUUUAUUUUUCGGGUGAAAACUCUCCAAGACUUCCUAGCCGAUGGAAGCCUCCUACCAUUGAAACAAGACAUGGGGGAUAAAUGUUGUUUGUGCAGGUUUUGUGAAGAGUACUUGAGAUGUCCUUAUAUAGACAGCCAUUGUGUGUCACUUGAGCAAUUUUUUACCAUACUACUUAGUUCUUACGCUACUUCUUAACACAAAGCAUAGUCAGUAGAGUACUUGUUAAGUACGAAAAGUAGUCAAUUUUCGUUCACUAGAAAUGAAUAAAUACUAAAGUAUUGUAUUAGAGAUGUAGACAUAAUUUCCUUUUGAUAUCUAUCUACCCCAACUUGUAAAAUAUUCCAAAGUAGCUUGAAGCUUAAGCACAAAGCAAGAUCAAAACUCUAAACAUUCGCUUGUCUUGCAAAGAACUUUUACCAAAGAUGGCUGCUCCAACAAUUCCUACAUAAUCUUAAAAGGGAGCUACUUGAUCCUUAUACGAAAUUCUGAAGGUGCAUGCAAAAACAGCUGGAUGCUUACUAAUAGUAAUACUUAAUCAUAAGCUAGUAACAGUUGUUCAGUGAAUAUGAAGAUGAAUCGCAAAAAAUAACCCACAUAAGAUCAGCUAAUCAUGUACUUUACAAUUGAUUUUAUGAGAUUAAAUGCUAAUUUAUGAAAUGCCAAUAUUAUAACUAUAAAUCUUUACAAGAGCCGCAAAAUAAUUACUACCAGAUCAGAGCAUCUCCAAUAACCUCUUAACUAAGCUCUUAAGACCAAAAAUAAGGAGCAUGAGAAAAAAUAGAGCUCUUGUGGCUCCUAAAAAUACUAAGAGUCUCUUCUCUCUCCUCUCUUUUUUCCUCUCUUUUAAGAACAUCUACAUGACUCUUGUUUUUUAUACUAGAAUACAAUAUUCACUCUCACCCAUCUGAAUUUGAAUUUUUGUCAUAGUGGAGUUCAAAUAAUAAUAAAAUAUAAUGUUAAGAGUGAAUAUAAAGAGCAUCGUUGAAGUUUAUACUCUUAAUACUGUACUAAAUUACUACGAGCUUAAUAUUUUAUAUUAUAUUUAGGAGCCAACUAGGAGACUAUGCCAUACAAAAAAAAAAAAAAAAAAAAAAAAAAAAAAAAAAAAAAAAAAAAAAAAAAAAAAAAAAAAAAAAAAAAAAAAAAAAAAAAAAAAAAAAAAAAAAAAAAAAAAAAAAAAAAAAAAAAAAAAAAAAAAAAAAAAAAAAAAAAAAAAAAAAAAAAAAAAAAAAAAAAAAAAAACUAA